GCAUGUUAUGUGUGAUGUCUAGCUUGUAUUGCUUCUAAUUUUGUUGAAUUCCAUCUGCUUACUUUACACAUUAUACUUGAAUAAGACACGUGUUCCUGUUUCUAGAACAUACAAUAUCUGUCUAUCACACCAUGUUCUUACAUCAAAUUACUACUGUUGUGUAACCUGCAACAAUCACUUAUCAUAAGACACGUUUGACUUCGAUGUGUGAUAUAGGUUACAUCUCACAUUCUUUUCUAACUUGUACUACUAAUUUAUUGAAAUGGCACUUAUGACGAGACAGUUUUAACUUGGUAGAGUGAUAUUCGUUGCAUCUUUCAUAUGGUGUCUAGCUUUCAUUGCUUCUAAUUUGUUGAAAUGCCUUCUCCUUAGUUUACACAUCAUAAGCUGUGAAUAUGCAAUGGCACUAAUGACGAGAGACCUCUAACAUGGUAGUGGGAUGUUGUUUGCAUCUUGCAUAUGAUUUAUUUCUUGUACUGCUUCACAUUUGUUUAAACGCCAUUUAUGAUGAAACACUGUUAACUUGGCAGAGUGAUAUUUGUAGCAUCUUUCAUAUGGUGUCUACCUUCCAUUGCAUGGUUCUAAUUUGGUGAAAUGUCUUCUUCUUAGUUUACACAUCAUAGUUCUGGUUAUCUCUUCCGUCCUGUUUUUCAUACAUAUUACAUCCUCCUAUCAUGUGGUUGUCUAACAUCAAAGUUCAGUUCGUCUGCAUCACACAUCAAUUUGUUCUGAAGAACUAAAUUGUUAUUCAUUUUUCUUGUCGGUUUGACUUAACAUGGCACAGAGAAAGAGGAAGAAACACAGAAUGGCAGGGAAUGAGAAGCGGAUGAAUCCUGCAGAUUCUGCUGGUACUGAUGGUGCAAUAGAAGGUCAAAGUCCAGUGGAAAAUAGCUGCCACCAAACAUAAACAAAAACACAGCAUCCCAUGCUACACGAGUUGCAAAAAAAGCCAAACAUAAACAAAUAGCUGCCACCAAACAAGUAGAGAGAGCCCUAGUUCUUGCAACACCUACCACAGUACUACCAGCUGCACGACUUACUCGUGUGUCAACUGAGCUACUAACACGUUCCCAAGCUCCCUUGCCACCUGACACUACUUCCCAAGGACUCUUGACACAAGAUGAGUUGGCAAUAUCAGAUGAACCUUGUGAGCUUCAACAACAAGAAGGUAGUUGCUGGAGUCAAGUUACAAUUGCAUGCUUCUUUAUAUGUAGUCUCACAGUUUGAUGUACACUAACACUUCCUAUGUUCGUUGUUGGACUAGCACCUAGGCGCAAGAGGAAACAAACAUCAGGGAUAAUGCUCGGUAGGUUAACUAAAUCUAGAGGAGGAAGAAUGGAGAUCCGUUUUGAGGAAGGUCUAAAAAGGCCACGUGAUGCUACAGAGUUAGCCAAGUUAGUAUCAGAGGCAGCGGUUGCCGUUAGGUGUCAUGUACGUAUCCUCCCAACAUGGAUUUAGUACAGGAAUGACAAAGACGAAACCUAGUUCAACACCUUCCUCGACCAUUUAUCUGUAAGUAUGGUUAUUUAUGGAAACUAGUAAUAUCGUAUUGCUCUGUCCCAUACUUUCUAGGUUGCUGAUAAUGAGACUCCCAUAAUUUUCAACAGAUGAGGUUCAAGUUGGAUAGCCAAGAUGAUGCAACCAGACAAGCUUGCACCCAUGUUUUCAAGUCUGCUCUGCGACAGUAUUGGUAUGACUUGAGGAAAACUCACUUUGAAGGCAAGGCUAAUAGUGAACUUUCCCAAACAUCUCCAGUGGAAAAUAUAUCGGAUGAAGACUGGAGGGGCCUUGUUAAACACUAGUCUGAUCCGAAGUAUCAGGUACAUUAUAUAUAUGUGAUCAGAUCACAUGUUGAAGUCCUAUUUACGCACGUGCAACACAAAUCUAUCUACUUGUAGGUGAACUAUUCAAAGAACAAGGCCAACCGUACGAAAGUGAAAUUCCAACAGACGACAGGAUCUCGUAGCUAUAUUGCAAACUGCGAGGCUCUUGUAAUUAGUUUUUGUUUCACUCUUUUCGCUGUACCAUAUAUCAGAUCUAUAUUGACUUGUUCGAAAUGCAGAGGAAAGCCCGCAAGGACCAAAAAGUACCUGAACCAAAUGCUGUGGAAAUCUUCAAGGACUGUCACACCAGCAAGAAGAAGGGCAUGACUACACCAGUCAAAGCCCCUGCUGUAAGUCCUUAAUCCUCAUGCCUUUUAACUACUACUUACUCUGACUUGUGCCUUGAACUGCAUGGUUUGCAGUCAAUGUCUAUUACUCUUUUCAAUUUUAUACACAAUUGUCUUAGCGUAUCAUUGCACCUUACAAGGUUUAAAAGAGAGGAGUGAUGUUCCUUUGAUCUUGACCCAUAAUAUAGUUCCAUGCUGGACUUGCCCACACAACGUUACAAUUGCCUGUUUGUCUGUUCUCAGUUGUUUUGUGAUAUGAAUGAUGUCAUACUAUGCUUACCGUAUUAUAAACUUUGUCUCUUUAUCCUUAGCCCUCAAUAUAAUGUGAAUAAAUAGAUAAUACAUUAGCGAUGGUACAUGGUCAUAUGUUUGGAACCUGGUUUUAUUAUGUACUUUGCAAUAAAAUACAACUAAUAUUUUACAUGGGUUCACUAGAAUAAGUUCUGUACAUAGACCAAAGCUAUUUUGUUCGAUUUUGCUGCCUCCUUAAUAUCUUCUGUUCUGGUACUACUAAUGUAAAACCUCAACGUUUUAGCGAGCUAUGGAAAAUGGUGGAACCGCCACCUUCUGAAGGUGGCGAGGCAACUAUAACCACAAUGUCAGCUCUUGCUGCAGUGGGUCAGUACCUGUCCACUAACAGUGCCAAAAGCACGUUCCUGCGUAAUACUAGGUUGGUUGUUAAGGCAAUAUCGUCCAAACUGCCUCAUGAUCAAGAUAUGCAAGCUCAAAGCAAUGUUGUAUCAACGCUCCAGACACAAGUCCAUUCCCUAAUAGAGACCCUUUGUGAAACAAGGAGAAACAUUGCUCAAUGUCGUCAAGAUAUGCAUGGUUUUGAAACCAGACUAUCAGACAUUUGCUAUGUUGUUCAGGAGCCUAGGGGAAAUGAAGGCGAGGGUUAUGGUGCUCCAUCGGACAAUACAACAUGAAAACAUAAUAGUCAGGUCAAAUUAACUGAGCUUCUGAACAUCUGGUGGUGCAUUUAUCUGCUAGACUAUUAAGUUUUAUGCCAACCUUCCUUUUGUUAUAUAGUUGUAAUUUGUUUUGGUGCGAUACAAAAUUUAUUCUUAAUGUGCAGCCACCGACUGAAGAAAACAGCAAGCCAUUUUUGUAUAGUGUAGGGUAUUCCCUAUAUUUGCACUAGUGGCGAUCUUUGAUGCCGAGUGGAUGUAAUCUGUGCAAUCGCCUUAAUAGCCUAGUGUUACUUUUGGCCUUACUUAUUUCCAAGUCUUCUUUUUCCCUGGUUUGCUAGUGGCCGCAACUACCAUGGGCCAUAUACGGGCCAUAGGAUCCAUGGGUCUCCUACGAGCCGUCGAUAAAUGAGCCUGUAAUCGGUGGGCCUCGGGCCGUCGGAUAAAUGGGUCUACAUGGGCCGUAAUCGGGCGUAAUUGGUAUCGGCCCAGCACGAUAACAGGCCGUUAACAGGCCAUAGGACAGCAAAGGCUUAAUUUUGUCAUAGGCAUAAUGGGUCGUUAAUGGGCCAGAAUAUAGGACGGGCUGGAAACGGCGGAACGGGUUAAAGGCCAGAAACGGGCCGACUCUUGCCAUGGGCCGAAUUUGGCCCAUUAGGGUAACAGGCCAGUAAUGGGACGACUCUUGCCAUGGGCCGAAUUUGGCCCAUUAGGGGAACAUGCCAGUAAUGGGCCGACUCUUGCCAUGGGCCGAAUUCGGCCCAUUAGGGGAAUAGGCCAGUAACGGGUCGGAAGUAAUCGAGGGCCGAAAAGGAUCCCAGGAACGUAUGGGCCGAAAUCUAACACGGGCUAGAAACGGCCCAUUUAAAUCACAGGCCAUUAACGGGUAUAAAGAGAAUUACUGUUCAUUAUGGGCUAGAGUCACCGUGGGCCUCUAAAGGGCCGAAAGAUACGAAGGCCUCAUAUGGGCCGAAAGACAUCAUGGGCCAUACAUGGGCCGAAAGUGAAAUGGGCUGGUGUUAUAUUCGACGUCCCACAUGACGUUGUUGGGCCGAUUUCCUUUAGGGCCUAACAGGCCGUAAAAUGGGCUAUUUGCGAAGAGAUCGUUAACAGGCUUUUCAUGGGCCAGCCCGUUAACUUUUGACCAAGUCAAACGGGCCAACUUUGUAAGCUAAAUGGGCCAGUGGUGGGCUGUGGCACGUGUCGACAUAUCAUAGGCGCCUAUCUGACCCACUGACGAGCUGACACGUGUUUCGUCCGGCCAAUAAGAAUUUUACACGUGGAAAUUUCCCAUUGGUCGGGGCUGUUAACGGGUUAUCGGAUCCAAAACCCGACCCGAUAGCUUAACGGCCUUCCGUUACGGUGGAUGCCAUGUGUCGGUCACCCUUGACGAAAGCACUUCUGUGAUGCGCGAUUUAUCAUCAUGGAAGUGGACACUUCCGUGAUGAUAAUUUUGGUAAUGUCAUGGAACACUUCUACGACAGCAUAGGUAUGACUAUCUUGAUUCUGUCAUAAAAUCGUCAUGGAUGUACAUGCAUGACAAAAAACGCGACCUACUAUGACAAACACGUAUCAUCACGGAAGUGUAUUUUUUUGUAGUGCUACCAAAAUAUUUUUAUCUCUAAGUUUUUCGCCUUGAGCUCUGGCACCUCUAUAAAUCCCUACUUCCCUUUGCGAAGGGCAUUUCCUUUACUUUAUGCAAUUUUUAUUUUGAGUCUCCAUCUUCUCUUAUAAAAGCACCAACUAGGAGGCAAUAUGAUCGUACUUAAGUAUUGGGUGUAGCUAAUAUUCGAGUGUGUUUCAUGAAUGGAUCAAUGUUUGAGCAUGAUGGGCUAGGGAUAACUUAUUUUAGCAUUGAUAUUUUGAAAGACAUGGUUGCUUGUUGAUAUGCUUGAGUAUCUAAAUUAUUAUGUCAACACUAGACUAUUGCUUUGAAUCACAUAAAAAGUCUAAUUUUCCAUGCUAUAAAGAAAAUAAUAUGAUAUGACAUGUUAAACAUCACUCCACAUCAAAAAUUCUGUUUUUAUCACUUACCUACUCGAGGACGAGUAGGAGUUAAGCUUGGGGAUGCUGAUAGUCUCCAACGUAUCUAUAUUUUUGAUUGUUCCAUGUUGUUAUAUUAUCAAUCUUGGAUGUUUUAUAAUCAUUUUAAAGUCAUUUUAUAUCAUUUUUGGUACUAACCUAUUGACAUAGUGCCAAGUGCCAGUUCCUGUUUUUUCCAUCUUUUUUCCAUCGCAGAAAAUCAAUAUCAGACGGAGUCCAAAUGCCACGAAACUUUACGAAGAUUUUUUAAGGACCAGAAGGAACAUGUUGGGCCCUGGUUGCACCUGGGGGGAGUACCAAGGAGGGGACAACCCACCAGGGCGCGCCAGGAGGCCCAGGCGCGCCCUGGUGGGUUGUGCCCACCUCGGGUGCCCCCCGGACCGCCUCUUUGCUCUAUAAAUACCCCCAAAAUACCAGAACCCUAGGGGAGUCGAUGAAAUAUUCAUCCAGCCGCCACAGAGUCCAGAACCACCAGAUCUAAUCUAGACACCAUCUCGUAUGGGGUUCACCACCUCCAUUGGUGCCUCUCCGAUGAUGCAUGAGUAGUUCUUUGUAGAUCUUCGGGUCCGUAGUUAGUAGCUAGAUGGAUUCAUCUAUCUCUCUGAGUUCUCAAUACAAUGGUCUCUUGGAGAUCCAUAUGAUGUAACUCUUUUUGUGGUGUGUUUGUUGGGAUCUGAUGAACAUUGAGUUUAUAACCAGUCAUAUCUUUUUAUAUCCAUGAAAGUUAUUUGAGUUUCUUUGAUCUCUUAUAUGCAUGAUCUCUUAUAGCAUCGUAUUUCUUCUCCGAUAUUUGGGAUUUGUUUGGCCAACUUGACCUAUUAAUCUUGCAAUGGGAAGAGGUGCCCGGUAGUUGGUUCGAUCUUACGGUGCUUGAUCCCAGUGACAGAAAGGGAACCGACACAUAUGUAUCGUUGCUACUAAGGAUAAAAAGAUGGGAUCUAUAUCUAUGCAAUAGAUAAAUGGAUCUUGUCUACAUCAUGUCAUCGUUCUUAUUACAUUACUCCAUUUUUCCAUGAACUUAAUACACUAGAUGCAUGUUGGAUAGCGGUCGAUGUGUGGAGUAAUAGUAGUAGAUGCAGGCAGGAGUCGGUCUACUAAUCUUGGAUGUGAUGCCUAUGUAAUGAUCAUUGCCUGGAUAUCGUCAUAAUUAUUUGAGGUUCUAUCAAUUUCCCAACAGUAAUUUGUUUACCCACUGUUUGCUAUCUUUCUCGAGAGAAGCCACUAGUGAAACCUACGGCCCCGGGGUCUUCUUUCUCAUAUAUUUUCUUGCGAUCUACUUUUCCUUUGCAUUUUUAUUCAAAUCUAUUAAACCAAAAAUACAAAAAUACUUUGCGGCACUUUAUUUUAUUUGUGAUCUAUUAUUUCAAUCUAUUACUAUAUCUGGCAUCGUUACUCGAAAGGGAUUGACAACCCCUUUAACUCGUCGGGUUGCGAGGUGUUGUUAUCUGUGUACAUGUGUUGUUUACAUUGUGUUGAUUGGUUCUCCUACUGGUUCGAUAACCUUGGUUUCUUCACUUAUGGAAAUACCUACCAUCGCUGUGCUGCAUCAUCCCUUUCUCUUUGGGGAAAUACCGACGUAGUCCUAGCAGAAAGGAGCUUUUCUGGCGCUAUAGUCAAAUAUCAAUCACUCUAAAGUUCCUCCAGCAUGAAUCUGGUUUGGAGACGAGAGGUAACUUCUUAAUCCUCCUCCAUGGCAUCCACUCUUUUCAAGUCAGCCUCCAUCUCUUCCUCCGUUUCUGGCCCAAAGUGGUUAUCAUCACUGUAUGCUCUUGGGCCUGGUGCCGGGUGAGAUACCCGACUCUCCCCGACCGACUCUUGUGAAGACAUCUUGCUCCAAAUCUGCUGCAGGAACAACUCAAAAUGAAAACAGAGGAUUUUGUUGUGGUACAGUGGUCAAAACCUUCGGCAGAUUACAUAAUGAAUUUUACCGACCAAAAGAAGUAUCAUGCGAGAAAACAGAGUCCAGAAGGCACACGAGGUGGCCACAAGGACAGGAGGCGCGCCAGGGGUUAGGGCGCGCCCUCCACCCUUGUGGUGGCCUCAUGUCUCUUUCAGACUAUUUUUAAUUUUCCUAAUUUUUUAAAUAUUCCAAAACAGAGAAAAUUAUCAUUGAAAAUGUUUUGGAGUCGGUUUACUUACCGUACCACAUACCUAUUUCUUUUUGGAGUCUGAAACGUUCUGGAAAGUAUCCCUUAUGUACUCCUCCGGUGUCACAGUAGUAAUUAUAUUGGUCUCAACAUUUAUGGGAGUACCCGAGAUAUAAUGUUCGAUUCUUUGACCGUUUACCAUAUUCGGAUUUGUGCCUUCGGUGUUGUUGAUCUUUAUGGAACAGAAACGAUAAACCUCCUCGAUAAUAUAAGGACCUUCCCAUAUAGAGAGAAGCUUUCCUGCAAAAAAUCUUAAACAAGAGUUGUAUACCAAAACAUGAUCACCUACAUUAUACUCACGCUUUUGUAUCCUUUUAUCAUGCCAUCUUUUAACUUUUACUUUAAACAACUUGGCAUUCUCAUAGGCUUGGGUUCUCCAUUCAUCAAGUGAGCUAAUGUCAAAUAACCUCUUCUCACUGGCAAGUUUGAAAUCAUAAUUGAGCUCUUUAAUAGCCCAAUAUGCCUUAUGUUCUAGUUCAAGAGGUAAGUGGCAUGCUUUUCCAUAAACCAUUUUAUACGGAGACAUACCCAUGGGAUUCUUAUAAGCAGUUCUAUAAGCCCAUAAUGCAUCAUCAAGUUUAUUAGGCCAAUUCUUUCUAGAUCUAUUAACAGUCUUUUGCAAAAUUAAUUUAAGCUCUCUAUUACUCAAUUCUACUUGACCACUAGACUGAGGAUGAUAAGGAUAUGCAAUUCUAUGGUUAACAUCAUAUUUAGCAAGCAUUUUACAGAAAGCACCAUGAAUAAAAUGUGAACCACCAUCAGUCAUUAAAUAUCUAGGGACCCCAAACCUCAGAAAAAUAACUUCUUUAAGCAUCUUAAUAGAAGUGUUAUGAUCAACACUACUACUUGGAAUAGCUUCUACCCACUUAGUAACAUAAUCAACAGCAACUAAAAUAUGUGUAUACCCAUUAGAGGAAGGAAAGGGUCAAACAUAAUCAAAGCCCCAAACAUCAAAUGGUUCAAUAACAAGUGAAUAGUUCAUAGGCAUUUCCUGACAUCUACUAAUAUUACCAAUUCUUUGGCAUUCAUCACAAGAUAAGACAAACUUAAGGGCAUCUUUAAAGAGAGUGGGCCAAUAGAAACCAGAUUGCAAUACCUUAUGUGAAGUUCUAUCUCCAGCAUGCUGCCCUCCGUAAGCCUCGGAGUGACACUUGCGUAGGAUCUGUUCCUAUUCAUGGUUAGGUACACAACGUCUAAUAACACCAUCUACUCCUUCUUUAUAAAGGUGUGGAUCAUCCCAAAAGUAAUGUCUUAAAUCAUAGAAAAACUUUUUCUUUUGCUGAUAUGCAAAACUAGGUGGUGUAAAUUUAGCAACAAUAUAAUUCGCAUAAUCAGCAUACAAUGGAGUAUUACAAGAAGCAUUUAUGACAUUUAAUUGCUCAUCGGGAAAGCUAUCAUCAAUAGGCAGUGGGUCAUCAAGAACAUUUUCUAACCUAGACAAGUUGUCUGCAAUGGGGUUCACAGCUCCCUUUCUAUCAAUAAUAUGUAAAUCAAAUUCUUGUAGCAAGAGAACCCAUCUAAUAAGUCUAGUUUUAGGAUCUUUCUUUUCCAUAAGAUAUUUAAUAGUAGCAUGAUCAGUGUGAACAGUUACCUUGGAAUCGACAAUAUAAGGUCUAAAUUUAUCACAUGCAAAUCCAACUGCUAAAAAUUCUUUUUCAGCAGUAGCAUAAUUUCUCUGGGCACUAUCUAGAGUUUUACUAGCAUACUGAAUAACAUUCAAUUUCUUAUCGACUCUUUGUCCUAGAACAACACCGACAUCAUAAUCACUAGCAUCCCACAUAAUUUCAGAAGGCGAGUUCCGAUCAGGUCGUUGAACAAUAGGAGCAGAAAUCAAGGAUUUCUUAAGUAUUUCAAAUGCGUCAACACAAUCAUUAUCAAAAACAAAGUGAACAUCUUUUUGUAAGAGAUUAGUGAGAGGCCUAGAAAUUUUAGAGAAGUCUAUAGAAUCUAGCAUGACCAAGGAAACUUCUUAUACCUUUGAUAUCUUUUGGACACGACAUCUCUUCAAUAGCAUCUACUUUAGCUUUAUCAACUUCAAUGCCUCUUUUAGAAAUUUUAUGCCCCAAGACAAUACCUUCAUUAACCAUAAAGUGACACUUUUCCCAAUUCAAGACGAGAUUAGUUUCUUCACAUCUCUGCAAAACUCGAUCAAGGUUGCUUAAGCAAUUAUCAAAAGAAGUUCCAUAAACGGAGAAAUCAUCCAUGAAAACCUCAACAAUCUUUUCACUAAAGUUAGAGAAUAUAGCAGUCAUAAAUCUUUGAAACGUAGCAGGUGCAUUGCAUAAAUCAAAAGGCAUACGUCUAUAAGCAAAGGUACCAAAAGGGCAAGUAAAAGUGGUUUUCUCUUGAUCCUCUUUUGACACGGGUAUUUGAGAGAACCAGAAUAACCAUCUAGAAAGCAAAAAUGUGUAUGCUUGGAUAACCUUUCUAGCAUUUGAUCAAUAAAAGGUAGAGGGCAAUGAUCUUCUCUAGUAGCUUUAUUUAAUUUGCGAAAAUCAAUUACGAUUCUAUAAACUGUAACGAUUCUUUGUGGAAUCAAUUCAUUCUUAUCAUUAGGAACAACAGUAAUACCUCCCUUCUUAGGGACACAAUGAACAGGGCUUACCCAUUGACUAUCAGCAAUAGGAUAAAUUAUACCUGCCUCUAGAAGCUUUAUUAUUUCAUUUCUUACCACUUCUUUCAUCGUAGGAUUUAACUGUCGUUGAUGAUCAACAACUGGUCUAGCAUCUUUCUCUAGUUUAAUUUUGUGCUGACAUAGAGUGGAACUAAUGCCCUUAAGAUCAUCUAGAGUAUAUCCAAUAGCGGCACGGUGAUUCUUCAGGGUUUUCAAUAAUCUCUUUUCUUCAUGCUCUGAAAGGUUAGCACUAAUAAUAACAUGAUAUAUCUUCUUUUCAUCAAGAUAAGCAUAUUUCAGAGUAUCAGGUAAUUGUUUAAGCUCAAACACGGGAUCACCCUUAGGUGGGGAGGAUCCCCAAGGAUUUCAACAGGUAAAUUGUGUUUCAAAAUCGGCCCUUUAUUAAAUAAUACUUCAUCUAUUUCCUUUCUUUCAUUCAUAAACAUACCGUUUUCAUGGUCUAACAAAUAUUGUUCUAAAGGAUCAUUAGGAGGCACAACAAUAGAAGCAAGACCAAUAAUUUCAUCCUUACUAGGCAAUUCUUUAUCAUGUGGUUGUCUACGACUUAGAGAAAUUAAAAUCAUGAGACAUAUCCCCCAAACCAAUAGUAACAAUCUCUUUCUCGCAAUCUAUCUUAGCAUUAACAGUAUUCAAGAAAGAUCUACCAAAUAUAAUGGGACAAAAAUUAUCUUGUGGGGAAGCAAGAACAACAAAAUCAGUAGGAUAUUUUAUCUUCCCACACAAGACUUCAACAUAUCUAACAAUCCCAAUUGGUGAUAUAGUAUCUCUAUUAGCAAGCUUAAUAGUAAAAUCAAUAUCUUCUAUCUCAGGAGGUGCAAUAUCAUUCAUAAUUUCUUUAUAUAAGGUAUAAAGAAUUGCACUCACACUAGCACCCACAUAACAUAAGCCAUGAUAACAAUCAUCUCCUAUUUUAACAGAAACAACAUGCAUGCCAACAAAAGGUCUAUGUUUAUCUUUCAUAUCGGGUUUAGCAAUUCUAGCAGCUUCAUCAUAGAAAUAAAUAACAUGCCCAUCAAUAUUAUCAACCAACAGAUCUUUAACCAUAGCAAUAAUAGGUUCAACUUUAAUUUGCUCAGCGGGUCUAGGUGUUCUAGUUUAACUAUUACGAACCACAGUUGAAGCUUUAGCAAUGAUCCUUUAUUCUAACAGGAAAUGGUGGUUUCUCAAUAUAAGAGGUAGGAAAAUAGGAUCAACAUUGUAAGUAAUAGUUUCUUCUUCAACUUUAAUAGGUUCUACUACUUUAAAUUCAAUGGGAGGAUUAUAUUUAAAACACUUCUCCUUAGGGAGUUCAACAUGAGUAGAAAACGAUUCGCAAAAAUAAGCUACUAUCUCAGAGUCAAGUCCAUACUUAGCGCUAAAAUCAUGAAAAGCAUCGAUAUCCAUAAAAGAUUUAACACAAUCAAACUUAAGGUUUAUACCUGACUCCUUACCUUCGUCGAGUUCCCAAUCUUUAGAUUUGCAUUUAAUUCUUUCCAAUAAAUCCCAUUUGAAUUCAAUAUCCUUCUUCAUAUAGGAACCAGUACAAGAAGUAUCGAGCAUGGAUCGAUCAUUAUGAGAAAGCCGAGCAUAAAUUUUUUGAAUAAUAAUUUCUCUUGAGAGCUCAUGAUUGGGGCAUGAAUAUAACAUUGACUUAAGCCUCCCCAAAGCUUGAGCGAUACUUUCUCCUUCAUGAGGCCAAAAAUUAUAUAUAUAAUUCCGAUCACGAUGAACCAAAUGCAUUGGAUAAAACUUUCGAUGAAAUUAUAAUUUCAACCGGUUCUAGUUCCAUGAUCCAAUAUCAUCCAAUAGCCUAUACCAUGUCAAUGGCUUUCCCUACAAAGAUAAAGGGAAGACCUCUUCUUGACAACAUCCUCGGGCAUACCUGCAAGCUUAAAUAAUCCACCAACGUCAUCCACAUAGAUUAGGGGCAUAUCGGGAUGUAAUGUUCCAUCUCCUGCAUAAGGAUUAGCUAGCAGUUUCUCUAUCAUACCCGAAGGAAUUUCAUAAUGAAUAUUUUCAGUAGGUGCAGUAGGUUGAGGAGCAACUCUUUGCUCUUCCGGUUGGGGUGAAGAUACCCCGUACAAGCCCCUCAAAGGAUUAUUUUCCAUACUAACAAGUGACAGUAAAUUUCAGCAUACUAUAUAAAUGUUUCCUUACCAAAGGCGCUUCACUCCCCGGCAACGGCGCCAGACAAGAGUCUUGAUUACCCACAAGUAUAGGGAUCUAUCGUAGUCCUUUCGAUAAGUAAGAGUGUCGAACCCAACGAGGAGCAUAAGGAAAUGACAAGUAGUUUUCUGUAAGGUAUUCUCUGCAAGCGCUGAAAUUAUCGGUAACAGAUAGUUUUGUGAUAAGAUAAAGCGUAACGGGUAACAAGUUAAUAAAGUGACUAACAUGCAGCAAGGUGGACCAAUCCUUUUUGUAGAAAAGGACAAGCCUGGACAAACUCUUAUAUAAAGCGAAGUACUCCCGAGGACACAUGGGAAUUGUUGUCAAGUUAGUUUUCAUCAUGCACAUAUGAUUCACGUUCGUUACUUUGAUAAUUUGAUAUGUGGGUGGACCGGUGCUUGGGUGAUUCCCUUCCUUGGACAAGCCUCCCACUUAUGAUUAACCCCUCUCACAAGCAUCCACAACUACGAAAGAAGUAUUAAGGUAAACCUAACCAUAGCAUGAAACAAAUAUAUCCAAAUCAGCCCCUUACGAAGCAACACAUAAACUAGGGUUUAAGAUUCUGUCACUCUAGCAACCCAUCAUCUACUUAUUACUUCCCAAUGCCUUCCCCUUGUCACAAAUAAUGGUGAAGUGUCAUGUAGUCGACGUUCACAUAACACCACUAGAGGAGAGACAACAUACAUCUCAUCAGAAUAUCGAACGAAUACCAAAUUCACAUGAUUACUUAUAACAAGACUUCUCCCAUGUCCUCAGGAACAAACAUAACUACUCACAAAACAUAUUUAUGAUCAAGAUCAGAGGAGUAUUAUCAUUAAGGAUCUGAAAAUAUAAUCUCCCACCGAAUAAACCAACUAGCAUCAACUACAAGGAUUAAUCAACACUACUCGCAACCCAUAGGUACCAAUAUGAGGUUUUGGGACCAAGAUCGAAUACAAGAGAUGAACUAGGGUUUGAGAGGAGAUGGUGCUGGUGAAUAUGUUGGUGGAGAUAGACCCCCUCUCGAUGACAUGAUCGUUGGUGAUGACGAUGGCGACGAUUUCCCCCUCCCCAAGGGAUGUUUCCCUAGCAGAACAGCUCCACCGGAGCCGUAGAUUGGUUCUUCCCAGGUUCUGCCUCAAGACGGCGGUGCUUUGUCACGAAAGCUUCCUUUUGAUUUUUUCCAGGUCAAAACACACCAUAUAGCCAAAGAUGGGCACCGGAGGCCUGCUAGGGGGCCCACAAGGAUGGGGAGCGCGCCCUCCACCCUUGUGGCUGGCUGGUGGCCGCCCUCUUGUACUUUCUUCGCCCAAUAUUUUUAUAUAUUCCAAAAACAUGCUCCGUGAAGUUUCAGGACUUUUGGAGUUGCGCAGAAUAGGUCUCCAAUAUUUGCUCCUUCUCAAGUCCAGAAUUCCAGCUGCCAGUAUUCUCCCUCUUCAUGUAAACCUUAUAAAAUAAGAGAGAAAAGGCAUAAGUAUUGUGAUAUAAUGUGUAAUAACUGCCCAUAAUGCAAUUAAUAUCAAUAUAAAAGCAUGAUGCAAAAUGGACGUAUUAGUGGUGAAGGAGUCGUCGUGGGAGGAGGAACCGCUGGAGAGGUCAUUGAAGAAGACUAUGGCGACCCCGGCGGUAGGAUGCGAGACGGUGAGAGCGAGGAAGCAAGCAAGGAAGCGGCUAUAGCUUAGGAAGGAAGGAAGGAAGGAAGGAAGGAAGGAAGGAGGAAACAUGGGAAAUGUGACUUGUGGUCGGGGAGAAAAGGGGGUAGGGAAGGGGGGAGGGGGCGGAGGUAGAUAUUUUGACGGUAGGCCAAAAAUUUGGAAAUGUGGAGGGAAACUUUGCGCGCAGUGUCGCGGGACACCAUUUACUUUCAUCUUGUGUGCAUCGCAAAUGAUUCUUCUGCUUCACACGCAUGGGAUGAGUUUGAUAAUUCAAAUUUUGGUGGAAAUUUCCCCGGGUAAGUCAUUGCAUAAUUUAACAUCGCUUGCUUAUUAGGGCACACAAAAGAGCGUACAAUGAUAACCCACAAGUAUAGGGGAUCGCAACAGUUUUCAAGGGUAGAGUAUUCAACCCAAAUUUAUUGAUUCGACACAAGGGGAGCCAAAGAAUAUUCUCAAGUAUUAACAGUUGAGUUGUCAAUUUAACUGCACCUGAAAGACUUAAUAUCUGUAGCAAAGUAUUUAGUAGCAAAGUAAUAUGGAAGUAACAGUAAUGGUAGCAAAAGUAACAGUAUUGGCUUUGUAGUGAUUGUAACAGCGGCAACGGAAAAGUAACUAAGCAAAGAACAAUAUGUGAAAAGCUCGUAGGCAAUGGAUCAGUGAUGGAUAAUUAUGUCGGAUGUGAUUCCUCAUGCAACAGUUAUAACAUAGGGUGACACAGAACUAGCUCCAGUUCAUCAAUGUAAUGUAGCCAAGUAUUCCGAAUAUAGUCAUACAUGCUUAUGGAAAAGAACUUGCAUGAAAUCUUUUGUCCUACCCUCCCGUGGCAGCGGGGUCCUAUUGGAAACUAAGGGAUAUUAAGGCCUCCUUUUAAUAGAGUACUGGACCAAAGCAUUAACACUUAGUGAAUACAUGAAGUCCUCAAACUAUAGUCAUCAUCGGGAGUGGUCCCGAUUAUUGUAACUUCGGGGUUACCGGAUCAUAACACAUAGUAGGUGACUAUUGACUUGCAAAAUAGGAUCAAGAACUCACAUAUAUUCAUGGAAACAUAAUAGGUUCAGAUCUGAAAUCAUGGCACUCAGGCCCUAGUGACAAGCAUUAAGCAUAGCAAAGUCAUAGCAACAUCAAUCUCAGAACAUAAUGGAUACUAGGGAUCAAACCCUAACAAAACUAACUCGAUUACAUGAUAAAUCUCAUCCAACCCAUGACCGUCUAGCAAGCCUACGAUGGAAUUACUCACACACGGCGGUGAGCAUCAUGAAAUUGGUGAUGGAGGAAGGUUGAUGAUGAUGAUGGCGAUGGAUUCCCCUCUCCGGAGCCCCGAACGGACUCCAGAUCAGCCCUCCCGAGAGAGAUUAGGGCUUGGCGGCAGCUCCGUAUCGUAAAACAUGAUGAAUCCUUCUUUCUGAUUUUUUUCUCCCCGAACGUGAAUAUAUAGAGUUGGAGUUGAGGUCGGUGGAGCAUCAGGGGGCCCACGAGGGAGGUGGGCGCGCCCCCACCCUCGUGGACAGGGUGUGGGCCCCUGACGUAGAUUCUUUCGCCAAUAUUUUUUAUAUAUUCCAAAAAUAUUCUCCGUGAAGUUUCAGGUCGUUCCGAGAACUUUUAUUUCUGCACAAAAAUAACACCAUGGCAAUUCUGCUGAAAACAGCGUUAGUUCGGGUUAGUUCCAUUCAAAUCAUGCAAGUUAGAGUCCAAAACAAGGUCAAAAGUGUUUGGAAAAGUAGAUAUGAUGGAGACGUAUCAACUCCCCCAAGCUUAAACAUUUGCGUGUCCUCAAGCAAUUCAGUUGACAAACUGAAAGUGAUAAAGAAAAACUUCUACAAACUCUGUUUGAUCUUGUUGUUGUAAAUAUGUAAAGCCAGCAUUCAAGUUUUCAGCAAAGAUUAUGAACUAACCAUAUUCACAAUAACAUUUAGGUCUCAUGUUUACUCAUAUCAAUGGCAUAAUCAACUAGCGAGCAAUAAUAGUAAAUCUCGGAUGACAACACUUUCUCAAAACAAUCAUAAUAUGAUAUAACAAGAUGGUAUCUCGUUAGCCCGUUCUGAGACCACAAAACAUAAAUGCAGAGCACCUUUGAAGCUCAAGGACUGAUUGAACAUUGUAAUUCAUGGUAAAAGAGAUCCAGUCACAGUCAUACUCAAUGUAAAUUAAUAAUAAUGCUUGCAAUGACAGCGGUGCUCUCCAACUGGUGCUUUUUCAUAAGAGGAUGAUGACUCAACAUAAAAGUAAAUAGAUAGGCCCUUCGUAGAGGGAAGCGGGGAUUUGUAGAGGUGCCAGAGCUCGAUUUUCAAAUAGAGAUAAGUAAUAUUUUGAGUGGUAUACUUUCAUUGUCAACAUAACAACCGAGAGAUCUCGAUAUCUUCCAUGCUACACACAUUAUAGGCGGUUCCCAAACAGAAUGGUAAAGUUUAUACCCCCCCUACCACCAAAAAACAUCAAUCCAUGGCUUGUCCGAAACAACGGGUGCCUCCAACUAACAACAAUCCUGGGGGAGUUUUUUUGCAAUUAUUUUAAUUUAAGCAUGGGACUGGGCAUCCCGGUUACCAGCCAUUUUCUCGUGAAUGAGGAGCGGAGUCCACUCCUCUUGAGAAUAACCCGCCUAGCAUGCAAGAUAUAGACAACCCUAGUUGAUACAUGAGCGAUUCGAGCAUACAAAAUAGAAUUUCAUUUGAAGGUUUAGAGUUUGGCACACACAAAUUUACUUGGAGCCGCAGGUAGAUACCGCAUAUAGGAAGGUAUGAUGGACUCAUAUGGAAUAACUUUUGGGGUUUAUGGAAGUGGAUGCACAAGCAGUAUGCCCGCUUAGUACAAGUGAAGGCUAGAAAGAGACCGGGAAGCGACCAGCUAGAGAACGACAAUAGUCAUGAACAUGCAUUACAAUUAAUCAACACUGAAUGCAAGCAUGAGUAGGAUAUAAUUCACCAUGAACAUAAAUAUCGUGGAGGCUAUAUUGAUUUUGUUUCAACUACAUGUGUGAACAUGUGCCAAGUCAAGCCACUCGAAUCGUUCAAAGGAGGAUACCACCCUAUCAUACCACAUCACAACCAUUUUAAUAGCACGUUGGCACGCAAGGUGAACCAUUAUAAACUCCUACCUAAUUAAGCAUGGCAUGAGCAACUAUAAUCUCUAAUUGUCAUUGCAAACAUGUUUCAUUCAUAAUAGGCUGAAUCAGGAACGAUGAAAUAAUCAUAUUUACAAAAACAAGAUAGGUCGAGUUCAUACCAGCUUCUCUCAUCUCAAUUAGUUCAUCAUAUAUCGCCAUUAUUCCCUUUCACUUGCACGACCGAACAGUGUGGAUAAUAAGAAUAGUGCACAUGCAUUGGACUAAGCUGGAAUCUGCAAGCAUUCAAUACAAGGGAGAAGACAAGGUAAUAUGGGCUCUUUGUUAGAUCAACAAUAAUGCAUACGAGAGCCACUCAACAUUUUGAUCAUGGUCUUUUCCUCUCGACCCCCAAAGAAAAGAAAAGAAACAAAACUAUUUACACGGGAAAGCUCCCAACAAGCAAAAGAAGAACAAGAAAUCUUGUUGGGUUUUCUUUUAAUUACUACUACUACAAGCAUGGAAAGUAAACUAGCUAAAAGCUACAACUAAAUUUUUUGGUUUUUAUUAAGGUUUUUCAAACACACAAGAAGAAUGCUCGAAAAGAAAAUAAACUAGCAUGGAUAUUACAAUGAAAAAGUAUGAGCACCGACAACUGGCACGAGUGUGGGAACAUGAAUGUAAUGUCGGUAAGAAAUACAUACUCCCCCAAGCUUAGGCUUUUGGCCUAAGUAGGUCUAUGGCCAUGACUGGCCUGGUGGAUAUACAAAGUUGUAGUUGGGGUCGUACUGAGAUACAGCGGCUAUUGCCUGAUGAGCUGCAGCUUGGAGGCGAGAUGCCUCCGUCCUCCUCUCAUACUCAUUCGCCUCCUCCCCGGUUAUAACAUAUCUCCCUUUUGCCUGAAAGUCAAAGAAAGCAGGAGCAGGGAGAGCAACAUGGAUAGUGCGACGUCUGUCAAAGAUUAGUUGGUAUUGGAGGAACUGUUCAUUCCUCUCAACAAACUGAUGACGAAGCAUAGCAUUAUAAACUAGAUAAGCAGGAGGUAACUCAAUAUCAUUCUCAUGUAUGGGUAUCUCAAGAAAAUUAGCUACAUGAGUUGCAUAAAUUCCACCAAACAAGUCUUGACUUAAACUAUUAACAUGCAACCUACGUGCAACAAUAGCCCCCAAGUUAUAUUGUUUAUCACCUAAUACCGCACUCUUGAGGACACUAAGAUCUAGAACUCACAAGUAUAGGGGAUCACAACAGGUUUUGAGGGUAGAGUAUUCAACCCAAAUUUAUUGAUUCAACACAAGGGGAGCCAACGAAUAUUCUCAAAUAUUAAUAGUUAAGUUGUAAAUUCAACCGCACCUGAAAGACUUAAUACUUGUAGGAAAGUAUUUAGUAGCAAAGUAAUAUGGAAGUAACGGUAAUGGUAGCAAAAGUAGCAGUAUUGGUUUUGUAGUGAUUGUAACAGUGGCAACGGAAAAGUAACUAAGCAAAGAACAAUAUGUGAAAAGCUCAUAGGUAAUGGAUCAGUGAUGGAUAAUUAUGUCGGACGCGAUUCCUCAUGUAAAACUUAUAACAUAGGGUGACACAGAACUAGCUCCAGUUCAUCAAUGUAAUGUAGGCAUGUAUUCCGAAUAUAGUCAUACGUGCUUAUGGAAAAGAACUUGCAUGACAUUUUUUGUCCUACCCUCCCGUGGCAGCGGGUUCCAAUUGGAAAAUAAGGGAUAUUAAGGCCUCCUUUUAAUAGAGUACCGGACCAAAGCAUUAACACUUAGUGAAUACAUGAACUCCUCAAACUAUGGUCAUCACCGGGAGUGGUCCCGAUUAUUGUCACUUCGGGGUUACUGGAUCAUAACACAUAGUAGGUGACUAUUGACUUGCAAAUUAGGAUCAAGAACUCACAUAUAUUCAUGGAAACAUAAUAGGUUCAGAUCUGAAAUCAUGGCCCUAGUGACAAGCAUUAAGCAUAGCAAAGUCAUAGCAACAUCAAUCUCAGAACAUAAUGGAUACAAGGGAUCAAACCCUAACAAAACUAACUCGAUUACAUGAUAAAUCUCAUCCAACCCAUGACCGUCCAGCAAGCAUACGAUGGAAUUACUCACACACAGCGGUGAGCAUCAUGAAAUUGGUGAUGUAGGAGGGUUGAUGAUGACGAUGGCGAUGGAUUCCCCUCUCCGGAGCCCCGAACGGACUCCAGAUCAGCCCUCCCGGGAGAGAUUAGGGCUUGGCGGCGGCUCCGUAUCGUAAAACACAAUGAAUCCUUCUCUCUUAUUUUUUUCCCCGAACGUGAAUAUAAAGAGUUGGAGUUGAGGUCGGUGGAGCAUUAGGGGGCCUACGAGGCAGGGGGCGUGCCCCCACCCUCGUAGACAGGGUGUGGGCCCCCCGAUGUAGAUUCUUUCGCCAGUAUUUUUUAUAUAUUCCAAAAAUAUUCUCCGUGAAGUUUCAGGUCAUUCCGAGGACUUUUAUUUCUGCACAAAAAUAACACCAUGGCAAUUUUACUGAAGACAACAUAGUCCGGGUUAGUUCCAUUCAAAUCAUGCAAGUUAGUGUCCAAAACAAGGUCAAAAGUGUUUGGAAAAGUAGAUACAAUGGAGACGUAUCAUACAACACUCAAACCACACUUACUGAAUUGAGGAAUUUUAGUAAUUAAACAGAGCCACUUGACCUAAACAUUGCUCUAAAAAAGACCAACAUUAAAAACAAAGCCUAAGUAUGCAUAAUUUUAACAAAUCCAUCGCCGCGCCGGCCUAUGCAUCACCGGUGUGAGAUGAGAUGUUGAUGACUUGUCCUGGCGAAAUGCCGCCAUUGGUGGACUCCGCGUCCCCCCUGCUGAAGUUGACCGCGUCCUCAUCCUCGUCCUCGGCGCCAUCCUCAAGGUUGUAGUACUCGUAGUAGUGGCUGCGCCAGAGCUCGUGUUGGUACUCCACCGCCCAUUCAUCAACGGACAUACUCUUCUCUACCUCUGCCUCAGCCAUGCGCAACUCCUCCUCCUGACGCUCCUCGAUCUUCGCCACCUCCUGCAUCUCGUGCUCCUGCUCGGCGAUCUCAUGAGGAAGCAGGUGCUCCAUGGCCACCGCUGCCUUUUCGUACGUGGGAUGCAUGCUGAAUUCCAAGGUGGCCUAGAGUAUCUUGGUGUGUGCAUCCUCGAUCUUCGCAUGGAUGGUCUUGACCCGGGCCAGGGCGACAUCGGCGGCAUGGACGGCAGCUCGAGCGCACUCGGCGUUUGCAGCCCCUGUUGCUGCAGCCGCUGGAGCCGUCUCGGCUGCUGCAGCUGCCCUGUCGGCUGCCGCAAACGCCCUCUCGGCAGAUGCGGCCAUGCUCAAUGCGGAUGCGGCGACACUUUCUGCAUAGGCAGACGCGCUCUCAGCGCAAGCGGCGGCGCUCGGGGAGGACGCGGCCAUCGUACGGGCCUUCAUGAAGCGUUUCCACGACAUCAUCUUUGCAAGAAGGGGGCACGAGAAUGGGGAUUGGGAUUCGUGGAUUCGGGGGUUGCCGGAACUGGAGCAGACGAGCCGACGAAGCUUAAAGAGGAAGACCUAAAUAGACCCAGAAAUUUUCAUCACAAACAGUUCCUACAAACAAAUUGUGUGUGAUGUUUCGGAUAUUUUUUAUUAGCUAUGAGAAAUGAAUUUGAUGUAAAGUGGCAACGAAUGGUGUUUUAAAUGUACGAAAUUUUUUGUAGUACUAAUACAACUGUCAUGUCAAAUUUUGGAAAAUUUCAGGGGUCAUUUGACCUUUUAAGACAUUUAAGUGGCUUUUAGCCAUUUAAUGACCGUAAUUCAAAUUUGAACUACAUGUACAUGCAACAGCUAACCAUAACGGUUUGAAAAGUCAUAUGUUGUGUACUUGUGUACGAUUUAAUUCCAUGUCAAGUAAAUUGGAAGGAAUUUUCAAACAUAUCGGUCUAACGGCUAUGACACAAUUAAGCAUGGAGUGCCAUGGCAUUUAAAUUUCAAAAAAUUAAAAGAAGGAUCAGAAACACAUGAAACCUUGCUUGAUGUAAUGUCAUGCCAACAAGAUGAUGUGGUAAAAUUUUUGGCAUGUUUGACGAAAGUUUGGACAAACACCCCUCACAAACCGAAGCAACUCACUAGAAGGCUCGUGUUUCCGAGAGGGAACAAUGCAUGUUUGAUGACGAACGGGAGAUAGCUUCCCCUUACGGCCUUCAAAUUAUUUAUACAUUUAACGUGCACUUAUACAAUUUUCAUGUGAAAUUGUGGAAAAUUUCAGGGGUCAUUUGACCUUUUAAAGACAUUUAAUUGAUUUUCUUGCCAUUUAGUGUCUGUAAUUCAAAUUUGAACUACAUGUAUGUGCAACAGCUAACCAUAAUGGUUUGAAAAAUCUUAUUUGUGUACUUGUGUGCGAGUUAAUUAAUUCAAUGUGCAAUAAAUUAGAAGGAAUUUUCAAACAUAUUGGUCUCACAGCAUGGACACAUGCAUUGAGUGCCAUGGCAUUUAAAUUCCAAAAAAAAAAUUGAUCAAAAGAACAUGAAACCUUGCUUGAUGUACUAUCAUGCUACCAAGAUGAUGUGGUAAAAAAAUUGGCCUGUUUGACAAAAGUUUGGACACACACCCCUCACAAACCGGAGCAACUCACUAGAAGGCUCGUGGUUCUGAGAGGAAACAAUGUAACUAUAUGACUCAUGUUCGACCUUUCGGUCUCUAGUGUUCCGAGACCAUGUCUGUACAUGCUAGGCUCGACAAGUUCAACCCAAGUAUUCUGCAUGUGCAAAACUGGCUUACACCCGUUGUAUGUGAACGUAGAGUCUAUCACACCCGAUCACCACGAGGUGCUUCAGAAUGAUGAACUUUAGCAAUGGUGCAUACUCGAGGAGAACACUUUAUCCUGAAAUUAAGUGAAUGGACCAUCUUAUAAUGCUACCGUCGUUCUAAGAAAAAUAAGACGCAUAAAGGAUAAACCCCAAUAGUGCGCGUCGGUCCUAAACAAAUGCUUUUUAACCCCUUUCCGUGACGACAUUUGGAACCGUCGCCAAGUGAGUGUGGGCGAUAGGGGGGUCCUUCCUGCACGACCCAGAAACAGUCGGGGAUAGGGAGCCUUGAUGCAUAUAGUUGUCCCUAUACAACUGUUUCCGAUAUCUCGAAUAUCCCAAAUGCUUCAUCCUUGCUACUCAUUUGUGCUCAUGUUGCUAUCGCAGUCGGAGUUUUGUGGUUCUUCCUAAAGCCAGGCAGAUUCCAGGCACAAGAGUUUUCCAGGUAGAUUCUAGGCACGGGAGUUUUACGAUGCCUGGCACAUCACAAAUAGUUCAUGAUUAUAAACCAUGUACGAUAGGUAGACAAUCACACACAUUUGGUUUUCCUACACCGUAUGUGAUAGUGUCUGACAUCACACACGCUUUGCAAACGGCAACUGUGUGCAUGCUUGCACACGUUUCCUCUCUGUCAACCGUCUCAGAUUAUGGUGUAUAUCGCAAACGUUUGUGUUUUACCAACCGUGUGUGCCGUAAUGACCCGCACAAUGUAAUUUCGCCCUAAUUUAAUUUCUGCUAUUUAAAAUUGUACCUAAUUUAAACUUUAAAGUAGGCUAUAGCUUUAUUCAUAUCAUCAUGUUCAAACAACCAAUGCAUUAUUCGAUUCACAGGUACAUAUGUUUAAGAAUCACUACAAAAAAAGACACAUCCGUGACAUUUUGGGCCGAACGAUUUUUUUUUCUGUCAUACAUAUGACACUUCUAUGACGAUAAUUUUGACAAAAUCCGGUAUCAUCAUAGAUGUGGUGGGCUCCUACUUCUAUGACAAAAAAUCAUGACAGAAAAUGGGCUUUUCGUCCUGGGCGGGCCGGAGACGCAGCUGCAUGACAUUCUUUGGGCCGUCCAUGACGGAAAAAACCAUGGUAGAAGCGAGGGGGAGGAAAAUUUUGGGGAGUUCCCGGUUACGGUGGGAGGUCGGGGCCAAGCGAUGCGUGUUUCUCUCAUACACGUACGCGCGUGUGUGUGAGGCGUUGGCUCUAACUGAACCCGAGCGAUUGCACUGCAGACUACGUGUUACUGAACCCGAGCGAUCAACCGAUGGCUGUUAACUGAACCCGAUCGAGCGAUUCCUUCGCUACUGCUGCUAACUAAAGCCGAUCGAUUCGAUGAACAGUGAGCGUUGCCGGAGGGGGGAGGUUGGAUGAACAGUGAGCAGUUGCGUUGCCUCUGGAUGAACAGGACCCCGUGUUGUGGAGGGCUGGAUGAACAGUAGACGGUGGAGGGGUGCCCAUGGAGGGGUGGUUGAACAGGAUCCCGUGUUGUGGAGGGCUGGAUGAACAGUAGACGGUGGAGGGGUUCCCGUGGAGGGGUGGUUGAACAGUAGCCGGUGGAGUAGCGUACGGUGGAGGCUGGAUGAACAUGAGCCCGUGGAGGCUGGAGGAGGUCGACGGUAGCCCGUGGAGGCUGGAGGAGGUCGACGGUGGAGAUGAACAUUAUCCCGUGGAGUCUUGUUUUGCAGUACGCCACACCCCUCUCGAUGAACAGGACCCCCGUUUCGACCGUAGGAGUUCCAUAUCGACCGUUUUGUGGUACGCCACACCCCUUCCCGAUCAAUAGGACCCCCGUUUUGACCGUAGGAGGCUUGUUUCGUCCGUUUUGCGGUACGCCACACCCCUCCUGAUCAACAGGACCCUCGUUUUGACCGUAGGAGGUCCGUUUCCUCCGUUUUGUGGUACGCCACACCCCUCCCGAUCAACAGGACCGCGUUCUGAACGUAGGAGUCUGUUUCCUCCGUUUUGCGGUACGCCAGGCCUCGUUUCCAUCGCCUGUUCCAUCCAAGCCCUCCUGAUGAACACGACCACGCAUUCCGUUCUGACCCAGCCGGUUGGCUCCCACGCGUUCCGUUGCCUCCCGAUGAACACGACGCAUUCCGUUGCCUCCCCAUGAACACGACGCAUUCUGUUGCCUCCCGAUGAACACGAUGCAUUCCGUUGCCUCCCCAUGAACACGACGACGACGAUGUUUCUCCGUUCCAACCCAGCCAUGUACACGAGCCAUGGCCGAACGUAUGCGCGAGUAGGCGUUCGAGACCUCGCCCGUAUGUACACAUACGUGGUCGUAUUUUAUUUCUUGCACCCUUGCUGUUGUACGUACGUGUACAUGCAAUGUGCGUGCCUCCACUAUGACACGUGCGUGCCUUUACAUCCACCAGUAUAUAUGUAUGUACACAUUCGCGACCAGAAUGGCAAUGCUACGUACGCUUCGACCAGGUGGGUCCCGACUGUCAGGCACUUCCUUGCGUGCGAAGAUGUAGCUGGUGGGUCCCAACAGUCAGCGGGGAAACAUUUUUUCAUGAAAUACGGUGGCCCAUCUGGUGGGUCCCCGCUGUCAGGUGGAGGAAUAAUUAUUUUGCACGUAAUAAGGAGGCACUUCCUUGCUGCGGCCAUGGACCCAGCUGUCAGCCUCUCCAUGUACAGUCCAUGUCCGAUGGAAGCCGUUCCUUGACCACGUUGACCACGCCGCGCCAAGAGCACCAGGGCGGUGGACGACGGCGAGGCCUAGGAAGGGGACGACAUGGAGCCGAGGAAGACACGACAGUGGAUGCCCAUGUGUAGAGGAGUACGAGGGUUCACUGGUUCGCUGCGGUGUGAGGCUGUCGUCGCUACAGAAUAACAGGGGGUGUGGGUGAGUAGAGGGAUGGACUAGCCAGCGGUGGGAGUAGUAGGGGGCGGUGAGGCCUCCACCGCAUCGCAGCCGGCCACGGGAGGCAGGAGCAUGAGGCACGACCGGCGCUGGUUUGGGCGGCUGGAGCAAGAAGACCAAAGGUUGAAGAAGCACUACGGACGUUGGAUGGACAUCGUACGGUCACUGGAGCUAGAAUCGUGCAUAUUGACUAAGUUGACAAAGCCCUCCAUCCCCGUCUACUUAGUAGGCCUACAAGUCAGCCUGCCACUAUACUGGGUCCCAGCUAACAGGGGGAGUAUUCAUUUUUUUGUGUGUAAUAAGGUAAUAAGGAGGCACUUCCUUGUGUGCGAAUAUAUAGCUAGUGGGUCCGAGCUGUCAACGGCGGUAACGUUUUUUUUUUUGCGAAAUACAGAGGCCCUUUCGGUGGUUCCCUGAUGUCAGGUGGAGGAAUCAUUGUUUUGAGCGUAAUAAGGAGGCAUUUCCUUCCGUGCGGCCGUGGACCCAGCUGUCGGCCUCUCCAUGUACAGUCCACUUCAGAUGCAUGUCGGUCGUUGACCACGUUGACCAGGCCGCACUGAGAGCACCAGGGCGGUGGACGACGGUGAGGCCUAGGAAGGGAACGACACGGAGGCAGGGAAGACUCGGCAGUUGUUUCCCACGCGGAGGGGAGUACGACUGUAUGAGGGUUUACUGGUUCAUCUGCCAUCACCGGAGAAUAACAACAGGUGUGGGUGAGUAGAGGGAUGGCUAGGCCAGCGAUGGGAGUAUGGUGGGGCGGCGAGGCCUGCGCGGCAGCAGAGCCGGCCGCGGGGAGGAGGGAGCAGGCAGUCCGCCGGUGCUUGUUUGAGCGGCUGGAGCAGGAAGAGCAGAGAUUGAAGAAGCAUGACGGCCGUUGGAUGACCAUCCAACAGUCACUGCUUGCGCAUCAACCUUUUUUUGGAAAGCCUCAAAUCUGUGGAAAAUAGCAUACAUCCCAUCUGCCAUUAUUUCUAAUAAUUUACAUCCCAUUUGCUAAUUAUUAAGGUUUUUUUUGGAGCCCAUAUUCUUUUUGUUAGCAUUACAACCCAUAUUGUGGCCACGGUUAAAAAAUUAUAUGAAAUUUUGCAUAUUUCGGUGCGGUCCGAACUGUUUUCAAUCCCGAAAUUUCGACUCACAUUCAAACUGAUUUUAAAAAUAAAUUUAUAUGAAUAUAAAACCCAACAAAUUCUCCACGCAUAAAAAUUAAUGUAAUUUAGAAUCUCGAAAUGAAAAAAAAGAUAUUUUAAACUAAUUGCCGGUUUGAUGUGUUUUAAAAAUGUACAACCCAUUUCUCAUUACUGAUGGGCCAUUUUCUCGGCCAGCCGAAUGAAAGCUCUCCACGUCUUGAAUGAUUUGCAGCCCAACAGGCCUGACAAAGCGACUUACUUGGCAAAUCACAAAAAACUGGGCUGUGGCCGUGGACCCAGCUGUCGGCCUCUCCACAUACAGUACUCUUCCGAUGGAAGGCCGUUGACCACGUUGACCACGCCGCGCCGAGAGCACCAAGGCGAUGGACGACGGCGAGGCCUAGGAAGGGGAUGACGUAGAGCCGGGGAAGAUGCGGCAGUGGAUGCCGACGCGGAGAGGAGUACGAGGGUUCACUGGUUAGGCUGUGGUGUGAGGCUGCCGUCGCCGCAGGGCCUGGCUAGCGGUGGGAGUAGUAGGGGCGAUGAGGCCUCAAUGGCAGCACAGCCGGCCACUGGAGGCAGGAGCAGGCGAUCUCCCUGGCGCUGGUUUGGGCGGCUGGUGCAAGAAGAGUAGCGAUUGAAGAAGCAGCAGGACCGUUCGAUUCAAAUCCAACGGUUACUGCUGCUAGAAUCGUUUCUUGACUAAGUUGACAAGCCGUGCGUACGCGUCAACUUAGUAGGCCCACAGGUCAGCCUCCCAACUGGUGCGCCCUAGAUGUCAGUGGGAGGAAUCAAUUUUUUGGCAUAAUAAGGAUGAAGUUGAUUGCGUGCGGCCAGGCCAGCGGAGGGAGUAGGGUGGGCCGGGGAAGCCUGCGCGACAUCACAGCGGGCCACAAGAGGAGGGAGGAGGCAGUCCCACCAGCGCUAGUUUAGGCGGCUGGAGCAGGAAGAUUAGAGAUUGAAUAAGCACAUCGGCCGUUGGAUGGACAUCCAACAGUCACUACUGCUAGAAUCAUGUGUUCACUGACAAAGCCUUGCGUAAACAAGUCAGCCUCGAAAUCUGUGGCGUGUCCAGCCCAUUUGCUAUUAUUUUUAUAACUUUUACUCAUUUUCUAAUUCGUAUGGAAUUUAUUGCAGUCUGUUUUCCAUUUUUAGAAUUGCUGGCCAUUUUCUGGUCAGUACUAGGGUCAAAAAAUUAACUAAAUAUGUGGGAAUUUUUGAAAAUUCACAAAUUUUUGCUGGGGAAUGAAAUAUUCUUAAUCCAAAAAUUAAUAGCCAUACUAAAACAAAUUUAAAAAUAAAUUAGUACUAUGUCAUGUUAAAUCCAAUGAAAUACGUAUAAGAUAUCAGUGAAGAACAAAAACAAAAAAAGAAACUUAUAUCCCAUUUGCUAUAAUUUUUUUGGAAUUUUCUACCCCUUUUGAUAUUACUUUUAACAGACAUUAACCAUACUCUUAAGCCAGGCCGGAAUGCAUCCCUCCUCGUCUUGAAAGAUUUGCAGCCUAGUAAUUCAGAGAAAAAAAUAGGCCUAGCUUGGGUAUUCUUCAAAAAGAAAUAUUGGGCUACCUAUUUUCCCAAAGAACUGGUGCAUGAGCAUUUAGCUUUAUUUAUUUAUUUACUUAUUUAUGUUUAGGGGACCAUGAGCAUGUACCUGGGCCGGCUUCAUGUGAGAGCCUCCCUUCCAGUUAAUUAUGGGCUUCUCUAUUGGGUCUUCAUCAGUGGGCUGCGUGUUAUCAACAAGUGGAAAAUGUGUUCCGUAUGAAAAAUACUAUGCGCUACGUACGGUACGGGGCACUAAAGGAUCGAACCGUGCAAUGACUUCCAAAACAUUGUGUUUGUCAUUCUAGCAACACAUUUAUUCAACCAAGAGACGAAAUAUACUACUGAUUGUACAUUGAAAACAGCAACAGCAGCAACCAGGGCUGGGGGUGCAACAGAAGUAGUAAGUAGGCCAGAAGAGGGAAGACGCACCUCUCUCUUCCAAACCAAACAUAAGCCAUCGUUACAAAAGGGCUACCAAAAAAGAACAAGUGUAUGCAUCAAACUAAAUAAAGAUCCUACUACACCAAGUGUACGCAUCUAACUAACUGGCUCAGUUAGACGUUACUAUUUAUUAAGCUGUGGAGAUUGGCUGAUGACUUGAACCAGAUGGGUGCCUGAUGGGCGAAACUCCAGCCAGCAGGUCGAAGUCUGAUACUUGCGACCCUCUCUCCUACUUUGGGCUGCAGAGCAUGGCGGCACAUAUCAGGGUAUGGUGCAUGCAGAGACGCAUGGUAUGCUGUGUACACACAGUUUUGCCUGAUGAACGAAACCGCGCUGCCAUCAUGAUCCAUGCAGUCGGUUAUCUCCUGGUUAAUCGGAUAAUUCAGUCUGACAAACAAAGAGUGUGUACCAAGGCUACUUACCAGCCUCCAGUCAAAAAUUCUUGAAGGCCCAGAGAAGCUGGGAUCCUGCUCAAAGACCGUGCAGUGACUAUGAUUGUAUUCCGCGAAACAACACGCCAGUACGUGCGAACGACAUCAAUCUUUCGCCAUCGUCUGAUCGAGCCAGGAACCACCUGCAACUGCCAUGCCACUUUUCUUUGAAAGGUUCUGGGAUUAGGAAGGGUAGGGACACCAGGCGGUCUACAACACCAUAUCAAGUUGGAGUCAAAUAAAAAAGGGCUCUUGAUUUAGUCAAUCUUAAGAACAACAUGUUAUGAGCAUGAAUAUUUUUUCGGCAAAUGUUGAGAGUAAUAUAAGCAAGCCAUCAUGAUAUCAUAGGAAAGUAACAUACUGCUGUAAUAGCCGUUUGUAGCGACGACUGGAGUAGGCCAGCAAUACGUCCAGCCGUAGAAGGAGUCGACAGCGUAAAUGAAGCCCUUGUGUUCAAUGGCAUCAGAAAACCAUGGAGGAUAUAUGAUCCUGCGAUGGACGUGCAGAUUUAUCCACUUACCGCAGUGACCUGUCAGAUAGGCGAGACCGCAGUUGAAGAAUGCAAUUAGCCUGAACUCUUUAUAAUUCACAGAUCUUGUGGGCACUUGGCAGAUUACAACCUUGAGCAAAUCAAACUUGGUAUCAUGUUGGCUACUGUAAGAUUCCGAGUAUUCUGGGCCAUGGUGCCAAAGCAGUGCAGUGUUAAUCGAAGGAAGGGGGAUCAAUCGCCGGGUGUAGACCUCCACGAGCAUCCAGCUAUCGCGAUCGUCGACGAGCACCAUCCAAGACGUGUUCAUGCCGACCCAGUACAUACAGUUAAAGUAGUUGAGGCCGACGGGGAUCGGAUCGCAGUCAAGGGGGUUGAUGCUCACCACCCUAUGAUUGUUAUGCUGCGUGACACGCCGUUUAUGAAGAUCAGGCGGCAUCAGCAAGCAAGGAGCUGGCUUAAAAAGCUCCGGCCUGAGGGCUUUGAGUAAACAAUACAGCCCCGAUGAGCACACAGCGAGCGGCAUGGUACUGAGAUUGUCCACACGCGAAACAAUGAGCUUGAUUACCUCUGUGGGGAGCGAAUUCCAGCCACUCUUUCGGCGGAUGCUACUCGAUUUUGCCAUUGUUAGUGCUUGGGUUUCGGACGAGGGGGGAGGCGCCUUAGCGGGGAUGGAAGAUUGGACGAGACUAUGUGAGGACAAAGAUGGAGAAGCGAAUAUGUGCUGCGGGAAGUGGACAGGUGAUGAUGACUACAACAUGCCGCUUGACAUAUGAGACACAUACCAGCAGCGUAGGGUCAUGUCGAUGCUAGACAACUUGCUUGAGUGAUCACAAUACUGGUACUCCCUACAGUGCUAUGCCCUAACUUGCUUGAGUAGAGUAGUAGAGUAGGACUCUGCUCUACUACUAGCACCAGAGGAGUAGUAUAUUCUAAACUAAAAUAGUUACAAACUUCAAUGCCCGAGCGAGGAACGACUACGAACCGUGCUCAAAGACCGUGUCUACGUGGUGUUUGGACAUGGGCGACAACCUCAACGCCAACGGUGCUGCUCCCGUUGCACCGUAUGUGUUUCUGUCCUUCCUGUUCGAAAUCGUGGUAGAAUUCAUGAUUUAUUUUGUGCUUAUUCGUAUUAAAUAUCGUAGUAACUUGCUCAUAUAUUCAACUGGCGCAACGUCCCCUACAGCCACUCCCAUUUCGUGGACGGCCUGGUCGAUGCCUCCAAGGAGCCCUUCGUCCACUGCUAUGAGUGCCCGAUGCCAUUUUGUGGCUUGCCGGCGAACAUGGUGCAUCACCUCACGGAUGCGUGAAACGGUCACUGCUGGCCCUUGGUGGAGAACAUCAAGUACGAGACGUGCUACCCGUUCACCAUGCCGGAGUCGCUGGAGGAUCACAACCGCCUGCUAGUCUCGGAGGAGGACGGCAGUGUCUUCCUCUUGAUCAUGGGCACCGGUGAGGCCCGCGCAGGCCGCCGCCCCGUCUCUGUAAUGUGCGUCAUGGGCGACGCCGCUGACGCUGACACUGACAUGAGGCCGAUGUACGGGUGCGUGGUCAGUGUUACUACCCCUCCGGGUCGCGUGGGCGGCGACACCAGCCUCAUCGAAUGGACUUGGACUCUGGGGAGCUGGGACUAUCCCACCAAUGUGGACUUGGAAAACCCAUGGCAUCCUUUACCCGCCGACGCGGUGCACGGGGACUCCAAGGAGGUUCACUUGGACAUACGCUUUAUCAAGUUAAAUGUUGAUCAUUAGUCCUCGCUCAAUGUAAUCCACUGUCUAAGCAUGUGGAGACUUCCAUGCAUGAUCUUUCUCUAUUGGAGUAUCGCGCACGAACAAAAGUGUAUCCGUUUAUGGUUUAGUCUAGAAUCUUCCAUGUAUGAAUUUUUACUACAGUACUGGUGAAAGACUUACGAUGAACCAUUUCUUACAUCUCCUCUGCCCGCUUGCAAGUCAUCCUGAUUUAAUCCCUCCGUCUAGGUGUAUAAGGGCAUGGUUAAUAUUACUUAAUAGUAUAGCCAACUGUUGACUAUAAGAAAGUGCCAUGUCGUCUGUAGCCAACAUGUAUAACAAUCGAUACUCAAAAACUAAUUCUUAAAGAUCAUUUCUUGCAAAGCACAAUAAGUGUUAUUUCUUCACAAGUUUUGGAUGCAGGUUGAACAGUUGAACGUUUUUGUUUGCAAAAGAUACCUUUUUAUCUAUCUCACCCGGAUGUUUGUGAUCUCUAGAGAUGAAAUAAUAUCCGAAGAAACCUAUCGAUACACGUUACACAUGAGAUGACCCCCACAUCCUUUGUCAAAAUAAACAACUCCUCGAUCAAUGCAUUUCACUCUUUGGUGCAACGCACGGGCACCUUACUACUAUAGAUUAGUACGACCAAAAAUUGAACUAACAUUAUAUAUAGUACGACAAAUGCUGAUGCAUGUCACCUAAAAUUAUAUCAUUCAAAACUAUGUUCAAAUACGAAUCCAAUGAUAUAGUUUUUGUUGACAUGCAGUAACAUUUUGUCAGUUAAAUUAUUUAGUCAAAUUCAAUGGGGGACUAAUAAACCAUGACCGAUGUAGUACAAGUGUAGAGGGCGGCGCUGUACGGGAGUCUCACCUGUCACCCUGCUCGUGGCACGGCAGUAAAGCCAUCAUAUCACAAAACCCAACCACUCCCAAUAAUAAGUGGCCUGGUAAAAUAAACGGACAAGCAACCAUCACAUCCCUUCAUCUUUUUUGCAUUUCAUCUCUCUGCAUUUACUUUCUCCGGUUCAUCUCGCACACUCGAUCCCUAGCUACUACUCCUAGGGCCAGUUCUUUUGGAGGCUUCCCCAGCUUUUCCCACAAGACUAGUCACAGUGGAGAGUAACAAUAAGGCGCCUCACUCAUUUAUUUGGGCUUCUAAACUACUACUCCGUCCUGGUUUAUUCCUCACCAUUGUAAUUUGUGCUAAAUUUUGACCAAAGAUUUAACUGGUUUAUUCCUCACCAUUGUAAUCCCUCCGUCUAGGUGUGUAAGUCGUCUUACGAAAGACAAAUAAUCCCAAAACACUUAGGCACGGUGCAUUAACUUCUACCUCGUUUCUUGUUUCUUGACAUAUCAACCAAUAAGAGAUAAAGAGUGUGCAUGCUUUUAAUGACUUGAGAUAUCAAACACGACAUGCAGUGGUUAGUUCAUUGCAGCCAAUACUAUUAAUUAGCAAAUAAACAUUAACGUUUCUCAUUUUCUCCUCCUCCUUGGUUACGGUGCACAGCCUAAGAUGAUUUACUCACGUAGACGGAUGGAGUAGUGCAUGUGACAUGCACUAACAUUUCAUUAGUUAAAUUUAUGAUCAAAAUUUGACACAGAUUACAAUGGGGACCAAUAAACUAGGACGGAGGUAGUAGUUAUGGGAUUACUAAUCUAGAAGCCUAAAAGAACUGGCACCUGGUACUCCUACUAGUAGUAGUACUCAAGUUGGAAUUCCAAUUGCACGACACAACUUGUUAGGCAAAAAAUUCGAUACAGGGUGUAGGAAGCGGUUUGGGAAUUUGCAUGCCUUUCCAACCAGUGAGAUACUCCGUACAAAGUUCGACAGAGAAAUAACCACAGAGAAGGAAGAUAAAAGUAAAUAAUCAAACGAGCAUUUUUGCAUUUGUUUUGGAUUGAUCGUUUCACAAGCUUGACUAGUGCUGUUUUUUUACUUUUACAAAAACUGCAUCGUAAUGUUAAAACGUGCAUUUGCACAUACUUACAUAAGUAAUAGUAGUACUCCCUCCGUCUAGGUGUAUAAGUCUUUCCUCCUUCUUAGUCACGGUGCACAACCAAAGAUGACUUAUUGACCUGGACGGAGGGAGUAGCACAGUCUGCAAGCAUAUAUCGAGAGAGACGUGUAGUGCGAUAGUAUAUAGUAAAGUUUGUGCUAUAUGCAUGCACUUGCAAAAUGCGUAUGAAUACACAAGGUUUACAAACUUUCCCUUUUACAUACUUAAUUAAGGACGCUAAAAAUUCCUGAACGUCCGGGAUUUAUCAUUUGCGUCCCAAAACUAAUGAGAUCGCCUUACGAAACAAAAAUUAUACUCCUCCUAAAAGCCACGGCGCUCGCCGGAGCGAUUGCGAUGCACCACGAGUGCCCUGGUGCGCGGCCAUUUCCCAGCGUGCCGACACAAUGCCUCUUCCUCAUCCUCGCAACUCGCGAGGUGCUGAUUGGCGGCUUGCCGGCGGGCGAGCGCGAUCUCACCAGUGUGGUGAUCCGGCGCCAACAGGUACUCCUCCUUGCUGGAAGCGUGCACCCGGUCCACGUACCGCCAAGUGUAGAUGAGGCGCUUGGGCCCGACUGCACUCAGGGCGUCGGCACGGGCGUCCUCCGCCACCCUCACGGCCCUCGCACGAGCCUUCUGCCAAAGAGCCAAUUGCCUGACUCUCCCGGACGCGACAUAGGCCUCCCAGGCAGCUUGUUCCGUGGUGCACUUCUCUUCCUCGGCCUUCUUCUCCGCCUCUAUUUUGGCACGCUCUGCUGGAGGCAAAGCCUCCCACAAGGCGACAUCCAUUUGUUUCCAAAGCUCCUCAAGGCUGGGGGGGGGGGGCUCAGCGGGCAGCGCGGCAUUCUCCUCGUAGCGGGGAGCCGACACAUCCUCCGGCGCGCGUGCUGGCGAGAUUGGGAACGCCGACGCGUGCACCUCGACGCGUCGCAGCGAGGAGCGGAACGCCGACGCGUCCUCCUCGACUAGUGGCGGCGGGGAAUGAAAUGGAGACGCGUCGUGGCGAGGAGCGGAACACCGACGCGUCCUCGUCGACUAGUGGCGGCGAGUAACGGGACGGCGACGCGUCGCGUAGCGGCGAGGAGCGGAACACCGACGCGUCCUCCUCGACUAGUGGCGGCGAGGAACGGAACGGUGACGCGUGACCAUCCACACGGUGUAGCGAGGGGCUCCUAAGGCUUGGGAGGGGCGAUGCCAUGGUGGUCGACGUGAGAGGGAGGGGGAGGAGAUAGCGAUGAACGUGAACGUGAGGGGGAGGAGAUAGCGAUGUCGUGGGAGGCACAGAAUUUAUAGCGAGCAAUGGCACACCUACGUAAGAUAUGGACUGAGCUGCACUGACUUAACUGCAUGUCCAGUUGCGUCACUGACAUGUGGGCCAGACCCCUAUUGGGCCCAUAUGUCAGUGACCCAAUGCACCUGCAGUUAAGUAACAGCUGCAUGGGCAUAUUUGUUGGAGUAAAUUACGGGGGAGCGAAGGGGUGGAAAUAUUGCUUGUCACAACAGAUUGGACGAGCGUGAGGGGAGGAGAGUCAUGCAUGCAGAUUUUUUCACACGGGGUGGAGUGGUGGGGUCGCCGAAGGGAGAAGGAGAGUUUGGCAGGCAUAUUGUUUCCACACAUGGAGAGGAAAAGAUUUGGAGACGAACGGGCUUCCUGCAGGUAUGGGGAACAGUGCAUAAUAAGUCAUCUUGCAUACCGGGCUAGGUAUAGUCUCAAGUCAUGAAAAACAUACACGCCCCACACAUGUUCAUAUUUCAAGGUGCACUAAAUUAUUGCAUGAGAUGAUUAAGGCUGGCCAUAAUGGUGGUAUCUUAGCUGGUAUCAUGCACACGGGAAUAGCAAACAUGCUGAUGUGGCAAAGAAUUAAAGAAGAGAGGGGGGUUUAGAGUAACUAGUGUUCAUGCAUGCAUAGGUAAACACAUUUUUUUGUGAAGAACGACAACACUAGUUGAGUACUUUUGCAGACUUAAAAAACUAUUCCACUGCCUCUACUAUCUUGCUAAGAGUAGGUGAAAAUUUUCAAUCGAGCCCUUUAAAUUAGAAGGGAUGUAGUGGUACUCUAAUAGCUAACCUUGUUGUGAUGACAAGAUAGGACAUGGCACGCACCUGGACGGAGGAACUAGUCUGCAUUGUGCAUUUAAGUUUUGUCUGAAGUCAAUGUACCUCUACUUUCACCAGACUUAUAGAAAAAUGUGUCAACAUUGACAAUGUCAAAUCAAUAUUUUUACACUCAUUAUAAAACGUAGUUCUUAUACUCAUUAUAAUCAGUAUUGUAGAUAUUGAUAUUUUUAGUAUAAAUUUGGUCGUGGGAUUUCAUUGAUGCCUGUCAAAGCAUGGAGGAAGCGGAGCUUAGGGCUUGCAUUGCUGGUCUCUACAUAGUUAUUUCUCUUCAUAAUCCUGUAAUUUUAGAGACUGAUUACGCUUUUGUGGCAGCGUCUCUUGCAUCGGGGUACUAUGACAGGUCUGCUAUGCGUGACCUGAAGAUGAAAGUGUUGAGCAUCUCGAAGUUGAUCAACAAUCUUCAAUUGUCAAAGAUUAACCAUCCGGCCAAUAAGGUGGCACAUUUAAUCGCUAAGUAUAUCUUUGACAAUAGAUUAGAUGGUAUUCUUGUAAAUAACGUACUGCCCUGUGUGGUGAAUAUUGUAUCGAAUGAGUGUACUGGUGUGGCUGGUUAAUUAAUAUAAGGUGGUGUUCAAAAAAAAGUAUAAAUUUGGUCAAACACUUUGCAAACGGUUGACGGGAGUAAAAAGGACUAGAGGGAGUAUCAUGCAUGCGGAGUAGACAAAAAAUGCUUGUCUAAAAAAAGGCAAAAAAAAUUGCUCAUUUAUAGCCGGUCAAAGUCUCAAAGAGCUCGACCGCGCAAGGGAGGCGAAGGUCGUGGGAGGCGCGACAUUUGACGGAAUUAAGUGAAGUUACAUCCACGCGCCGGCAUGGCAUGCAAACAGGCAGAAGCUAGACCGUCAGGCCUACGAUAUGGGUCUAGUAGACAUGACAUCUAGUGGGUCCCGCAUAGUUCUCGAGAACUCUUUGGGGGCUUGCAGCCGUUUAUCCACCGGGCAAGCCAGCAACACCACACUAUUCGCACGCCCUACUCGUUGCCAUCUUCUACCUUACAACAGUUCGCUCCCAGUCGUCCCGUCCUUUCACAUUAGUUCGCUCCUAGUUUUUUUGCGGGGUACAACAGUUCAACUUCUCCUAACCCUCCUCCAAAAUCCCUGGCCUCCCAAAUCUCCAUGGUUGCCCCUGAGUACCAGGUUAGAGCCUUCACCGGCGAUCAGUUCAUCGUCAUCUACACACGUGGAUCCGAGACGGUGAAAGCAUGGCUUGCUCGCUUCCUACGCAUGUUCAACAGUUCAACGGAUGAGUGGGUCGCUGGGCUAGAUGUUGAGUACACCACAGUCCUAGGACGAGAGAAGGAUCUAAAGGAUGAAGAGAGGAAGAAGCCCGCCGUGAUACAGGUUUGCAUACAUAAUGUUUGCUUGGUCUACCACAUAUGCCAUGCCGACGUUGAGUGCCAGGAUUUUAAGAACUUCCUCAAGGACCAAAGAGUGAAAUGCGUUACUGUAGGCUUUAAGAACGACAGGGAUGUCAUGCGUCGGAUAGGUCUCGUUGUAGGCCAGCCCUUCGAUCUCCAGAAGGCAAGCUGGUGUCCUCCUCUCAACCUUCAAUGCUGACCCUGGCAGCAGCCAUGAUUGAUCCUUCAUACGCUAAACUGAAGAAACCUCAUCACGAGUUUCAUCAUGCAUGGGAGUCGAAGACAUUAGAUGAAGAUCACAUCCUGUACGUAGCAAUGGAUGAUAUCUUUGUUUAAAUAUCUACAAGGGUUGGAUGAAGAAGCAGAGCCCAGUGUCCGGUUCAAGCAAAGAAGCGUCGGCGAAGAGGAAGAGGAAGAGGGACAAGGACGAAGUCGAGGACGUGGACUCGGACUCCGAGUAGGUGGCAGUGCCGUCGCUCAUGCUGGUUCUACUGCAGUGUCAAGCGGACUAGUUGCUUAGUUUAUUUUCAAGGGUGUGUUGUGUUGAGGCCCCAGCAGAACUAUGUUUAUGUUCUUUCUCGUUAUUUGAACUCUUUAGUACGUACAGUAGUACUAGUACUAUGUCUCACUACUGUUCUUCUUGCAGUUGGUACUAGUGCUCGUAUCUUCAUGUUCCUACUGUACUUAAUACGUUCGUACUAGUAGUAUAAUUUGGGUUAGUCGAUUUGUGAAAGAAGUUCGACAGAGCGAAGGAAGAAGACGGCAGAAGAGGUGGAAGAAGCCCUUCUAGCCAUCCAUGUUGCAUCAAACGGCUCACAUGAGUCGACUGACCCAAAUUGCUCCUUCAGAUUGCAGGAUCCACGUGGCAUUCAAGGUCUCGAAGGCAGAUUCCACGUCCGCACCCAGUUUGCGGGCUCGACGCGCGCGCGACCGGCUUCCACCGCGUCAGCCACCAUGCGCGCCUCCUCCGCGCGGGCGGAGACGACAAUGACAUGCUAGUUCCUCCUCGCCGGCGUGCUAGAGCACGUGCUCGUCCUCCUCUUCGUACACUGCGUGCAUAGACGCGGCUCCACCAGCUGCUCGCGUGCUUGGCAGCGCGGCGACAUCGCGAGGAGGGACUGCAGACGACGUGAGCGGGCGAGCCUUCGGCUUCAUGGCACAGGAAUGGCGGUGACACGGCGGUGAUGGGCGAGAAAUUGUUGGCCGGAGCAGGCGGGCGCCGGCAUGCGUAACAUCGGCGGCGGCAUAUUGAUGAGUGCGUGUGUGGGAGCUUACUUUAGUUUUAUAUAUAAGGUUCGUGAAACUUAAAAGAAAACCGUACUAGUACACGUAAACAUUAGACUUAGGCAGCGCUUUUAUUAGUUAGUACCACAGCCACGAUACGGAAUCUUGUGCAAGUGCGUGAACCGCGUCCGCGCGGUUGAUCGAACGGUGUGUCACCAUGUCGCGCUCGAAGGACAUCCACCGAACCUUUUUGUGUGUGUGAAAACAAUCCUCGAGUAUUACUCAACUUUUUUUUCCUGUGAAAGUUCUUGACGCUGCAAUAUUUCCUUAUAUUUGAAUUUAGCUCCAGUUCAUGUUUAUUUGGAUUUGGAUGUUUUAGGUGCGCCCUAGUUUUUUAAUACUAAUUUUGUGUGUGUGACUGAGAGAGAACGUGUGUAUGUGUCCAUAUGUGUGUUGUGGCGGAAGGGCAAUGUGGAGACGGUGAGCGUGUGAUACAGACAUAGAGAGGUGUGAAUGUCCAAAUGAUCAUGCAUGAGUGAGACAUAGACAGAUGCCGAUACGUUGUGUAUACAUGAGAGAACGGUCUUCUAGUUUACUUGUGUGUGUGUGUGAGAGAGAGAGAGAGACUGAGAGAGAGGGAGAGAGAGAGACAGAGAGAGGAGCAUCUGUAACACAACAACCAUCUCUCUCGAUUCGUCCGUCCCUCGCACGGUCACAUGCAACACAUGCAUCAACGCGCACAUUUUGACACCCUCACCCGGCCCUUGCCCACCUCAAGGCCCGCACAAUAUCUUCGUGAAUACCCAUUUCUAUCCUUAGGUUUGUUUUCUCUCAAUAUCUGACACACACACACACACACACACGCAGCACAACACACACACACACACACACUCCCCCGAAAACACAAUUCAUCCCCAUCCAAGGUUAUACGGUGACCACUCUCGCUUGUGUUUCUUUGCACCCCAACAUGCACAACACCUCAAUCUUCAAAGAGGGCAUCAAGCAGAUCAAAGACGGCGACCACACCACGCUAGAGAAUGUGGGUCAUUUGGAAGCAGGGUGAUGUGAUGACGGCUGACUGACUCCUCCCCCCACCCUCUCUCUGUCUCUUGCACAAAAUUACCAAUCCCUCUCCCCCCACACAAAAUUGUCAAUCCCUCAACCCACGAGAUCCUUCCCCUCUCGUCCAUGUUUUUCCAUCUCUCUCAUCAAACAUGUUGUCUCUUCUCCUUCCACGUAUACAGAAUCCAAAUGCACAUGCAUCUCAUGUAUAUUACAUGUAUCCAUCUUUCUCAUAGACCUAACUUCUUCCUCUCUCUUUCUGUUUGGUUAGGUUUGUCUCCUACUCUCUCGUCCACAUACAUACAAUCUUUCCCUCCCUAUCUGCUCCAUCUUCAAAAGCUCUCUCUGCACGUUUCAUUCACACAUUGGGAUAUGUCAAAAUGUUGCUUCUAUAAUGGCUGAUGUAGAGUUAUGGUUGUUUUUGUUGCAUCCUACAAAGUAAUAACUAUGAAAUGCAUUUAGAUUCUCAUUUGACUAGGAUUAUGUGAGUUUGAGCAUGUUGUGAAGUACUAUAGACCUUGUAUACAUCUUGGGAUUCGAUAAUGAUUGUAACUAUUGAAUUGUAUAGACCAUUACAUUCGAAGUCAAUAGCCUAAUAUAUUUAUUUCACAAUUUCAACAAAUGAUUAGUUCACUACAAACUAAGAAAACAAAUGUGUACUCCCUCCAUUUUUAUUUCAGCCCGCGUAUUAGCAUUGGUCAAAGUCAAGUUUUGUAAACUCUCAGAAAUCUUAUAACAAAAAAUAUUAACAUAUACAAUAACAAAAUACCAUUAGAUUCAUUAUUGAAUGUACCUUCACAUCAUACAUAUUUGUUAUGGUAAGUGUUUAUAUUUUUCCAUAAACUUGGUCAAACUUUAGGAAGUUUGACUUCGGUCAAACCUAAUAUGCAGAGUUUACUACUACUACUCGCUAGUUGCUUAGCCGAAUCACUCAACACGCCACACGGGGAGUCCAGUGUCACAAAAUUUUGAGGUCGGCGGGAAAAUCUCCCGCGACCCUGAUUCGAGCAGUGGGAAGUUACCAUCAUAGCCUUCGGACCUACGGAUGACGCUUGGUAGGGGGCUAUUUUCGUAACUUCAGGUUCACCCUACCCAGCCGACCCCACCCCGGCACCCAGAGUAGUACACCUGAAUACUUCCCAUUUUCUAUCCCCACUACAAAAUAGACUUCUCCACGGCACCGCAGCCUUCAUGCUCCUGCCCUUUACAUCGGCGCACUCGUCCACCGCAGUGCAUCUGCCUCAUUGACGACCUCGUAAGCCGAAUUGGAGCCGGUCCACCGUUGUCGUCGUACAUGGAGCCUCUUCCCCGGCAUCGUCUUCCACGGUCUCGGAUCUGCUUCUCGGAAGCCGACGCCAAGCGCAGAAGUACCACCGCCGUGGACAAUGAACUGACUCCCAUUGCUGACCAUGACUCACAGAGGCCGCCACGACCAUCGUUCUCCUCCUCGAUUGGUAAUGUGUGUAUUGAAUCACUUAGCAAUACAUGUGCAGUUCCAAUUUUGUUCAUACCUACCCUUCAAAUUUCCUAGGUGCUAUUGUUCUCGUAAAAGUAAUUGGUUAUAGCCUCCAUUGUCCAACAGAAUAUCAGCUUGUAAUUGUGUGUCGCUCCUGUAUCACGUUGUGCUUGGGUAGGUUUUUCAUCUGCAACCAGUAGUGCGGCAAAUGAUGGAAAGGUUUUUAGAACUAGCAAGAUGCCCAUGCGUUGCACGCAUCAAGAUGCAUUUGUAUGAGUAGUUUAUCUUGUGGGAGAAAAGGAUGAAUGAGGGAAGGCCUUAUUUGCAAAUCUGGAGAGGGGUAUGGGUAUCUUUUUGCAAAAUUCCCAUUUGUUUCCAUCCUAUCUGUCAGAUAUAAAUCGGACGGCCUAUAUUGCAAGAAAAAAGUAUAGAGAAAAAAAGUAUACAGUAAAGGAAGUAGAGAUAAAUAUUAAAUAUUAAAUAUUAAAUAAAUAUAACAGUAGAGAAGAGAGUAGAGAUAGCAUGUUGAUAUUUUUAAAGCGCCGCACGUUGCGAUUCUGUUGGAGAUGCUCUAACAUGGCAGACGAGUGCUUUAAUGUUGCCCACAAGAUGCGCGAGUAUUACUAGUAGUAUAUUUUUCUUGCCAUGUUGAGAUUUUAAAAGCAUGAGUGCGAACAUGCAGAGGAGCAAUGAAGGACAAACACGGGAUAUUCGGGACAUCUUCAAGGAGCGUGGCAAGUUAAAGAGGAGUUGCACCGAACCUGUAAAAUGAGCUUUGGUAAGUAACACCCUUUCAAUUACUUUCGUGUAGCCUCGUGUUCUUCGAUGUGUAUAUGUUGUAGUUUCUGUUUCUCUGAAGCGUGGUGUUCUUCGAUGUGUAAUAAGAAGAGUCUUAAUCGUCCUAAUGCUUUCGUUUUUAGCUUGAUGUAGGAAGUGGGUGUUCUCACCAUGUAGUCUGUUUUUAUUUUUUUCCUUUUGAAUUCACUUCUUCGAGUUCUGUUUAUCUGGCUUCUACUAAAUGGAUCUAGGUUGCUCUGAGUAUUGAUCUAAAAAAGAAGUAACUUCAUGUCAGGAUGCAGUUCCUGCGAUGAGGGAAGUACGGUCAACCUCGAGAUCAUGUUUCCAAAAUGAGGCUGGAUUACACAAAAGGUGCCAGUUCCCUAAUGAUGCUGGAUUAGACACAAGGUGCAAAUUCCCAGAUGAUGCUGGAUUACACACAAGCCAGGUGGAGUCGUCAGCUGUUCAUGUCCUCAUGGCAUUAGUAAAGGCUGAAAGAAAGCGUGUAGCAGCCCUUGAGAAUGUAGCUGAGUUCCUGAAGAAGCGAAAAGAGCAAUCAGAUGCUCUCUUCACCCAAGCCAAAGAAGAGAUGGAAGAAGCCACAAAUAAGCUAGCAGAGGCAGAGCAGGCUAGGCAUCUCCUACUAUCUAAAACUGUUGUCAAUACAAAAUUUCCUUCAUAAUAGCUAGGUUCAAAUGUUUAUCCAGUCAGCAUGCCUGUUGUGAUGUCCGUGCAUCUAAUGAUGUGGCACAAAAUGUUUUUUGGGUCAUGUAAUAACAGCAAUUACUUUCCAAACAAUAACAGACGAAGCAUUGGACAUGGUAUAGUUCAAUCGCAAGCCCGACAUUCCAAGUUCAACUUCCACAUCAAACUCGUGUUCACAGAUAUCUGCACAUUCAUACAUAAUGUCCAAAACCAUGAUUCACUUCAAAGCCGAAAAAUGUGAGGAGAGUUAUAAAUAAAUAAAAUCCUCUACUAGUUCCUACUACAAGUGCGAGCACAGCAAGUCAAGACCACGCGUAAAUUAAUUAUAUUUUAGUCAUUUUUGUGUUCUAAAAUGCCUGCCGGCUCGCGGAAGGACAUGUUGCCGGCACACGCACGGAUUCAAUGAAGGCAGGCGGGGCAGUCUUAAGCUGGUUGCACGCGGCGAGGAGGCGUGCUUAGUCGGGCCUGCAGCGAGUGCGGCCCUCUUGGCCGGCGCGCCGGUUCAAUGCCUGCGCUAUGAGAGGCCGCGUCCGUGUCAGAGCAAUCACUCCCUCCAGUCCUUUUUUGUUUGGGUAUAACAAAAUCUCGUUUUCCAUUCACAUUUUACAAGUAAAAUUCGUGGACAAACUUUGACCCAAAGUACGAUGGGGACUAGUAAACCAGAAUGGAGGCAGUAGUUUUUUAAUCAAAGAAGGGUUUCCCCUUCUGAUUUUCAUUACUGAAAACCAGCACCUAAAUCUAAACCAUAGUAUUUGCCCUAGAACUACUAGGUUCAACAACUCGCAACAUAAACCCAUACAACCUCCAUCGCAAAAAAACCAUACAACCAUACGCCAAGGAGGUACAUAGUACUAUGAAUUCCAUUUUCGCUCCAUACCAAUCGUUCUAAAAACUACUUACUACUUAUAACGCGCCAUUGAAAAUCGGAACUCUUAACCCCGCUAAAAACGAUAUUUUAAACGUGGCUACUCGAUCUGUGGCAACUGGCGAGCCACCGCGCUACAAGUUGUUCACCUGUGGUCCCGACCAUCAACUCCUACGGAUCAAAUCAUCACGCGAGCUGACUAUUCCUACAAAGGUGCUCCACCACGUACCCGGUACCCGCGAAUGCAGCAAUCGUGCACCUAGGGUUUUAGGGUUUAUUUGUUAACGUUGCCUUUACAUAACACUCAUGUGUGCGAGACAGCGAGAGGCCGACUGCGUGUGUGCGCCUCUUCUCUUCGUAUAUGUACUCCACCGUUUGUCUGGUGUCUAAAAAUUAUAAUAACUACUAGCAAUGUGCCAAUGCGUUGCCACACGAUAAAAGUAGAUUAAUACAUAUUCACCGAUUUGAUAGAAAAAAAGUCUAGUUUUGAAAUACGUAUAUCACUAAAAAUAUGUUAUGUUUCACUCAAAUAUAUUCCUUUGGCGGUUUUGAUGAGAUAAGGGAGGAAUGUUAUUGGUUUCAAGAUUCGAGAAGUGGUAUAUGUCUAAUUUCUACUCUUACUAGCAAGAUGCCCGUGCGUUGCACGGAACAUCAAGAUCUUGUGGGAGAAAAGUAUGAAUGAGGGAAGGCCUUAUCUGCAAAUGUGGUGAAGAGUGCGGGUAAAUUCCCAUAUUUUCCUUCCUAUCCGUCAGAUAUAAAUCGGACGACUUACAUUGCAGGAUGGCAGGCCCACCAUCAUCACCAACUCUAUUUUUUAUCCCUGUCGGCGUUCUGGGAACGGGGGUCCCCAGACUUGCCUGCCUGCGGCCUGCGGCGUGGCUCAAAGGGGGCCCCAGCGCGGCCCAUCUUCACCAACACAAACCCAAGACCCUCGCGAGGGGCUAAGCCUCGCGGGGCGGACGACGUGGAGCUUCCGCAGGCGCGGCCUCAUCAGGCUGGCUCCCGAGGAGGCGGAGAGAUCAAGGCGGGGUACCUCACGAGGUGCCCGUGAUGCAAGCCAUGACGACCGGGGGCGCCAGGCGGGUGCCAGCCCGUGCAUUGUCCUCCCUUCCUCUUUGGUGCAAAGGGGGCAAGCGCAGCCGCGGAGUACCGAGGCAUCAGGCAAAGGAUGCCAUUUCGGUGCAACGAGACCAAGACCAGGAGGACUACGAGACGGAGGUCACCAUGGAGCCCAAGACGGCGUCAUCACCAGAGCUUUGCGCAGGCGAAGACUACUUUUGUUAGGAUAGUUGAUACUAGCUGUCCCCCUUCAAAUUAGCCCGCCAUUGUUGGCUCCCUUCCCGCUCGAUAUUUGGGAAGAGGACCAGGGCCUCUAUAAAUAGGACCAGCCACCCACAGAGCAAAGGGGGCUGAGAGGUUAGAAGGAAAGAGAGGGGGUUCGAUCAGAAAGAGAGAGAGAGAAAGGCGACUGAACUCCUCCUAGCAAUUCACUGCCCCAGCCAAGAACAGACCCUCGCGAGGCUGUUCUUCCUUGUAUUGUUCAUCAUCAUCAGCCCAAGAGGCAAUCCACCACACCACGCACUGGAGUAGGGUAUUACACCACAACGGUGGCCCGAACCAGUAUAAACCCUGCGUCUCUUGUGUUGUUCUUUCCUUAGUUUAGAUCCUAGCAAGGCAGAGGAGUGCAGGUAGGCAGGAGGCGAAAUCUCCGCGCGCACCCUAGUGUUCGAACCUCAAGGGUCUGCCAGAACCCGAAAUCCGACAUUUGGCGCGCCAGGUAGGGGUGCGGCGGGAUUCGUCUUCCACCACCCCGUUCUCCUCCGACCAUCACGCCCAUGUCUGACGCUCGUCGGGCCCGCGCUGAGCGCCGGGCCGCGCUCGCUUCCCGUGUCGCCCAGACGGCCCCUGUCGGCGGGCAUCCUCGCCGAUCCCCGUCACCUGCCGUCAACGCCGCCACCGGCCCGGCGGGGGACGAGCAGCAAGCAUCGUCCCAGCAUCCGUCCGUGUGGCAAGACGGUCGCACCGCAACUCCCUCGCUCACCCCAGCUGGUUCUUCGUCCCGCGCGCUCCAUGCGCCCAUGGAGGCUCGGGCUGCACUCAUCGCGGCGAACGAGCUCCUGCGCUACCGUCUCGUCGACGACAUCUAUGAAGAAUGGCUCGACCGCGUCGCCGAGCUCGUCCGCACCGCAGGGGGCUCUCCUGCGCCGUCCGUUCCGCUGCACCGCACCCCAUCCCACGCGGGCAAUGAAGCUCCGGCGGCGCCCCAGCCGCCUCCUCCUCAGGAAGGCGCCAUGGCUCCAAGCCGCGUGGCCCCUGGGCGGAACCUGCUCCGUCAGGCGCCAGCGCAGCAAGAGCAGAGCUGUCAAGAAGUCCCUCGCCUGCAGGAAGCUGCCCGGCCGCUCCCUGCUCCAGCACGUCGCGACCAUGCUCCUGCUCCCGCGCGUCAAGACCCCGCGCUGCUCACAGCUGCAGCGCGUGGGGACAUGCAAGACCAAGUUCCCCAUCGUCCAAGGCCUCUCGUGGCCACAGCGGGCUGCCGCGCCUUCGCCGCCGAGCUACGCAAUGUCAUGUGGCCCGGCAAGUUCAAGCCAGACUUGCCUCCUCGCUACGAUGGCAUGGCUGACCCUGUGGAGUUCCUCCAGCUCUACGAGCUGGGCAUCGAUGCUGCCAACAGAGACGAGAAGGUCAUGGAGAACUGGUUCCCCAUGGCACUCAAGGACGGGGCCCGCACCUGGCUCCUGAACCUGGCUCCAGGCACAAUCUCCUCCUGGGAUGAGAUGUGCACCCGCUUCAUCGCCAACUUCCAAGGAACUCGCGACCGGCCACCCGCCGUGAGCGACAUGCGCCGCAUCAAGCAACAGCCCGGGGAGACCCUGCAGAAGUACAUCCAGCGCUUCAACAACGCGCGCCUCAAGGUUCCCAAGGUGACUGAGGAGGCCAUCAUCUCGGCCUUCUCCGACGGCGUGCGCGACGUCAAGAUGAAGGAGGAGCUGGUGAUGCAUGAAGACCUGUGUACUUCCUUGGAACUGUUCAACCUGGAAACCAAGUGCGCCAGGGCCGAGGAAGGGCGUCUCUCCGUCCUCGAGCUGCCUGCCGCGGACCCAGAAGAGAAGAAGCCCAAGGCCAAGGAUGUGAAGUGCAAGGGGGCUGCCGUGCUCGCGGCAGAACCAGACACCAAGCGGGGCAGAGAUCAGCCCGAACCUUCCAAGGGCAGCCGGUACUAUGUGUACCACGACCUCCACACCCACAACACCAACGAAUGUCAAGAGCUCAGAGCCGUGCGAGAAGGAAGGAUCGGCCGUCGCCCUGACCGCAGUGACCGGGGCUACGGCCGAGGAGGAGGAAGGAACGCAGGACACUGGGAAGACCGUGUCCCGCGCCAAGGGUGGCGCGAUCAACCUCGCGAGGAUCGCUGGCAAGACCCGCCUCGCGAGGGAGGCUAGAGGGAUCAGCCUCACGAGGGAGACUGGAGGGAUCAGCCUCACGAGGAUCGCCCGCAAGGCAACGCAGGCCUCCCACCGCUGCCGCCGCGGCCAAGGAGAAACGAGGACCGCCACCAGGACGGGGGGGCUGGGGGCUUCCAGGAGCCGCGCGCGAUCGCCUGCAUCCUGGGCGGGGCACAAGCCCCGGCCUCUGAGCGCAUCUUCAAGCAGUUCGCCCGUGAAGUGAACGCGGUCCUCCCCAGGCUCGAAGCCGCGUGCCCUCUCAGGUGGUCGGCGUGCGCCAUCACGUUCAGCUCAGCAGAUCAGCUCAAGUGUGCGGCUACAGCCGGAGUUCUCCUGAUGCUUUGUUCCCCAAUCAUCAGCAAUGUGGUGGUCACCAAGACCCUCAUCGAUGGUGGGGCAGGGCUCAACGUCCUGUCCGUGGAAACAUUCAACAACCUCCAAGUGCCCUACAGCCAGCUUCAGCCAACCAAGCCUUUCUCCGGUAUCACCGACGGCUCCACGGUCUCGAUUGGGCAGGUCCGCCUCCCUGUCACCUUCGAGGCAUGCGACAACUACCGCAUCGAGCUUAUCGACUUCGACGUCGCUCACAUUCGCCUGCCGUACAACGCCAUCCUUGGGUACCCAGCGCUGGCCAACUUCAUGGCCGUAACUCACCACGGCUACAAUGUCCUCAUGAUGCCAGGAAGCGGCGGAGUCAUCACGGUGCCAUGUGAAGAGAAGGACACGGUGUGUUCCCUACAACGAGCCUUUCAGGCCGCGUCACUGGAAGACCCGGAUCGUGGAAGUAGGAGGCCUCCCGAGACCGCCCCUAAGAAGAAGAAGACAUCGUCCGGCCCGACCACUCAGGAGGCAAGCCCCUCUGGGCCCGCGCCUGCCCAGGGGGAACCUCCUUCCAUCGCAUAGGAAAUCACGCCUGGCGCCCUCCUCAGGCAGGGCUCGGGGGCUCUCCCCUGGAGGGCCACCGACCUAGCCAGGGUCACGAGGGAGGCGCUUGGGCACCACAUGGAGGCGUGUUUUGAAGCACGUUUCCCUCAAGAAGGAGCAAGGCAAGGAGACCCAGACCCUCAGGAGUUCGUCAGCAAGGCCAUUCAGGAGCUACAGGAGUCAAGAGUCAUGAAAGGCGGCCGCCGCCUACCAGCAGUGGCUCCCCAUCUAGGCGAGGAUGGUGGGCUGCGCGUCUGCAUCGACAUACCAGGGCUCAACCAAGUCGCCUCUCUGGAGCGCCUCUGGCCCUCGCGAGUGGGGCGCUGCGGAGGCCUACCCCACAGCUACAUUCGCAUGCCUUACGGCUUGCCGAACGUGGCUGACACGUACCAGCGCCUCAUGAGGGGCAUCACGGGGGCACGAGAGGCCAGGCGUUCUGCAGCCCUGACAGGGAUGGAGAUGGCCCGUGAGGAGCCGCCAGCGCCUCCGGAGCCUCCCGAGGCCCCUGGGCCUGGGGCACGUGAGGAUCGGCUCCCGCAGCCCACCGAGCCUGCUACACCAAUGCUCCUUCGUCCUCAACAUCAUCAGGUGACAUCUUUCGGGUUUUAUUUCCAGCUGGGAGCACCCCCCAGGGCUGCAUUAUUCCUAGGCCGCGUGGGUCCGUCCCUGCGGCGUGUAUCCAUUUUUAUUCCAUGUUGUUAGCUUACCCUGUUGGGGGCGCCCCUCGGGCUGCAUGAUCCCCAAGCCGCUCGGGCCAGGCCCAGCGGCAUGUAUCCCAUUUGCGUUUAUUUCCGAUCAUGCGUUAGACCCACCAUGCUUGAUUAUUUGAUGGCGGUCCACGACACCUAUUCUUCUCCAUGCCGACCACUUGCACGUUAAAGGGGGGGGUACCUGAGCAUCGCGACUCAGGGCUCUUACUGGCUCUCCAGCCCUCACCCUCUGGCCUUGUCCAUGGCAUCACGACCUGGCAUACCAGUGACGGCUGAGACCAGCUCGAGGGCCGGGACCCGGGGACGUAGAGUGCCGACAUCUAACCAAAUUUGCAGGGACACAUCACAAGAUAAGGCCCAGUGCCAGGCGCAACCCGCCUAGAGGUAGGGCCCCGUGAGUCCCGCGCUGGCUCACGGGUGCCCAGAUACACCUCGCCAGGCCCUACCGUGCCAGCCACGUGUCAGGGCGGGGCUGUACACGCCCCGGGGGCUCCUCCCGGAUGGGGCCCCCUCCCACAUACCAGUGGAAGCACCAUGCUUCGCGCUGGCUGACGACACUACCGAGGAGCGGCUAUGCCCGUACACAUACGGUAGCGCUAUGCUCCGCGCUGGUGAUAAACAACUGAGGGUGGCCCCCGGGCCGCACCAACCUCAGGAAGCCCAGAGCUCAGUGUCUAGCCUCAUCGUAACGCCUCCCCUCGGGAGUGCCGCGCGAGGGGGCUGGGCACGGGGGCUGCGCCUGGGUCACACCCAGACGCACGCCGCCCAGCCAGGUCCCCCCGGGCCUGGUUCGUCACGCAUCUCUUCCCGAGCGGAGCAAAGGUACGAAGGCUGUUUGAGCGUCAAGGGGGACUCCUGAGCAUCGCGACUCAGGAGCCUAACUGGUCACGUAGCCCCUCACUCCGUGGCCCCGUCCUGGUUUCCGGUCGGGACCAACGCUGGGUGAGGUACGCGCGCGGCUGGGCUCUGUAGACGUAGAACGGUAGAUCCACCCGCAUCACACCUCCCUACUUGCUGUUCGUGCGCCAAGGGGGACUCCUGAGCAUCGCGACUCAGGAGCCUAACUUGUCACGUGGCCCCUCACUCCUUGGCCCCGUCCUGGUUUCCGGUCGGGACCAAUGCUGGGUGAGGCAUGCGCGGGGCCGGGCUCUGCCGGCGUAGAACAUAAGCAAGUAGGAAGGAAAGGCACAAAUUUUAAGAAGUUCAAAAGCAAAUAUUAUAGUCCACACUGUUAUCUCGAUGCCGAACGCAAGUUUAAACGCCUCCCCGAGGCAUGAUACAUGUGCAGGAAUUAAAGGCAGGACAGGAGCCGCGACGGAGUCACUUGUCGGCGAUGGAGCAGCAUGGAUAGAGUACGCCUCAUGGAGCGGUGGGGUCGGCAGCGCCUUGCUUCGGCUUGGUGCUGAAGGCUCGGAACUUCCCCAACAGGGCCUCUGCGCGACCCUUCACGGCCUCGGCAGCGGCAGCGGCACGCUCACCGCUCACUGGCUCCAGUAGGCUGUCGAGGUCGACAUCGGGAUCGCGAAGGUAGAUGUGGGUGAGGACCCGCAUCAUUGCUGCAGAAGACAGGACACGCGCCUCGGCCUCGGCCGCGGGGCCAAGGCCAAGGGCGACAUCUUCAAGAGCGUGAACCAGGAAGGGAAGCAGCUUGGCGGGGCCAUCCUCGGUGCCAGCCAGUGGGCUCUCCAGGCCGCUGUCGUAAAGCGUCCUCAGUGAGGAGCGAGCCCUCGCCUCCAUCUCCGCGAAGGUCACGCGGUCCUCGGCAAGAACCAGUGCCUCGUCGUCCAGCAUGGCCUUCCUCGCCCCCAACUCCUGCUCCAGCGCGCCUAGGCGGGCGCGACGUUUCUUGAGCUUGACUUCCUUCUCCUUGAGACCCGCCUCGCGAGCCUUCACGCCUUCUUCCUGCUCUUGGCGAAGGCGAACCUCGUUCGCGAGCUGGUCCCGCAAAUCUUGCAGUUCGCCCUCCAGUGCCUUGCAACGUCCACGGAUGUCGACCACCUCCCCCAGGGCUGCGUCCCGAGCAGCCUUUGCCUCAAGGACAGCCUGCUUCUCCUUGUCACAUGCCGCCGAGGCCUGGACCAGCGCCGCCUGAAUCAAAGCGUCGGAGCGAACCCAUCUUGAAGCCAGCUCCAAGCGCCCGGCCACCAAGCGGGGGUCGGGGCCAAGAAGAUCCUGACGCAGUCGGUCCAGCUCAGCAACAGCACGAUCCAGAACGGCAGAAGGAGUCGGAGAGAUAACAGUUGGUGGAGUAGGAGGAGAAGACGGCAGCGCGGCCACAGCAUCCUGAGGCGGAGUCUGCCGCGCCCCGACAGCUGAAGUGGCGGCGGCAGGCAAGAGCACCUCGGGAGCCACUUGGGCCGUGGGGGCUGAGCUCGCCCCAGCCGGCUCAGCCAGGCCUCGCGAGGACGACCGGGCAGGAGAAGCCUGUGUGUCGCGGUCACCCUCCUUCGCAGGCAGAGGCGCUGCCACGGGUGGAACCUCGGGAGCCCCCUUCGGCUUCUUUGUUGCGGGCGCCAGCCUAUCCAAGAAAUGCGGACGUCAAGCCUCAGAAGCAGAGCAAGAAAUAAAGACAAGAAUUGAAUACUUACGGGUCGUCGCGAGUGAGCUCAAGCGGCCUCCGGCCAAAUUUGAAGCCUAAAAGCCAGCUGGAAGGGUCAACCUCGGGAAGCUUGGAGGCGGAAGGUGCGUCUGCGGUCCGCCCCGGGGCCGGGGCAGACCCGCGGGAGAUCAGCCCGGUCCUGUCCUUCUUCGGGAUCAGGGGCGAGCUCCCGCCGUCCUGCUUGUCGUUGUCCUCGUCGUCGUCUUCGUCGUCAUCCUCGUUGUCAUCGCUCGGAGAGAUGCGGAGAACGCGGGACCUGCGCCGGGGGAGGGGAGCCCUCGACUCUCCGUCAGUCGCCUCGGAGUCAGGCCCUUUUCCCCGCUCCCCUCCUUCCUCCUCUUCGCUGGAGUCGUCGGAGGGCACGUCCACCGGUUCCUCGGGAGUUUCCAUGGGCACGGGCCCAUCCCCGUUGAAGACGGGCAUGGACUCCACUACCUGUUCCCAGUCGUCGCGGAGGAACAAGGGCGUGGGAGCGCCCGCCAACCUCGCCACAUCGCCUCCGACCAGAGAUUGGAGGACAGCAGCCAGAUCUCCGUCGGCUAAGGCCGUGGGGCUCGGGCGGGGCCUCCACAUCGGAUGUGAGUACUGCCGAAGCGGAGCCAGCUGGUGCUCCAGGAAUUCCCUCAGCAGCGACGCGCCGGUCAGCUUCGCCGCCGCCAUGUUGGCCGGCCUCAGAUCCGCGUCCAUCUUCUCCAACAUCAUCUUCGCGCGGGGUCCGUGAGCUUCGCCCGACCCCAAUCGCUGGAGCUCGUGGGCUGCUCCGUGGGCAAGAUCAGCCGAGGGUGGAUGCGCCCAGCAUCCACCAAGACCCACUUGCUCCUGAAGCCCUCAAUCCUUUUCCCAGGGUUCGAAAUGGCAAUGGCACCACCGUACGCGACGAAGCUCGCGCACGUGGAAGCAGUACCACGAGAGGUCCGGAGGUAGAAGUAGUGGCGCAGCAAGGCCACUGAGGGCUGCACCCCUACAUGAGCCUCACAGUAAUAGGCGAAGAUUGCCAGGAGAAGGGCGGAGUUGGGGUGGAGAUGCAGGGCUUGUAGCUUAUAGUGGCGGAGGACAGAGAAGAAGAACUCGGAGAAGGGAGGCACCAGGCCAGCAGCAAUGGCACUUACGAAGAGCGAAUAGAAGGUGCUCCCUUGACCCUUAGGGGUGGCGGAGCUGGCUUUAAACACCUUCACCCCGUUGAUGCCCCGCACCGUCGCCAUCCGGCGCAACCGGGCGAGGCUCACCUCCAACACGUUCGGCGGGUCCAGGGCAGACGAGUACCAAGCCACGGCCGGGGGCUGACGAGGCACCAUGGCUUCCUAGGUCACAAGGUCGGAGUGGAUCUAGAAAUUUUGGAGGAAGGAAGGAGAGGCACAAGAAAGGGCAUCUGAGCAGCAACCGGGGAAAGCAAGAAGCAAAGCCUACGUGGAUGCCGCUCCUUUAUUAACUCGCGCGAUUAGUAGGGCGCCCACGUCCAAUCAACCGCCACACGGUGCCCAAGGCCGCAGGCUGUUAGGGCCCGCGGAGCUUCGCUCUUGCCCUUCCGCCUCCCUGCACGGCCAAGUCCGGGCGCGCCUUGGGCCCGGGGGCUACUGUCGGCGUUCUGGGAACGGGGGUCCCCAGACUUGCCUGCCUGCAGCCUGCGGGGUGGCUCAAAGGGGGGCCCAGCGCGGCCCAUCUGCACCAACACAAACCCAAGACCCUCGCGAGGGGCCAAGCCUCACGGGGCGGAUGACGCGGAGCUUCCUCAGGCGCGGCCUCGUCAGCUUGGCUCACUAGGAGGCGGAGAGAUCAAGGUGGGGUACCUCACGAGGUGCCCGUGACGCAAGCCAUGACGACCGGGGGCACCAGGAGGGUGCCAGCCCGCGCAGUGUCCUCCCUUCCUCUUUGGUGCAAAGGGGGCAAGCGCAGCCGUGGAGUACCGAGGCAUCAGGCAAAGGUUUCCAUUUCGGUGCAACGAGACCAAGACCAGGAGGACUACGAGACGAAGGUCACCGUGGAGCCCAAGACGACGUCAUCACUAGAGCUUUGCGCAGGCGAAGACUACUUUUGUCAGGAUAGUUGAUACUAGCUGUCCCCCUUUAAAUUAGCCCGCCAUUGUUGGCUCCCUUCCCGCUCAAUAUUUGGGAAGAGGACCAGCACCUCUAUAAAUAGGACCAGCCACCCAUAGAGCAAAGGGGGCUGAGAGGUUAGAAGGGAAGAGAGGGGGUUCGAUCAGAAUGAGAGAGAGAGAGAGAGAAAGGCGACUGAACUCCUCCCAGCAGUUCACCGCCCCAGCCAAGAACAGACCCUCGCGAGGCUGUUCUUCCUUGUAUUGUUCAUCAUCAUCAGCCCAAGAGGCAAUCCACCACACCAUGCACUGGAGUAGGGUAUUACACCACAACGGUGGCCCAAACCAGUAUAAACCAUGCGUCUCUUGUGUUGUUCUUUCCUUAGUUUAGAUCCUAGCAAGACGGAGGAGUGCAGGUAGGCAGGAGGCGAAAUCUCCGCGCGCACCCCAGUGUUCGAACCUCAAGGGUCUGCCGGAACCCGAAAUCCAACAAUCCCUACUCUUAUAAAAAGCAUUGUCGGUGAUGAUCGUGUGCCCGCCAUCCUGCAAUAUAGGUCGUCCGAUCUAUAUCUGACGAAUAGGAAGGGAACUAUGGCAAUUUUGCAAAAAGAUACCCACACCCCUCUCCACAUUUGCAAAAAGGCCUUCCCUCAUUCAUCCUUUUCCCCCACAAGAUAAACUACUCAUACAAAUGCAUCUUGAUGUUCCGUGCAACGCAUGGGCAUCUUGCUAGUUGUUGCAAAAAGCCCAUGUGUGUGUGAGAGACAGGGAGAGUGGAGGAGAACGGAGUGCAUGUGUGACAAAGACACAAGGAGUGUGUGUGUGAUAGGUGUCAGCUUAAAAUGAGGUGAUAGUGUGUGUGUGCACAAUCGAGAGGGCGUGUCUCAAGAAGGGAAGAAAAAACUACAUAGAUACAAGGAGCGGGAGAGACACAUGUAUGCGAUGGUGGAGGCACGAGUGUGCGGGUGUAUAAACCUAUCUAGAGGAUAGCUAGUCGAUAAAUGUUUGUGAGAGAAAUAUGAGUCGGGUUGCGAAAGCGAGAGUUUUGUGAGAGAGAGAGAGAGAUGGUAGUCGGGAAGGAGAGUGGAAGCAGGAGUUGUGUGUGUGUGUGAGAGAGAGAGAGGAGACGGUAGUCGGGAUUGUAUGAUCGGUAAACAAAUGAAUAAUGUCAGUCUGGGACGGAGACGAAAAGGAGACCACAACAAAUGUUGUGUCUAUAGGAGAGAGAGAGAGUAAUUUAAGUGGUAUGAGUCAUAUGUAGAGAAAUAUAGGGUGUGUGAGAGAAUCCCAUAGAGAGAAAGACAAAGUGAAAGACGAGUGGAGACUGUGCGUGUGGCGGUGAAAAAGAAAGCUUAGGUACCGAGUGAUACCAGAGAACAGUAGAGAUGUGAGAGAUAUUGAAAACCGUGUAAUGUAUAAUGAUAGGGAGUGUGUGACACUUCUCAAGGGAGACGUCGAGAGACCAUGUUUGCGAGGAUAGGAGAAACAUGAAGUGAGCGUGCGGGUGAGCUGAAGAAAAGAGAGUGAUAGCUACCUGAAGGAGCAUGCAUGCGAGAUAGAUGGGCGUGAAAGGAGUGAACAAAAAAGGGAUUCAAAUAUUUGAAUUCGAGAUGAUGAUACAUGUAAUCCAUACUCGAACCAAAAUUGAUCUAUCAAACAUGCAUAGUCAUAUGAAUUCAUGCACAUCUAUGUUAUUUAAUAUGUAGAUAUUACUGAUCCAUACAUUUUAGUAGAACAUAAUUUGGUUAAAUUUUUUCGAAUUCAACCUUAAGAUUUCGAGAUCGUUGUAUUUGUAAAUCAUAUUAUACAUAUAAAGGAGCAAAAUUCUUUGUUGUGCUUUUGAAAGUAUAUAUAAAAAAUGAUGUAUAUAGAAUGUAAUUCCAAUUGAAAAUGGACCCCGCCCGAAAAAAAUAGAAUACAAACGGGAUUCGAAUUGAGUUGGCAUGGUAAACGUGCAUUCUGCAAAAUUUGAACGAAGCGGGGAAAGUCGCAGUAACCGCCUGAAACCAAAAUCUGUGAGAUGGAAAUCACUACUGCCUAUCCCUGCCACGCAAAGCCUAUCUGCUGGAUUUCUAUAGGUUUCUAUAGGGGUAGGUUUGUAAUUUCACCCAAACGUGACGUAACCGCCUCUCACCCAGAUUCAUACACGGCGGGCGCCAAAACACAGUGUGUCCUCGGCCGAAAUCGACUCCCUCCCCAAUUCAUAUUCAUACACGGUGGGUGCCAAAAACAAACUCUCAUCGGCAAAUAUUCGGUGUAUGUAAGAUUAUCGUCCUAUCCCCAACCGACUAAUGUUGCUGUGAUGUCGUAGAAAUUUGAAACGGGGGCUAAGUUUGUAAAUUUCCUUGCAUUUGAGACAAGCGCGCCCUGAGUACAUGGUUCCCCUUCCUCUCUACCUCCCUUUUCCCCAUUCGUACUCCGUGGGCGCCAAAACACCCUCUCCACCCCACCCUCCUCCGUCUACCGCCAUCCGCCACCCCAUCCACCACUGUCCUCCUCCACCAUGUCGGAGCUGAUACCCUGACGCUGCCGUCCAUUACAAGAGAUCGACCUCUCUCAUCCUCCGCUUCGGACCGGGAUCCUUGCAUCCAGUCCUCUUGCUUUAUCCCCGCCGUCGUCCACCUUGCCGGCGCUGCUCCUACGACCGUCUCGUCCACCGCACCCCGCCGCCACUGUCUACCCUCCUAGAUCUGCUUCCACGCCACCGACAGCCAUCGGUACCGCAACACCGUCAAAUUCUCAGCAGAUGCGUACACGGCGCCGCACCAGAGGCGGUACUCUUUCGUAUCUGCUCAACUUAUUUAUCGGAGCAAGAAAAUAGAUCGCCACUGCUUUACUCUGAUUUCUUGUCUUGGUUGUGAAGUUGCCUUUGUCCGGUUUGCACCUUCAGAUCCUCCAUGGCAUGCUCAACACUAUACUUCCAAUGCUUAUGGUUUUCCCCUUUUAUAUUCCACACUAGUUAAAUCACAGUAGACUAAAUUUCAAAAUUGGGUCAGUCGAUUUUUCAGAGCUCGGCGGAGUUUGCUGGUGUGGUCGAAGGGGCUCGGGUGGUUGUGGGGCCUCGCCGAACAAAGAAAACUUGACGCGAGUGGGGGUUGGGGCGGGGGUGGGGGUGGCGGAGGAACACAGGCGGUGGGGUCCGGUGGUCCGGCCGGCGGCCCGUGCGGUGUUCUGUAUGGGAAGAAUCAGAGACGAGGAAGAAGAAGGGUUAGGAGACGUAGGAUCUUCAUCCAACCGCCUGAAAUGGUCGAGAGACAGCUGGGAGUUGCAUUCUUAAUGCGCUCUGGUUCAUCAUGUGUGGGCACUAUGCAACCAACAUUUUAUUAUCCAAAAUCCACUUGCUCUUCUUUACCAUGUUCCUCUUCCGUUCUUCUUUAAUAUGUACUCUCUCCAUUCCUAAAUACAAGUCUUUGUAUAGAUUCCACCAUGGACUACAUAUGGAGCAAAAUGAGUGAAUCUACACUCUAAAAUGUAUCUGGAUACAUCUGUAUGUGAUCCAUAGUGGAAAUCUCUCCCAAGACUUAUAUUUUGGAACGGAGGGAGUAUGAUAGUAGUACAGUAUGUUCCUUGUACUGAAGAUGAGCAGGGACAUUUGAAGUGUAGAGGUCUAUACGGUCGGUUGUGAUGGACACUUUGAGCCUCUUUUAUUCGUAGGAUCUUGUAAACAUAGGAAUAGGAUUUGUAGUGGCCUGCCCACUCAAAUCCUAUAAGAAUAGCAAGGAAAUGCGGGGAGCUGUGUCGCCUUUGAGAGUUACACUGAUAUUAACAGUACCGCACCUUCACUUAAGGAGAGCUGGUAUUCGAAGUCUUUUUAGCCGUACCGGCAAUACUAGCACAUAUAUUCCAGCAAGUUCCACUUUGCUGAUUUUACUCUAAUGCUUAAGGUUUUCCCGUUAUAUCUACACUAUGAUCUGUGUAGCUGCUUUGUGUCGCACUAGCAGCAGUCCACUCUUGAAGCUAAACACUACAAUGACUUACAAAAUUGGCACCAAGGCAUUGAGUGCUAUUCUUGAUGCAAUGAAACUCAUACGCUCCCCACCUGUUGAUUCUUGUUCAGAAUAUGAUCCUAAUGACUAUUCUAACCUCGAGGAGUCAAAGGCAGAUGGCCUGUCCUGUUCACCCAUCAAGGUGCCUAUUCUAAUUUGGCAAUUUUUUAUUGAUUGCGGGUAUCUUGCAUAUGUUGUCUUGCAUUUCUUCUACUUUGUUGCACCGCCAUCUGCUUAGUUUACUCAUCAUAUAUGUCGAGAUGCCAUGCCCAUCCAUUAUCAAUACAUAUUCCAUCUGUCAUCAUACCAUGUUUUUCCACUCAAAUGCUGGUCUUGUGCAUCAGACAUCAAAAAGGAAGACGGUGAUUGCCGAACCUGAAGGAGCACCAGCAAAGUCCUUGAAAAACGUGGUGGUGCCGGAGAAAUCAGACAGCACCCCACUUAUAUUGGUUGUACAACCAGUGACACAAAACGUAGGACCAACUCCAGCAGAUUGUACCCAUACUUCACUGGCCACACCACUAGCCCCACCACACAGGACCUGCACUCCAGCAAAAGGUAUACCGAUUUCAUUUGCCAUAGCACCAGCUGUACCAUAGAAAAAUCCCACUCUAGCAAAAAGUAUAUCAAGUCCACCGGCUGAAGACCUAUCCCAAUUGCAGAGACGGCCAAUUCCUACAGAUUGGAACCCCAUUUCAUUUAUUCGCAGUUUAAAAGACAAUGCUUUCAAUGUUGUUAGGGACUACGUGCAUAUAUUCCCAUCAUGGGAACAUUAUUGUGAAGACAAACACCAUUUUCACAUCUUCCUGUCCAACUUACGUGUAAGUGCUAUUAUUCAUGGUUAUUAUUUUCCUAUUUUCUGCUGAUUGAACACAUUACUGAUUUACAUUACAUUGUUGUAACUAGGCGAGGGUCAAUCUGGAUAGUUAUGACGAGCAAAGCUUGCUUGUGCUUUUCAAGGAAGCAUUGCAGCAGUAUCGGUGUUACCUGAGGAAAUCACACUUUGAUGGCAAGUCUAUAAACGAAUUUCCGGUGAAGUCUCCUGUGCUAAAUUUAGAAGACAUUGAAUGGAAAAACCUUGUUAUGCACUGGUCUUGUUCCCAGGAUGAGGUACUGUCUAUGAAAUCACAUGACAAUUUGAACUUCUACUUUUCCGCAUGUGCCUUGUGGAUCUUUUUUGCAGGAAAUCAGCUCGAAGAAGAAUUCUGGUUUGGCAAGAACGACAAGAUAUCGCACAUAUGCUGCCCGCUGCUUUGCUCUUGUUAGUACAUGUUGUCCUGUAUCACUGUACUUGCAUACAUACCUGGUUCAUUAUGUGACGGCAGUAUGCAUGAUAGCUUGCUUAUCAAUUGUUCGCUCCAAAUUAUCUGAUCUGUAUGAAUGGUUACAUUAGUGUAGAAUAUAUCCAAUGCCAAUGUUUUUUUAGGUCUGCAUUGUUCUUGUAAGUACAUGUUGUCCUUUAUCAAUGUACUUAUAAUGACAUGUAGUUGUUCAUGUACCAUCACUCUACAACUUAUUUUCCUUUGCCCUCCAUUUUCUACACAUCAUAUCUAUAUUUACUCUUACCAUAAGGUUGGUACUGAAGAAGUUUAGCUGUGCAUUGCUCUUGGCUGUACCUUUUGCCUGUACCGCCGCACUUACAUUUAUAGCUACUUGGUUAUGUAGCAUCACUCUUCAUCUUAUCUUAAAUAUUCUCCAUUUUUUCGUAUAUUAUCACAUCUAUAUUUACUCUUAACAAAAUGUAGAAUAAAGGCAAUGCUUUUGAAGAAGAUUCUGUGGUAAACUUCUUGAAUUGCCCCCCCCCCACCAUCAGCAUGGACAAGGCCUUUAUAGAGCCUGUCUUCACAAAUAAUGUAAGUUUGUCCAUCUCAAACCUUCAAACUUUGUUGUAUAUAUUUGGUUAGGCAUGACUGCAACAACUGUUUAUUUUUGUUGUUUGCAUCAAAUUUCUUGUUUAAAGUUUAUUAUGUAGUUCAUAAACAAAAGUUUGUCCUUUCUCAAUUUAAGUUUUCAGUUGUACAACCAGGUUCCUUCUUCAUACCAUGUAAAUUAAACUAUACAGAGCAAGUGAUCUUCUUUUGCACUGCAUGUAUGCUUCUGUUCUUCAUCCAUAAUCCAGUGGUGUGGUGAACCUACCCACUACAGCACAAUGUCAUAUUCUGCAAUGUCUUAACUAUGAAUAAUGUCAUAUCAUUCUACUAUUAUUCAAACCGUCUCUUUAUUUUCUAAUCUGAAAUGGUACAAAUUGACAGCACACUAACCAUUGAUACUUAUGAGUUCUUGAUCUGUAAUCCAGUGGUGUCGUGAAGCUGCAAACUCCUUCACAAUGUCAUUUCCUGCCAUGUCUUAACCUGAACAAUACUAUAUUGUGUUAAUGCAAUUUUAAACUGUGUCACUUUAUUCGUCAGUAAGAAAUGUGAUGAAUUAUCAGCACUGAUACUUUUAUGUGCAAAACCUGUCAUCUGUCUGCUUGUUUAUCUUUCAGAGUGAUGAAGAUAUAAGUGUUGAACAAGCGCGGUCUCAACAUCUUGCUCAGCUGCUUGUGCUGCAGCUCCCCAGCAGGUCUAACCUUUCUUAAACUCUAUUGAAGUGCUAUCAAUUUUAUAUAUUAUUUUGUCGGCAUGUUCAUUUGCACUGGUGGCGAUCUUUGAUGCCCAGUGUAUGUAAUCUGAUGUCUGCUUGUGUUUAUUAUCAUAGUGGUGAACUUUGAUGCCCAGUGGAUGUAAUAUGCCGUAAUUUCUUUAUUUUAUAGUCUAGGUUUUUUCUUAUUCACAAUGCUGCAGUUAUUUUACUGUAUAUAUAUCAUGUCUUCGCAGUAAACCGGCCAAACCGUAAAUUUAUAGUACAUAAUCGGGUCGUCAUGCAAUCAUGAUGUAGGUUGGGCCUGAAACGUGCCGAACAGCUCAUGGGCCGGCAGCAGCCCGAAAUGAACCCCAGUCCAUGAUUAUGUGAAUCAAAUCAUGGGCUUUUAAUAGGCCAAAAUUGUCUCGGUCCUUGUUUGGCCCAAUCAGAUAUCGCCUGCGAGCAGGCUGGAUGCAAACCGGGUCAUAGUUAGGCCCAACUAUAUGACGGGCUUUUAACAGGCCGAAAUUAAUAUACGGUCGAAAUGUUAAAUGGGCCCUUAACAGGCCAAAACUAAUACCAGGCCGAAUUACUAAGUGGGCCUUUAGCAAGUGGGCCCAAAAGCAUAAUGUCCAGUUGGCGGGCCGAAUCUGAUAUGGGCCAUAAUUGAGCCCAAAGCCUCUUAAAGGGCUGGACCUGAUCUGGGCCAUAAUUUGGCCCAGAACAUGGUAGGAUUUUAAUGGGCCGGAUCUCAUAUGGGCCACUAUUAGGCCCGGAGCGUGGCAGGCCAUUAAUGGACCAGAUCAAAUAUGGGCCGGCAUUUGGCCCAAAACAUGGCAGCCAGUUAAUGGGCCAGCCUACUAGGGUCCUCAAAAUCUUGUGGUACUACAGCUGGGCUGGCCCAUUAAUAUCGGCGAAAUCUCGUGGGCCUUUAGCUGGGACACCCAUUAUGAUCCGCAAGAAUCUUGUGGGCCUUUACCUAGGCUGGCCCAUUAUGGCACACAAAAAUCUUGUGGGCCUUUACCUGGGCUGGCCCAUUAUGGCCCGCAAAAUCUUGUGGGCCUUUAGCUAGGCCAGCCCAUUAUGGUCCGCAAAAUCUCGUGGGCCUUUAGCUGGGCCGGCCCAUUAUGGUCCGCAAAAUAUUGUGGGCCUUCAGUUGGGCCGGCCCAUUUAAACUUGAUGGACCGGUCCACGUGUCAACAUAUCAUAGGCGCGUCUCGCCCAUUGGAUGAGUGACACCUAUGCCAACGCAGACCUGACACGUGUCUCCUCCAGCCAAUGAUGAUUUUACACGUGGAAAAUCCCCAUUGGUCAGGGCUGUUAACGGGUUAUCGGAUCCAAAACCCGACCUGAUAGCUUAACGACGUUCCGUUACAGUGGAUGCCACGUGUUGGUCACCCUUGACGAAAGCACUUCUGUGACGCACGAUUUAUCGUCAUCGAAGUGGACACUUCCGUGAUGAUAAUUUUGGUAAUGUCAUGGAACACUUCUACGACAACACAGGUAUGACUAUCUUGAUUCUGUCAUAAAAUCGUCAUGGAUGUACAUGCAUGAUAGAAAACGCGACCUACUGUGACAAACACGUAUCAUCACGGAAGUGUAUUUUUUUGUAGUGAAUUACAUAAGCACCAAAUAAAGAAUGAUGUACCAUGGUUCUAUACUUGUACUAUUACAGAUGGUAAAGAAAGAGGCGACAUACAUUCCAGUUGCUGAACAAGGUGAAGCGGAAUGGCCCUAUUGUGCUCUCCUGGAUGCAGACGGCAUGCAGAACUCUAGUCCAACCCCUUGUGAUGGUCGGCCGCCAAUCAUGUAGUUUGAGAGGUAAUCUUGAGUAAACUGCUUCAGGAUCCACUGCAAAAUAAAAAAGCUUCAGAUAUUGUCAUCUAACACAACUCAUUACGGGCGGUAAAAAGAAGGCUACAGGGUUCUUACUUACCACCCCGCAGUUCACUGUUGUCUUGCAUAAAGUGUAAACACAUAGUUCAAUCGACAUAUUUUGACCCAUUUUAAUAACAAUCUUUAUCAGUUUCCUCACUUGAUGCUGGUUCAUGAAUAUCUCAUCCCCCAUACAUAGAAAGGGUCGAAGUGUGGAUCUUUGGUAAUGAUAUAUGUACCUAAAAGCACCAAGUUAAUAUUAGAAGCUAAACAACAAUUGAAAAAUGAUGUAGUACAACACUCCAUCCAUCCCAUUAUAUAAGAUUUUAUUACAUGUAUAUCUAGACAUUAUCAGAACAUUAAGGUAACACUCUUCCUUGUUUCUAUGUAGCCUGGGAUUGCAUAUUUAGUCAUUCAGUACAAUGCAUGUUGCUAAACAACAAUUGAAAAACGAAAAGGCAUGUUAACUGUAAUAUCCUUAACGACAACCAAAUAUCGUAAUUGAUAGUGGUAUUGUUGAAACUGUUAUUGAUGGAAUUGAACUGCACGGCAAAUAGUUGCACAUAUAGAGCAUCACAUUGUGAAGAAUUGAAAUAAACAAGUCAUAAGGACAUCUCUAGGUGAUCCUUAAAAAGUUAAAGGACUAAAACCCUUAGUGGAUCUAUAUACACUCCAACAAUUUUUGGCCUUUUCUAGUCGAUCCCCUAAACUUAAGGUUGUAAACUUCAAUUUGAUCAAGUUCAAAGCAGGUUCAACCGAAAGAAGCAUGCAUUCAAACAUAAACAUAGAUAGUUUUGCAUAACCGAACGUAAAACAUAAAUUUAAACUAAGCUAAACUCGUCAUGUACGGUGUGCCGCGAGCCGGGUCCGGGCCAGUACCAUCAUCGGGGUCAUUGGGGAAGGCACUCCUCCACUCGUUGAUGUCGAUCUCCUUGUCCUCGGGGCCCACCUCGACGCCCUCCACGCCACCGUUGCUGCCGCCGCCUUUGACCUCGUCAUCGGAGGAGAGCGCGAUAACCUCGCUGCCCUCCGCGAUGCUGUCCUCGCCGCCUUUGACCUCGUCAUCGGAGGAGAGCGCGAUAACCUCGCCGCCCUCCGUGCCGACAAAGAUCGCCUACUCCUCCUCAACAAGCUCCGGGUGCUGCCAACAAAGCUCUUGCUUGUAGGCCUCGUCGGUGGCCUCGGCCUCGAGGCGCUCCCACGCCUCGCGGUCUUCCCACGCCAUAGCCGAGCUCACCACCCCUGGCUCCGGUUGAACGAGGUCGACCGGACGUGUGCUGAAGGGAAAAUUGAUCCUAGCAGCCGCGCCGUGGUAGUGGACCUGCCAGUGGUCGUACUACAUGGCCGCGAGCUCGGCCGUGUGGAAGCUAUCGAGCCACCGGCGGGUGUGCGUCUCUUGAUCUAUAAUCUCAGUGACCCACGUCCCCCACCGCCGCUGCCGGACCCCGAGGUAGGACUUUGUCGGCUGCCGGGUUCGGGGGAGGGCGGGGAAGUCCUCGAACUGGCGUAGGGGCGUGGUGGUGGGCAGAUCGGGGGACAGACGAUGGCGGAUCGGGCAGGCGGAGGACGAUGGGGACACCUCGGCGGCCACCUCGCUGGCGUCGGGUGAAAAGGCCGUGAUAAACCUCUUUUUGGUCAUUGGUUCCUCGAGCUCCCCGGCACACAGGCAGAUGUUGAGGAUGGAGGCGCCGGCGAUGGCGGCGACCUACCAAUGGUUUCGAGGGUUGUGUGUGUUUGUCUGAGCGGAGGUUGUGUUUGAGGAAAUAAUGCAGCAACUGAAAAUUUUACUAGGUGGGAGUAACAAGGCAGGUGUGGGAGUCCUGGAUUAGGGGGUGUUCGGAUAGCCGAACUAUACCUUCAGCCGGACUCCUGGACUAUGAAGAUACAAGAUAGAAGACUCCGUCCUGUGUCCAGAAGGGACUUUCCUUGGCAUGGAAGGCAAGCUUGGCGAUAUGGAUGUUCAGAUCUCCUACCAUUGUAACCGACUCUAUGUAACCCUAACCCUCUCCGGUGUCUAUAUAAACCGGAGGGUUUUAGUCCGUAGGACAACAUACACAUCAACAAUCAUACCAUAGGCUAGCUUCUAGGGUUUAGCCUCUCUGAUCUCGUGGUAGAUCUACUCUUGUACUAUCCAUAUCAUCAAUAUUAAUCAAGCAGGACGUAGGGUUUUAUCUCCAUCGAGAGGGCCCGAACCUGGGUAAAACUUCGUGUCCCUUGCCACCUGUUACCAUCCGGCCUAGACGCACAGUUCGGGACCCCCUACCCGAGAUUCGCCGAUUUUGACAACGACAUUGGCGCUUUCAUUGAGAGUUCCUCUGUGCCGUCGCCGUCAGGCCCGAUGGCUCCUACGAUCAUCAAUGGCGAUGUAGUCUAGGGUGAGACCUUCCUCCCCGGACAGAUCUUCGUCUUUGGCGGCUUUGCACUGCGGGCCAAUUCACUUGGCCAUCUAGAGCAGAUCGAAAGCUACACCCCUGGCCGUCAGGUCAGAUUCGGAAGUUUAAACUACAUGACUGACAUCCGCGGGGACUUGAUCUUCAACGGAUUCGAACCACUGCCGAGCGCGCCGCACUGUCAUGACAAGCAUGAUCUAACUCUGCCGCCGAACGGUGCCCUGGAGGCCGCACCCGCACCGGCUCCGACCCUUAGUUCAGAGUCAACUGCGCCGAUCGAGGAUGGGCGGUUGGACGCCACCUCGGGGGCUGCGAUCCAAACGGUGAUUGAGCCGAACACCAGCCCCGUACUCUGCAAGGCUCGUGACUCCAAGGAGCUGGACUCCUCUCCGGACUCCGAACCCUCCGCGCCCCUGCCAUUCGAAUCCGAUUGGGCGCCGAUCAUGGAGUUCACUGGUGCAGACAUCUUUCAUCACUCGCCUUUCGGCGAUAUCCUGAAGUCACUGAAGUCUCUCUCUUUAUCAGGAGAGCCCUGGCCGGACUACGGUCAGCAAGGUUGGGGUACGGACAAUGAAGAAAUUCAAAACCCACCCACCACCCACUUUGUAGCCACUGUCGACGACUUAACCGACAAGCUCGACUUCGACUCUGAAGACAUCGACGGUAUGGACGCCAAUGAAGGAGAUGAUGAAGAACCAGCGCCUACUAGGCCCUGGAAAGCCACCUCGUCAUAUGACAUAUACAUGGUGGACACCCCAAAAGAGGGAGAGGGCGAUGGAACAGCGGAGGAUGACCCCUCCAAGAAACAGCCCAAGCGCCGGCGUCAGCGGCGCCGCUCAAAAUCCCGCCAACACAAAAACAGUGAUUCCAGCACGGGAGAUAAUAAUACUCCGGAGAGUGCCGAAGAAAACCCCCGCCAGCAAGGUUUAGCACAGGAGGAUGGAGAAACCAGCCCUCAUUAGAGAGCGGUAGACAGAGAGGUCGAGGACGAUAAUUAUAUGCCUCCCUCCAAAGACAAGGCAAGCCUCGACGAUGACGAAUUCGUCGUGCCAGAGGAUCCCGUUGAGCAAAAGCGUUUCCAACGCAGGCUUAUGGCCACGGCAAGAAGCCUCAAGAAGAAAUAGCAACAGCUCAGAGCUGAUCAAGAUUUGCUGGUUGACAGAUGGACUGAAGUCCUUGCGGCCAAAGAGCAUAAACUUGAACGCCCCUCCAAGAGUUACCCAAAGCGCAAGUUGCUACCCCGAUUAGAGGAGGAAGCACUUGAUGCAGCCGAACGGCCACCUCGUGGCCGCAACAGAGAGGCCUCCCGGCCCUCCACUCAAGCCGCACCCCAUACCAAGGCACAGGAAUAUGUGCCGGACUUAUGAGACAUGUUGGAGGACAAGGCAAGGCAAACACGAUCAAUCUACGGAUCGCGUGGGCACCCCACGGCUCGAGACGGUAACCGUCACGCCAGCCACAAAUUCGGCAGGGCCGAACACAGUAGACAAAGCUCAUUGGAGCUACGUCAUGACAUCGCCCAGUACAGAGGCGCCGCACACCCACUGUGCUUUACAGACGAAAUAAUGGAUCAUCAAAUCCCCGAGGGUUUCAAACCCGUAAACAUCGAAUCAUAUGAUGGCACAACAGACCCUGCGGUAUGGAUCGAGGAUUAUCUCCUUCAUAUCCACAUGGCCCACGGCGACGAUUUUCAUGCCAUCAAAUACCUCCCACUCAAGCUUAAAGGACCAGCUCGGCAUUGGCUCAACAGCUUGCCAACAUGAUCAAUCAGUUGUUGGGAGGACCGGGAAGCCGCAUUCCUCGACAAUUUCCAGGGCACUUAUGUGCGACCCCCAGACGCUGAUGACCUAAGUCACGUAAUCCAGCAGCCAGAGGAAUCGGCCAGACAAUUCUGGACACGGUUCCUAACAAAGAAAAAUCAAAUAGCCUUCAAGCACAAUAUCCGUGACGAGUGGCUGGCCCGGCACCUUGGACAGGAAAAGCCGGAAUCUAUGGCAGCAAUCAUGACACUCAUGACCCGCUUUUGCGCGGGAGAAGACAGCUGGCUCGCUCAUAGCAACAAUAUGACCAAGAACCCUAGUAGUUCAGACACCAGGGACAUUAGUGGCAGGUCGCAUCGCAACAAGCAGAUGCGCCGCAUUAACAGCGACAAUGCUGAGGAUAUGGCAGUUAAUGCCGGAUUCAGAGGCUCUAAAUCCGGUCAGCGGAAGGAGCCAUUCAAAAGGAAUCCUAGGGGCCCGUCCAGCUUGGACCGAAUACUCGACCGCUUGUGCCAAAUACAUGGCACCCCCGAAAAGCCGGCCAAUCACACCAACAGGGAUUGUUGGGUGUUCAAGCAGGCAGGCAAGCUAAGCGCCAACAAUGAAGACAAGGGGCUGCAUAGCGAUGACGACGAGGAGCCCCGGCCGCCGAACAAUAAUGGACAGAAGGGUUUUCCCCCACAAGUGCGGACGGUGAACAUGAUAUACGCCACCCACGUCCCGAAAAGGGAGUGGAAGCACGCGUUAAGGGACGUAUACGUGGUAGAGCCAGUCGCCCCAAAGUUCAACCCAUGGUCCUCCUGCCUGAUCACCUUUGAUCGAAUAGACCAUCCCACUAGCAUCCAUCAUGGAGGAUUUGCCGCAUUGGUUCUAGACCCAAUUAUUGACGGAUUUCAUCUCACUAGAGUCCUCAUCGACGGCGGUAGCAGCCUGAACCUGCUUUACCAGGAUACAGUGCGAAAAGUGGGCAUCGAUACGACCUUUAAAGGCGUAAUACCAGGUGUAGAGGCCAACUGUACAGGCUGAGUCACACUUGAAGUGGUCUUCGGAUCCCCGGAUAAUUUCCGAAGCGAGGAAUUGAUCUUCGACAUAGUCCCAUUCCGCAGUGGCUAUCAUGCACUGCUCGGACGAACCACAUUCACCAAAUUCAAUGCGGUACCGCACUAUGCAUACCUUAAGCUCAAGAUGCCAGGCCCUCGUUGAGUAAUUAUGGUCAAUGGAAACACCGAACGCUCCCUCCGAACGGAGGAGCACACGGCGGCCCUUGCAGCGGAACUACAAAGCAGCCUCUCCAGGCAGUUCUCUAGUCCGGACAUUAAACGUCUGGACACCGUCAAGCGCGCCCUGAGUAACCUACAACAAGACCGCCUGGCACGUUCCGAGCAGGCGUAGCAAUGCGGCCCCAACCCCAACCCUCGCAAAAAGGCGACGCCAGUACUUCGCGUCCAUAACUACGCUCUGGAAAUACCAUGGGCAUAGGGGCAGGGGCACCAUCACGGCACGCCCAAAACACGGCUUAAACCGCACCAGGGGCUGCCGAUUUUUUACUUUUCUCUUACUUCCAGGACUCUACUCUUCGGAAGGCCUGUUCGGCAGUUCAAUUACCGCACAAACGAUGCAAGGACCAGGGAAGCAGACAAGCCAUGCUGCUUUACGGAAAUCCCAGGUGGUCUCUAUCACGAGCAGUAUACCUGUUUCGCAUACUAUUUCGCAGCUUGCCCCUGGAGCAGACAUGUUAAUUAGUCCAACUUUUUCGUUUAUCGCAUUACUUGUAUCGUUCUGCUUUGAUCGCAGCUAUUUUUAAUAAACAAUGCAUAGCUUUUGUCUAUUUUUUUGCAUUAUCUUUUUAUAAAUAAAUGUUCCUUAACGACAUGUUGCACCCGUACAACUUGGUACGGCCAAAAUACGCCAGGGGCUUUUAGCACCCCUCAAUAUGGUGUGAGAAGUCCGAACACUUUCACAAGUGCGGCACCCCAAACUUAUAGCACUAUAUGCAUCGGCUCUGAAUCAUGUCUUGGGUCAAUAGUUGGGUUUGCCCAGCUCCUAUGUUUUGGUGCCUUACGUUCCGCUAUAUCGGCUAAGGUAGCACUAGGAGAACCACUGCGAUUGUGCCCCAGUUGAGCUGGGCCGAGCACCUCAGUGGAGAAAGCUAAAACUGACUGUCAUGAUGAAGCGAGAGCUGGUCGCUGUUCGAGAGGUUUUUCCGAGUCCCUAAAGACUUAUGCCGCUUAGGGCGAGGAGUCGGCUCUGUACGGCCAAGGCGUGGAUAGCACCCCGAACUCGGUCUUCCGAAUACUAGGGGCUUCGCCGAAAUUUAAAAUUAUAGAAUUCUAUGGCUAAGUGAGAGUGUUCACGCAUUAUAGUCUGAUUGCCUCGUUCGUUGGGCUGAGCGCCUCCCUCGAAGGACCCAAAUAUGGGAAAAAGAGCGCCCAGGUUUAUCCCUGAACACCCCAACACUAGCAGCAAGGGGGCAGAAGCCGACGACUCGCCAUCUCUCAGUAUUGAUAAACAGCCGCACAAAAGGUAAUAUUUUAAAUUCAAGCAACAUUUCUCAAUGCAUAUGAACAAGUUUUCAGCGCAUAGGACAAAACGAGCGAGUUUUACUCGAAAAUUACAUCCAUAGUACAUUCAUCCGCCACAAGGCGGGCACCCUUCAGAACAUCCUUAUAAUAAUUCUCGGGCUUGCGAUGCUCUUUCCCCGGCGGUGGCCCGUCCUUCACAAGCUUCUCAGCAUCCAGCUUGCCCUAGUGCACCUUAGCACGGGCAAGGGCCCUACGGGCACCGUCAAUGCAGAAGGAGCGCUUGAUGACUUCGAGCCCUGGACAGGCCUCCACCAGCCGCCGCACCAGCCCGAAAUAGCUCCCAGGCUGAGCCUCUCCAGGCCACAGUUGAACUAUGAGGCCCUUCAUGGCCUGUUCGGCCGCCUUGUGGAGCUCGAUCAGUUGCUUCAGCUAGUCGCUCAGGGGCACGGGGUGUCCGGCCUCAGCGUACUGAGACUAGAACACCUUCUCUGUCGAGCUCCCCUCCUUGGCUCAAUAGGAUGCGGCAGCAUCAGACACACUCCGGGGAAGAUCUGCGAACGCGCCUGGAGAACUCCGGAUUUGGGUAAGUAACAAGUAACUCACGCUUAUGUGUUUGCUUUGCAUAAAGAAUGCCUUACCCGCCGCUAUCUUCUUCACCUCAUCCAACUCCUGGAGGGUCUUCUGGGAUUCAGCCUUGGCAGACUUGGCACUUUCAAUAGCCGCCGCGAGCUCGGACGCUCGCGUCCUUGAGUCACGCUCCAAACUCCCAUGUUUUUCCAUGAGAGCCUGGAGCUCUUGCUGCACCUUGCCAACCUCGGCCUCAUACUUCUCCCGCUCGGUGCGCUCCGUGGCUGCCGUCUUCUCGGGCUCGAGUAGCGCUUGCUUAAGGGUCGCCACCUCAGACGUGGCCCCUACAAUAGCCAUGAUGAUCCUGUCAUUUUUUGCAAUAUUGCACCUUUAUAUAUAUAUAUAUAUAUAUAUAUAUAUAUAAUUCCAACAAGGUAUUUCUUACCUUCAUUAUCCUCGAGCUGCUUCUUGGCACGCCCGAGCUCUUGCUCGGACUGCUUGAGGUUCUGCUUUAGCACGUCCACUUCCGCAGUCAGUGCAGCGGACGCCCGCAGGGAAGCCUGUACACGCAUAUUGGCUCCUUUUUGUUAGACUCCUGCGAAUUUUCAUUGAUCCUCUAUUCGGCCUUUCUUCCUGAAUGCAAAACAGAGCAUCAGGGGCUACUGUCUAUGCGGUAAUAUUAUUUACGCAUUCUUUACUUACCUCAAAGCCUGUUAAAAGGCUUCUACAAGCUUCAGUCAGUCCGCUCUUGGCAGACUGAACCUUCUGGAUCACCGCACUCAUAAUAGUGUGGUGCCCCUCGUCGGUGGAGGCGCCUUGGAGCGCCUCCAACAUAUUGUCCGGUGCCUCUGGUUGGACGGAGGUCACCGGCACGGCGGGCUUGCUCCUCUUGGAAGGAGGUCCCCCAGCGGACUCUGGAACCUUUGAAGGUUCCGAAGCGGUGUCCGGCCUAGGGCCGGACUUGGAGCCCUGGGGGGUUUCAUCCCCCUUACUCCUGGAGUCCGGGGGGUCGCCUCGCGACGCCUCCAGGACCACCUCCUCCCGGAUUGGAACCUGUUGGGACAACACUUCGGUGUCGUCCGUAGGGCGGGGAGAGGAAGCCAUCGGAAGUGAGUUCACGUCCGACGAGUCCAGUGAGCCGCUCGACGAUGCGUCGAGCCGGUCUUUGGGUGGGCUACAUAAACACAUUCGACAUAAGGGAAAGCUAUGCAAUAAACGAAUACUAUGAAUUACUUUGGUAUCCGGAUACUUACGAUUUCGCCAGGGGCUUGGCCCUGGGCGCCCACUCCUCUCCACCGUCGUCGGUGUCGGUGGAGUAAUCCGGAGAAAGGGUUUUCCCCUUCUUGGACCCUUCGGCCUCCCCAGUUGGGGCGGCCUUCCUUUUCUCCCCUCCCCCCGCUGGAGGGGGAGGGGUAUCUUCUUCCUCCUCCUCGUCUUCUUGGGAGGAGUGCGUCUUGGAUUCGUCGGAUGGUGAAUCCGACACCUCCAGGCGUCGGGCACUCUUUCGAGUCCCCGCAGCCUUUUUUGCGGCCUUCUUCUCCGGCACCACAUAGGGUGUCGGAGCCAACAGCUUCGCCAAUUGAGCAUCCGCUGGGCCUUCGGGCAAAGGCGCCGGACAGUCGAUCCGUCCGGACUUCGCCUGCCAAUCCUGUCGAAGGUAAGGGAGUUUAGAUCCCGCACAGAGUUAAACUAUGAAAAACUACUGCCCUGUAAAAGGUACAAAAAACUUACCGCGCUAGUAUGACGCUGCGUGCUGAAUCUGCGAUCCUCAGUAGCGGAUGAGGGAGCCUCGGCGCCUUUGAAAAGCACCUUCCAGGCAUCUUCGUACGUCGUGUCAAAGAGCCUGCUUAGAGUUCGGUGCUGUGCCGGGUUGAACUCCCAUAGAUUGAAGGCCUGUUGUUGACAUGGGAGGCUCAGGCGGAUGAGCAUAACCUGGACUACGUUGACAAGCCUAAGCUGCUUGUUCGCCAGGGAUUGGAUGCAUGUUUGCAGUCCGGUCACCUCCUUUUGGUUGCCCCAUGACAGGCCCGUCUCUUUCCAGGACGUGAGCCGCGUUGGGGGUCCGGACCGGAACUCGGGGGCUGCGACCCACUUAGGGUCGUGCAGCUCGGUGAUAUAAAACCACCAUGAUUGCCACCCCUUUAGGGUCUCCACAAAGGAGCCCUCGAGCCACAGGACAUUGGCCAUCUUGCCAACCAUGGCACCGCCGCAAUCUGCCUGGCCGCCACGCACCACCUUUGGCUUGAAGUUGAAAGUCUUGAGCCAUAGGCCAAAGUGGGGGCGGAUGCGGAGGAACGCCUCGCACACGACGAUAAACGCUGAGAUGGUUAGGAUGAAGUUCGGGGCCAGAUCGUGGAAAUCCAGGCCGUAGUAGAACAUGAGCCCCCGGACAAAUGGAUGCAGAGGGAUGCCUAGUCCGCGGAGGAAAUGGAGGAGGAAUACCAACCUCUCAUGGGGCCUAGGGGUGGGGAUGAGCUGCCCCUUUUCGGGAAGCCGGUGCGCGAUGUUGCUAGCCAGAUAUCCGGCCUUCCUCGGCUUUUUGAUGUGUCCCUCCGUGACGGAGGAGACCAUCCACUUGCCUCCUGCCCCGGACAUGACUGGAGAAGGUUGAGGUGGUAGUGCGGACUUGGGCGCUGGAGCUCGAGCGUGCAAGAAUGGAUAGGCAAAGGAGGAAGAAGGCGUGGGUGAAAAGGUGGAUCCUUAUCCCCUUAUAUGGGUGGACGCAACUACGUGUCCCCACCAGCCUGGUAAAACUUGCUUAUAUCCAAGCGCCGUAAUCAAUGGCGCGGCUGGGUUACCCACACCCGUAUUGAUGAGAAUCCCGGAAUAAGGGGACACGAUCUCUGCUUUAACAAGACGUGCCAAGGAAACUGCCUCGCAUAACAUGCUAAGAUGGGAUAGUAAAACGGUUCGAAUAAAAGCUUGGCCAUGGUGUGAUGUCACACUACGGAGUACAUCAGCAGAUUAGAUUUGUGUAAAUAUUAUUCUCUCUAUGGCAAUAUGUGGAAACUUAUUUUGCAGAGCCGGAAACUAUCUUUGUGUUCAAAAUGUUCUAUGAAGUACUUGGAGGAGGAACCCGCCUUGCAAUGUCGAAGACAAUCUGCGCGCCGAACUCGUCGUCAUUGAAGCUUGGUUCAGGGGCUACUGAGGGAGUCCUGGAUUAGGGGGUGUUCGGAUAGCCGAACUAUACCUUCAGCCGGACUCCUGGACUAUGAAGAUACAAGAUUGAAGACUUUGUCCCGUGUCCGGAAGGGACUUUCCUUGGCAUGGAAGGCAAGCUUGGCGAUACGGAUGUUCAGAUCUCCUACCAUUGUAACCGACUCUAUGUAACCCUAACCCUCUCCGGUGUCUAUAUAAACCGGAGGGUUUUAGUCCAUAGGACAACAUACACAUCAACAAUCGUACCAUAGGAUAGCUUCUAGGGUUUAGCCUCUCUGAUCUCGUGGUAGAUCUACUCUUGUACUACCCAUAUCAUCAAUAUUAAUCAAGCAGGACGUAGGGUUUUACCUCCAUCGAGAGGGCCUGAACCUGGGUAAAACUUCGUGUCCCUUGCCUCCUGUUACCAUCCGGCCUAGACACACAGUUCGGGACCCCCUACCCGAGAUCCGCAGGUUUUGACACCGACAGCAUGGCUACUAAAAAUUUGGAUCAAUGGCGAGCAGAUAUUUUUGAGAUUGCGAGGGAUGCAGAGGCGGGAGUAAAAUGCCGGGACUCCUAAAAAUUUGAAUCAAGGGACUGAAGCAGAGCGGGAGUAACAGACAUCACACACAGUCCGCACAUACUAAUCGUGUGCUAUCAAAUAUUAAAACCUUCUAGGUGGUAGAUAUUUUCGAGAUUGCGAGGGAUGCAGAGGCGGGAGUUUUUGGGGUGCCAGCUAGUGUGCUUCACACGCUGGUUGUGGACUGUAGCCUAUGCACCUUCUCGCGUAAGCCAUAGGCGUACUAUACACCGACAGUGCUCCAAGAUAUUUUGUACUACAUCUCACAUGGUUGGUGAUAAUAAACUGUGUGUGGUCUACUUGAUUUGAAUUACAAAAUGGGGUCACAGCGGCAAUGGACGUUGUUUGAAUUGCUAGACAUUUUAUCUGCAGUGAACAUGCAACUAUAUGUGUGUCAUAAGAGAAUUGGAAUUAUUCAGGGUUCGUUUGGACAUUUUAUACAUUAAACUGGUUUUCUAGCCAUUUCAGGUGCACAAUUCAAAAUUAUACUACAUGCACAUGCUCCGGUUCAUACAAAUUGGUUGAAAAAUCCAAUAUAUGUCCUUCAGUGCAUGCUUAGGUCCCGUGCAAGAAAUGGGAAUGAAUUUUUUGGGGUUCAUUUGGCCUUUUUUAUACAUUAACUAGGUUUUCUCGGCAUUUUAUUUGCAUAAUUCAAAUUUGAAAUACAAGCACAUGUUCCAAUGCAAUAAAGUUGGUUGAAAAAUCACAUGUGUGUCCUUUUUUAUACAUUAACUGGGUUUUCUAGGUCCCAUGCAAGAGAUGGGAAUGAAAUUCAAAUAGCAUGGCACUAUUGAUUGUCGGCAAAACGUUGAGAUGCCUGGUUUUUAAAUUCUAGUAAAUCCAAAACUUGUCUGCAAUGCAUGAAACUUGGCAUGCUGUCAUGGAGUGGCAUUAACAUGCCGUGGUAAAAAAAUUGUGCCAUUUGGGGCUGGUUCGGGUCUAAGCUUCUCACAAACCAGAGCUUCUGACAACAAGCAUGAUGGUUUUGAUAGGGAACGUACCACCUUUGGGGACGGGGCGAUAUCCAUUGCCUCUUAUUGCUUUCAAAUUUUUUCUUGUGUCAAGAUAGAACAACAGGAGUGUUGUCUUUAAUCUUGGGAUUUUUCAGGGUUCAUUUGGCCUUUUUUAUACAUUAACUGGGUUUUCUAGGCAUUUUAUGUGCAUAAUUCAAAUUUGAACUACAAGCACAUGCUCCAAUGCACCAAAGUUGGUUGAAAAAUCACAUGUGUGUCCUUGGGUGAAUUUCUAGGUCCCAUGCAAGAGAUGGGAAUGAAAUUCAAACACCAGGGCACUGAUUGCCGGCAAAAUGUUGAGAUGCCUAGUUUUAAAAUUCUAGUAAAUUCAAAACUCGUCUGAAAUUCAUGAAACUUGGCACGCUAUCAUGGAGUGGCAUCAACAUGCCGUGGUAAAUUUUUUGUCCCAUUUGGGGCAGGUUCAGGUAUAAGCUUCUCACAAACCAGAGCUUCUCACAACAAGCAUGAUGGUUUCGAUAGGGAACGUCCCACCUUUGGGGACGAAAUGAUAUCCAUUGCCUCUUAUUGCUUUCAAAAAAUUUCUAGUGUCAACAUAGAACAACAGGAGUGUUGUGUUUAAUCUUGGAAUUUUUCGGGGUUUGUUUGGCCUUUUUUAUACAUUCACUGGGAUUUCUAGGUAUUUUAUGUGCAUAAUUCAAAUUUUAACUACAAGCGCAUGCUCCAGUGCACCAAAGUUGGUUGAAAAAUCACAUGUGUGUCCUUGGGUGAAUUUCUAAGUCCCACACAAGAGAUGGGAAUGAAAUUCAAACACCAGGGCACUGUUGAUUGCCGGUAAAACGUUGAGAUGCCUGGCUUUUAAAUUGUAGUAAAUCAAAAACUCGUAUGAAACUCAUGAAACUUGUCAUGCUAUCAUGGAGCGGCAUCAACAUGCCAUGUUAAAAAAUUUAUCCCAUUUGGGGCAGGUUCGGGUAUAUGCUUCUCACAAACCAGAGCUUCUCACAACAAGCAUGAUGGUUUCGUUAGGGAAUGUCCCACCUUUGGGGACGAAACUAUAUCCAUUGCCUCUUAUUUAUUUCAAAAAAAUUCUCGUGUCAACAUAGAACAAUGAUGUCUACUACACAACCUUCUUCUUGUAGACAUUGUUGGGCCUCCAAGAGCAGAGGUUUGUAGGAUAGUGGCAAAUUUCCCUCAAGUGGAUGACCUAAGGUUUAUCAAUUCAUGGAAGGCGUAGGAUGAAGAUGGUCUCUCUCAAAUAACGCUGCAACCAAAUAACAAAGAGUCUCUUGUGUCCCCAACACACCCAAUACAAUGGUAAAUUGUAUAGGUGCACUAGUUUGGCGAAGAGAUGGUGAUACAAGUGCAAUAUGGAUAGUAGAUAAUGGUUUUUGUAAUAUAAAACUAUAAAAAUAACAAGGUAACUAAUGAUAAAAGUGAGCACAAACGGUAUUGCAAUGCUAGGAAACAAGGCCUAGGGUUCAUACUUUCACUAGUGCAAGUUCUCUCAACAAUAAUAACAUAAUUGGAUCAUAUAACUAUCCCUCAACAUGCAACAAAGAGUCCCUCCAAAGUCACUAAUAGUGGAGAACAAACGAAGAGAUUAUGGUAGGGUACGAAACCACCUCAAAGUUAUCCUUUUUGAUCGAUCUAUUCAAGAGUCCGUAGUAAAAUAACACGAAGCUAUUCAUUCCAUUCAAUCUAUCCUAGAGUUCGUACUAGAAUAACACCUUAAGACACAAAUCAACCAAAACCCUAAUGUCACCUAGAUGCUCCAAUGUCACCUCAAGUAUCUGUGGGUAUGAUUAUACGAUAUGCAUCACACAAUCUCAGAUUCAUCUAUUCAACCAACACAAAGAACUUCAAAGAGUGCCCCAAAGUUUCUAUCGAAGAGUCAAGAUGAAAACGUGUGCCAACCCCUAUGCAUAACUUCAUGAGGUCAUGGAACUCGCAAGUUCAUCACCAAAACAUACAUCAAGUGGAUCAUGUGAUAUCCCAUUGUCACCACAGAUAAGCACAUGCAAGACAUACAUCAAGUGUUCUCAAAUCCUUAAAGACUCAAUCCAAUAAGAUAACAUCAAAGGGAAAACUCAAUCCAUUACAAGAGAGUAGAUGGGGAGAAACAUCAUAAGAUCUAACUAUAAUAGCAAAGCUCGCGAUACAUCAAGAUCGUACCACCUCAAUGAAGGAAAUAUGCCCUAGAGGCAAUAAUAAAGUUAUUAUAUAUUUCCUUAUAUCAUGAUAAAUGUUUAUUAUUCAUGCUAGAAUUGUAUUAACCGGAAACAUAAUACAUGUGUGAAUACAUAGACAAACAGAGUGUCACUAGUAUGCCUCUACUUGACUAGCUUGUUGAUUAAAGAUGGUUAUGUUUCCUAACCAUAGACAUGAGUUGUCAUUUGAUUAACGGGAUCACAUCAUUAGGAGAAUGAUGUGAUUGACUUGACCCAUUCCGUUAGCAUAACACUUGAUCGUUUAAUUUGUUGCUAUUGCUUUCUUCAUGACUUAUACAUGUUCCUAUGACUAUGAGAUUAUGCAACUCCCAUUUACUAGAGGAACACUUUGUGUGCCACCAAACGUCACAACGUAACUGGCUGAUUAUAAAUGUGCUCUACAGGUGUCUCCGAAGGUACUUGUUGGGUUGGCGUAUUUCGAGAUUAGGAUUUGUCACUUCGAUUGUCGGAGAGGUAUCUCUGGGCCCUCUCGGUAAUGCACAUCACCUAAAGCCUUGCAAGCAUUGCAACUAAUGAGUUAGUUGCGAGAUGAUGUAUUACGGAAUGAGUAAAGAGACUUGCCGGUAACAGGAUUGAACUAGGUAUUGAGAUACGGACGAUCGAAUCUCGAGCAAGUAACAUACAAAGGACAAAGGGAACAACGUAUGUUGUUAUGCGGUCUGACCGAUAAAGAUCUUCGUAGAAUAUGUGGGAGCCAAUAUGAGCAUCCAGGUUCCGCUAUUGGUUAUUGACCGGAGACGUGUCUCGGUCAUGUCUACAUUGCUCUCGAACCUGUAGGGUCCGCACGCUUAAGGUUUCGAUGACAGUUAUAUUAUGAGUUUAUAGGUUUUGAUGUACCGAAGUAGUUCGGAGUCCUGGAUCAGAUCGAGGACAUGACGAGGAGUCUCGAAAUGGUCGAGACGUAAAGAUCGAUAUAUUGCACGACUAUAUUCGGACAUCGGAAAGGUUCCGAGUGAUUCGGGUAUUUUUCGGAGUACCGGAGAGUUACGGGAAUACGUAUUGGGCCUUAUUGGGCCAUACGGGAAAGAAGGAAAAGGGCCUCAAGGGUGGCCGCAUCCCUCCCCUUGGUCUGGUCCGAAUUGGACUAGGGAACGGGGGCGCCCCUUCCUUCCUUCUCCUUUUCCCUUCCCUUUCCUUCCCUGCUACUCCUACUACUUGGAAGGGCUCCUAGUUUUACUAGGAAAGGACGAAUCCUACUCCCGGUGGGAGUAGGACUCCCCUAGGGUGCGCCAUAGAGAGGGCCGGCCCCUCCCCUCCUCCACUCCUUUAUAUACGUGGCCAGGGGGCACCCCAUAGACACACAAGUUGAUCUUCGUGAUCGUUCUCUUAGCCGUGUGCGGUGCCCCCCUCCACCAUAAUCCUCGAUAAUAUUGUAGCGGUGCUUGGGCGAAGCCCUGCGACGGUAGAACAUCAAGAUCGUCACCACGCCGUCGUGCUGACGGAACUCUUCCCCGACACUUUGCUGGAUCGGAGUCCGGGGAUCGUCAUCGAGCUGAACGUGUGCUAGAACUCGGAGGUGCCGUAGUUUCGGUGCUUGAUCGGUCGGGCCAUGAAGACGUAUGACUACAUCAACCGUGUUGUGCUAACGCUUCCGCUUCCGAUCUACGAGGGUACGUAGACAACACUCUCCCCUCUCGUUGCUAUGCAUCAUCAUGAUCUUGCGUGUGCAUAGGAAUUUUUUUGAAAUUACUACAUUACCUAACAGUGGCAUCCGAGCCUAGGUUUUAUGUGUUGAUGUUAUAUGCACGAGUAGAACACAAGUGAGUUGUGGGCGAUAUAAGUCAUACUUCUUACCAGCAUGUCACACUUUGGUUCGGCGGUAUUGUUGGAUGAAGCGGCCCGGACUGACAUUACGUGUACACUUAUGCGAAACUGGUUUUACCGCCGUGCUAUGCACACAGGUGACUAGCGGGUGUCAGUUUCUCCAACUUUAGUUGAACCGAGUGUGGCUAUGCCCGGUCCUUGAGAAGGUUAAAACAGCACCAACUUGACAAACUAUCGUUGUGGUUUUGAUGCGUAGGUAAGAACGGUUCUUGUUAAGCCCGUAGCAGCCACGUAAAACUUGCAACAACAAAGUAGAGGACGUCUAACUUGUUUUUGCAGGGCAUGUUGUGAUGUGAUAUGGUCAAGACGUGAUAAGAUAAAAGUUGUUGUAUAAGAUGAUCAUGUUUUGUUGAAGUUAUCGGCAACUGGUAGAAGCCUUAUGGUUGUCUCUUUAUUGCAUAAGAUGCAAGCGCCAAAUAAUUGCUUUACUUUAUCGCUAUGCGAUAGCAAUAGUUGCAAGAGCAAUAGUUGGCGAGACGACCAUGUCACGACACAUUGAUAUAGAUCAAGAUGAUGGAGAUCAUGGUGUCAUGCCGGUGACAAUGGAAAUCAUGACGAUGUUUUGGAGAUGGAGAUCAAAGGCACAAGAUGAUGAUGGCCAUAUCAUGUCACAUAUUUUGAUUGCAUGUGAUGUUUAUCUUUUAUGCAUCUUAUUUUGCUUAGUUCGACGGUAGCUUUAUAAGAUGAUCUCUCACUAAAUUUCAAGAUAAAACGUGUUCUCCCUGAGUAUGCACCGUUGCCAAAGUUCGUCGUGCCCAGACACCACGUGAUGAUCGGGUGUGAUAAGCUCUACGUCCAUCUACAACGGGUGCAAGCCAGUUUUGCACACGCAGAAUACUCAGGUUAAGAUGAGCCUAGCAUAUGCAGAUAUGGCCUCGGAACACCGAGACCGAAAGGUCGAGCGUGAAUCAUAUAGUAGAUAUGAUCAACCUAAUGAUGUUCACCAUUGAAAGCUACUCCAUUUCACGUGAUGAUCGGUUAUGGUUUAGUAGAUUUGGAUCACGUGAUCACUUAGAUGAUUAGAGGGAUGUCUAUCUAAGUGGGAGUUCUUAAGUAAUAUGAUUAAUUGAACUUUAAUUUAUCAUGAACUUAGUCUUGGUAGUAUUAGCAUAUCUAUGUUGUAGAUCAAUAGCUCGCGUUUAGCUCCCCUGUUUUAUUUUUGAUAUGUUCCUAGAGAAAACUAAGUUGAAAGAUGUUAGUAGCAAUGAUGCGGAUUGGAUCCGUGAUCUGAGGUUUAUCCUCAUUCCUGCACAGAAGAAUUAUGUCUUUGAUGCACCGCUAGGUGACAAACCUAUUGCAAGAGCAGAUGCAGAUGUUAUGAACAUUUGGCUAGCUCAAUAUGAUUACUACUUGAUAGUUUAGUGCACCAUGCUUAAACGGCUUAGAAUCGGGACUUCAAAGACGUUUUGAACGUCAUGGACCAUAUGAGAUGUCCCAAGAGUUGAAGUUAAUAUUUCAAGCAAAUACCUGAGUUGAGAGAUAUGAAGUCUCCAACAAGUUCUAUAGCUAAAAGAUGGAGGAGAAUAGCUCAAGCAGUGAGCAUGUGCUCAGAUUGUCUGGGUACUACAAUCGCUUGAAUCAAGUGGGAGUUAAUCUUCUAGAUAAAAUAGUGAUUGACAGAAUUCUCUAGUCACCAUCACCAAGUUAGUAGAACUUCGUGAUGAACUAUAAUUGCAAGGGAUAACGGAAAUGAUUCCAAGCUCUUCGUGAUGCUGAAAUCAACGAAGGUAGAAAUCAAGAAAAGCAUCAAGUGUUGAUGGUAAACAAAACCACUAGUUUCAAGUAAAGGGACAAAGGGAACAAAGGGGAACUUCAAGAAGAACAGCAAGCAAGUUGCUGCUCAAGUGAAAAACCCAAGUCUGGACCUAAGCCUGAAACUGAGUGCUUCUACUGCAAAGGGACUGGUCACUAGAAGCGGAACUACCCAAGUAAUUGGCGGAUAAGAAGGAUGGCAAAGUGAACAUAGGUAUAUUUGAUAUACAUGUUAUUGAUGUGUACUUUACUAGUGUUUAUAGCAACCCCUCAGUAUUUGAUACUAGUUCAGUUGCUAAGAGUGGUAACUCGAAAUGGGAGUUGCAGAAUGAACAAAGACUAGUUAAGGGUGAAGUGACGAUGUGUGUUGGAAGUGGUUCCAAGAUUGAUAUGAUCAUAAUCGCACACUCCCUAUACUUUCGGGAUUAGUGUUGAACCUAAAUAAGUGUUAUUUGGUAUUUGCAUUGAGCAUAAAUAUGAUUGGAUCAUGUUUAUUGCAAUACGGUUAUUCAUGUAAGUUAUAGAAUAAUUGUUGUUUUGUUUACAUGAAUAAAACCUUCUAUGGUCAUACACCCAAUGAAAAUGGUUUGUUGGAUCUCGAUUGUGGUGAUACACAUAUUCAUAAUAUUGAAGCCAAAAGAUGCAAAGUUAAUAAUGAUAGUGCAACUUAUUUGUGGCACUGCCAUUUAGGUCAUAUUGGUGUAAAGCGCAUGAAGAAAAUCCAUGCUGAUGGAUUUUUGGAAUCACUUGAUUAUGAAUCAGUUGAUGCUUGCGAACCAUGCCUCAUGGGCAAGAUGACUAAGACUCCGUUCUCCGGAACAAUGGAGCGAGCAACAGAUUUGUUGGAAAUCAUACAUACUGAUGUAUGUGGUCCGAUGAAUAUUGAGGCUCAUGGCAAGUAUCAUUAUUUUCUGAUCUUCACAGAUGAUUUGAGCAGAUAUGAGUAUAUCUACUUGAUGAAACACAAGUCUGAAAUAUUUGAAAAGUUCAAAGAAUUUCAGAGUGAAGUGGAGAAUCAUCGUAACAAAAAUAAAAGUUUCUACGAUAUGAUCGCAGAAGUAAAAUAUUUGAGUUACGAGUUUGGCCUUCAGUUAAAACAAUGUGAAAUAGUUUCACUACUCACGCCACCUGGAACACCACAAUGUAAUGGUGUGUCCGAACAUCAUAACCAUAAUUUAUUAGAUAUGGUGCGAUCUAUGAUGUCUCUUAUCGAUCUACCACUACCGUUUUGGGGUUAUGCAUUAGAGACAGCUGCAUUCACGUUAAAUAGGGCACCAUCUAAAUCCGUUGAGACGACACCGUAUGAACUAUGGUUUGGUAAGAAACCUAAGCUAUUGUUUCUUAAAGUUUGAGGUUGCAAUGCUUAUGUGAAAAAGUUUCAACCUGAUAAGCUCUAACCCAAAUCGGAGAAGUGCGUCUUCAUAGGAUACCCAAAAGAAAAUGUUGGGUACACCUUCUAUCACAGAUCCGAAGGCAAUAUAUUCGUUGCUUUGAAUGGAUCCUUUCUAGAAAAGGAGUUUCUCUCGAAAGAAGUGAGUGGGAGGAAAGUAGAACUUGAUGAGGUAAGUGUACCUGCUCCCUUAUUGGAAAGUAGUUCAUCACAGAAAUUUGUUCCUGUGACUACUACACCGAUUAGUGAGGAAGCUAAUGAUGAUGAUCAUGUAACUUCAGAUCAAGUUACUACCUAACCUCGUAGGUAAACCAGAGUGAGAUCCGCAGCAGAGUGGUAUGGUAAUCCUGUUCUGGAGAUCAUGUUACUUGACCAUGACGAGCCUACGAACUAUGAGGAAGCGAUGAUGAGCGCAGAUUCCACGAAAUGGCUUGAGGCCAUGAAAUCUCAGAUGAGAUCCAUGUAUGAGAACAAAGUAUGGACUUUGAUCGACUUGCCCAAUGAUCGGUGAGCCAUUGAUAUUAAAUGGAUCUUCAAGAGGAAGACGGACGCUGAUAGUAGUGUUACUAUCUACAAAGCUAGAAUUGUCGCAAAAAGGUUUUCGACAAGUUUAAGGUGUUGACUACGAUGAGAGUUUCUCACUCGUAUCUAUGCUUAAGUGUGUCCGAAUCAUGUUAGCAAUUGCCACAUUUUAUGAAAUCUGGCAAAUGGAUAAACAAAACUGCAUUCCUUAAUGGAUUUAUUAAAGAAGAGUUGUAUAUGAUGCAACCAGAAGGUUUUGUCAAUCCUAAAGGUACUAACAAAAUAUGCAAGCUCCAGCGAUCCAUCUAUGGACUGGUGCAAACAUCUCGGAGUUGGAAUAUACUCUUUGAUAAGUUGAUGAAGCAUAUAGUUUUAUACAUACUUGCGGUGAAGCCUGUAUUUACAAGAAAGUGAGUGGGAGCAUUACAGCAUUUCUGAUAAGUAUAUGUGAAAGACAUAUUGUUGAUCGGAGAUAAUGUAGAAUUAUUCUGCAAAGCAUAAAUGAAUAUUUGAAAGGAGUUUUUCAAAGAAAGACCUCGGUGAAGCUGCUUACAUAUUGAGCAUCAAGAUCUAUAGAGAUAGAUCAAGAUGCUUGAUAAGUUUUUUCAAUGAGUACAUACCUUGACAAGGUUUUGGAGUAGUUCAAAAUAGAACAGUCAAAGAAGAAGUUCUUGCCUGUGUUACAAGGUGUGAAGUUGAGUAAGACUCAAAACCCGACCACGGCAGAAGAUAGAGAGAGAAUGAAAGUCAUUCCCUAUGCCUCAACCAUUGGUUCUAUAAAGUAUGCCAUGCUGUGUACCAGACCUAUUGUAUACCCUGUCCUAAGUUUGGCAAAGGAGUACAAUAAUGAUCUAGGAGUAGAUCACUGGACAUUGGUCAAAAUUAUCCUUAGUGGAAUAAGGAUAUGUUUCUCGAUUAUGGAAGUGACAAAAGGUUCGUCAUAAAGGGUUACGUCGAUGCAAAUUUUGACACUGAUCCAGAUGACUCUAAAUCUCAAUCUGGAUACAUAUUGAAAGUGGGAGCAAUUAGCUAGAGCAGCUCUGUGCAGAGCAUUGUUGACAUAGAAAUUUGCAAAAUACUUAAGGAUCUGAAUGUGGCAGACCCGUUGACUAAAAUUCUCUCACAAGCAAAACAUGAUCACACCUCAGUACUCUUUGGGUGUUAAUCACAUAGCGAUGUGAACUAGAUUAUUGACUCUAGUAAACCCUUUGGGUGUUGGUCACAUGUCGAUGUGAACUAUGGGUGUUAAUCACAUGGUGAUGUAAACUUUUGAUGUUAAAUCACAUGUGGAUGUGAACUAGAUUAUUGACUCUAGUGCAAGUGGGAGACUGAAGGAAAUAUGCCCUAGAGGCAAUAAUAAAGUUAUUAUACAUUUCCUUAUAUCAUGAUAAAUGUUUAUUAUUCAUGCUAGAAUUGUAUUAACCGGAAACAUAAUACAUGUGUGAAUACAUAGACAAACAGAGUGUCAAUAGUAUGCCUCUACAUGACUAGCUCGUUGAUUAAAGAUGGUUAUGUUUCCUAACCAUAGACAUGAGUUGUCAUUUGAUUAACGGGAUCACAUCAUUAGGAGAAUGAUGUGAUUGACUUGACCCAUUCCGUUAGCAUAGCACUUGAUCGUUUAAUUUGUUGCUAUUGCUUUCUUGAUGACUUAUACAUGUUCCUAUGACUAUGAGAUUAUGCAACUCCCAUUUACCAGAGGAACACUUUGUGUGCCACCAAACGUCACAACGUAACUGGGUGAUUAUAAAGGUGCUCUACAGGUGUCUCCGAAGGUACUUGUUGGGUUGGCGUAUUUCGAGAUUAGGAUUUUUCACUCCGAUUGUCGAAGAGGUAUCUCUGGGCCCUCUCGGUAAUGCACAUCACCUAAAGCCUUGCAAGCAUUGCAACUAAUGAGUUAGUUGCGAGAUGAUGUAUUACGGAACGAGUAAAGAGACUUACUGGUAACGAGAUUGAAAUAGGUAUUGAGAUAGCGACGAUCAAAUCUCGGGCAAGUAACAUACCGAUGACAAAGGGAACAACGUAUGUUGUUAUGCGGUCUGACCGAUAAAGAUCUUCGUAGAAUAUGUGGGAGCCAAUAUGAGCAUCCAGGUUCUGCUAUUGGUUAUUGACCGGAGACGUGUCUCGAUCAUGUCUACAUUGUUCUCGAACCUGUAGGGUCCGCACGCUUAAGGUUUUGAUGACAGUUAUAUUAUGAGUUUUGAUGUACCUAAGGAGUUCGGAGUCCCGGAUGAGAUCGGGGACAUGACGAGGAUUCGCGAAAUGGUCGAGACGUAAAGAUCGAUAUAUUGGACGACUAUAUUCGGACAUCCGAAAGGUUCCGAGUGAUUUGGGUAUUUUUCGGAGUACCGGAGAGUUACGGGAAUACGUAUUGGGCCUUAUUGGGCCAUACGGGAAAGAAGGAAAUGGGCCUCAAGGGUGGCCGCACCCCUCCCCUUGGUCUGGUCCGAAUUGGACUACGGAAGGGGGCGCCCCCUUCCUUCCUUCUCCUUUUCCCUUCCCUUCCCUUCCCUCCUACUCCUACUACUUGGAAGGGCUCCUAGUUCUACUAGGAAAGGGGGAAUCCUACUCCCGGUGGGAGUAGGACUGCCCUAGGGCGCGCCAUAGAGAGGGUCGGCCCCUCCCCUCCUCCACUCCUUUAUAUACGUGUCCAGGGGCACCCCAUAGACACACAAGUUGAUCUUUGUGAUCGUUCGCUUAGCCGUGUGCGGUGCCCCCCUCCACCAUAAUCCUCGAUAAUAUUGUAGCGGUGCUUAGGCGAAGCCCUGCGAUGGUAAAACAUCAAGAUCGUCACCACGCCGUCGUGCUGACGGAACUCUUCCCUGACACUUUGCUAGAUCGGAGUCCGGGGAUCGUCAUCAAGUUGAACGUGUGCUAGAACUCGGAGGUGCCGUAGUUUCGGUGCUUGAUCGGUCGGGCCAUGAAGACGUACGACUACAUCAACCGUGUUGUGCUAACGCUUCCGCUUCCGGUCUACGAGGGUACGUAGAAAACACUCUCCCCUCUCGAUGAUAUGCAUCAUCAUGAUCUUGCGUGUGCGUAGGAAUAUUUUUGAAAUUACUACGUUACCUAACACUCAAGAACACGAGAGAGAGAGAGAGAUCAAACACAUAGCUACUGGUACAUACCCUCAGCCCCGAGGGUGAACUACACCCUCCUCGUCAUGGAGAGCGCCUGGAUGAUGAAGAUGGCCACCGGUGAGGGAUCCCCCUCCGGCAGGGUGCAGGAACGGGUCUAGAUUGGAUUUCGGUGGCUACAGAGGCUUGCGGCGGCGGAACUCCCGAUCUAUUUUGUUCCCCGAUGUUUUUAGGGUAUAUGGACAUAUAUAGGCGAAAGAAGUCGGUCAGGGGAGCCACGAGGGGCCCAUGAGGGUGGGGGCGCGCCCAGGGGGGUAGGGCACGCCUCCCUACCUUGUGGCUUCCUCGAAGCUUCCCUGACGUGUACUCAAAGUCUCCUGGAUGGCUUCCAUUCCAAAAAUAACUCUCCCGAAGGUUUCAUUCCGUUUGGAGUCCGUUUGAUAUUCCUUUUGUUCGAAACACUGAAAUAGGCAAGAAAACAACAAUAUGGGCUGGGCCUCCAGUUAAUAGGUUAGUCCCAAAAAUAAUAUAUAAGUGUUUAGUAAAGCCCAUAAACAUCGAAGACAGAUAAUAUAAUAGCAUGAAUACUUCAUAAAUUAUAGAUACGUUGGAGACGUAUCAAACAACAGGAGUGUUGUGUCAAUUUUUGGGAUUUUUCGAGGUUCGUUUGGACAUUUUUAUGAAUUAACUGAGUUUUAAUGCAUUUAUGUGCAUAAUUCAAAUUUGAACUACAUGCACAUGCUCCAGUGCAUAUAAAUUGGUUGAAAAAUCAAAUUUGUGUCCUUGGGUGCGUGCUUAGGUCCCAUGCAAGAAAUGGGAAUGAAUUUCAAACACCAGGGCACCGUUGAUUGCCGGCAAAACAUUGAGAUGCCUGGUUUUAAAUUCUAGUGAAUCCAAAACUUGUCUGAAAUUCAUGAAACUUGGCAUGCUAUCAUGGAAUGGCACCCGACAUGUUGUGGCAUUUUCCGUGUCCGGAAGGCACACUCGAAUAAUGACAGCCAACAAAGGCAUUUUGAAAAAAUAGCUGCCACUUUAAUAACCUUAUCAUACUCUUCUGUAGAAAAUCACUAAAAUUAUUAAUCAACAUUGCAUACUAAAUGCCUCCGCAUAUUUAAUAGUCCUAUCCUCAAGUAGAAUCAUUAAACAAGCAAACAUAUGCAAACAAUGCAAACAUAACAGCAAUCUACCUAAAGAGGACAAUCUAUGAAGAAUGCAGCAAGAUCCAUACUUCACUAGAUCAAAAAUUAUGAAAGAAAAUUCCCACUGUAGUAAAUUUAUCAAAGCUUAUUAUGCAAAAGGUUUCAACAUUUUAUCACAUUCUGACUUUUCUAGGAAAUUUUUGCAAGAGUGGUAAACUUUCUGUUUUCAACCAGCAGCAUGUAGACUUGUAAAAUAGGCAUAGUAAAGGCCAUCAAUGCCACUUCUAUUGAAAUAAAAGAUGAUUUUUUUUAUAAAUAACAGAAAGAAAAUCCUAGCAAAAUAAAUUGACGCUCCAAGCAAAACACAUAUCAUGUGGUGAAUAAAAAUAUAGCUCAAAUUAAAGUUACCGAUGAACGAAGACGAAAGAGGGGAUGCCUUCCGGGGCAUCCCCAAGCUUAGGCUCUUGGUUGUCCUUGAAUAUUACCUUGGGGUGCCUUGGGCAUCCCCAAGCUUAGGCUAUUGCCACUCCUUAUUCCAUAGUCCAUCGAAUCUUUACCCAAAACUUGAAAACUUCACAACACAAAACUUAACAGAAAACUCGUGGGCUCCGUUAGUAAAAGAAAACAAACCACCACUUCAAGGUACUGUAAUGAACUCAUUAUUUAUUUAUAUUUAUGUUAAACCUAAUGUAUUCCAACUUUUAUAUGGUUCAUAAACUCUAUUACUAGCCAUAGAUUCAUCAAAAUAAGCAAACAACACACGAAAAACAGAAUCUGUCAAAAACAGAACAGUCUUAGUAAUCUGUAGGUUUCGGAUACUUAUGGAACCCCAAAAAUUCUAGAAUAAAUUGCUGGACGUGAGGAAUUUAUCUAUUACUCACCUGAAAACUAAGUUAACUAAAUAGCGCUCUCCAUUGAAAAAUGGCAGCAAAUCUCGUGAGAGCUAAAGUUUCUGUUUUUUACAGCAGGAUCACAAAGACUUUCCCCAAGUCUUCCCAAAGGUUCUACUUGGCACAAACCCUAAUUAAAAGCAUAAAACCACAUCUAAACAGAGUCUAGAUGAAUUAUUCAUUACUAAACAGGAGCAAAAAGCAAAGAACAAAAAUAAAAUUGGGUUGCCUCCCCACAAGCGCUAUCGUUUAACGCCCCUAGCUAUGCAUGAUGAUUUCUAUGAUGCUCACAUAAAAGAUAAGAAUUGAAACAUAAAGAGAGCAUCAUGAAGAAUAUGAAUAGAACAUUUAAUUCUAAUACACUUCCUAUGCAUAGGGAUUUUCUGAGCAAACAAUUUAUCGGAACAAUAAUCAACUAGCAUAGGAAGGCAAAACAAGCAUAACUAACUUUAAGCACAUAGAGAGGAAACUUGAUAUUAUUGCAAUUCCUACAAGCAUAUGUUCCACCCUCAUAAUAAUUUUCAGUAGCAUCAUGAAUGAAUUCAAGAAUAUAACUAUCACAUAAAGCAUUCUUUUCAUUAUCUACAAGCAUAUAAAUUUUAUUACUCUCCACAUAAGCAAAAUUCUUCUCGUUCGGAAUAGUGGGAGUAUCAUAAGAAACUCGAAUACUAUAAAUUGUUUCCACAUUAAAGGAGUAAUGUUCAAGAAAGGGUAAUCAUAAUCAUGACAAGUUUUAUAAAUAUAAUCAGCACUACUUUUUAUAGCAUAAGUAUCAUCACAAUAAUCAUCAUAAGUAGCAACUUUGUUCUUAUCAUAAUCGAUUGAAACCUCUUACAAGAUAGUGGAAUCAUUACUAAAUAAAGCCAUGACCUCUCCAAAUCCACUUUCAUAAUUAUCACAAUAAGAUUCAACACCCUUCAAAAUAGUGGGAUCAUUACUUCCUGAAGUUGACACACUUCCAAACCCAUUUUCAUAAUAUAAUCAUCAUAAGUAGGGGCAUGCUAUCAUCAUAACAAAUUUGCAUAUCAAAACUUGGGAGGCUAAAAAUAUCAUCUUCAUUAAACAUAGAAUCCCCAAGCUUGGGACAAACAUUAAUUGCAGCAAAUAUAUUCUCAAACAUGUCAUUCUCAUCAAAAUAGCAUCCCCAAGCUUGGGCCUUUUCAUAUCAUAAGCAUAAUCACUCUCAUCAUUAAUAGAAUGUGUCGGUGUACUAGAGUAGGGGUACCCUAUUACCCCGGACUCGUCCAUGGGCAGUUGCAGCGCCCCGCGGCAAGGCUUGCCGGGUGACCGCCAGGACCCUCCGUGGUUCCCUUGAAGACCAUUCAAGAACAAAGUAUUCAAAUCAAGGCCCCGGCAAGAGGAGCUUGCCGGGAAGGCCAACCAAGGCCCCAGCAAGAGGAGCUUGCCGGGAAGAGACGAGACCCCGGCAAGAGGAGCUUGCCGGGAAGGCCAUUCAAGGCGUAUCGAGAAAACUUGCCGCGACGCGCCCCACGUCCCGGCAAGAACCGGCGAGCGACAAGCUUCCAGACGCGACAAGACGACGGCCGCGGCAAGGAGCUUGCCGCGGGAAACCCCCACUUCGUGCCCGCGCUCCAGCUCACCUGCUAACGUGUCGCUCUGGGACUCUCCCAGAGCGCACGUGGCGGGAGGCCGUGCAGCUAGGGGUACGUGGUGGCAAGCGGAGAUGAAGAGAAGCCCAUCGUGGCAAACGGUGGCACUCCUAACGGUCACCUUUUGCACUGUUUGGGAGACUCAGACAGGCAUUUAAUGCCCUUGUCCCCUGCCAUCAGAGUUAGGUAGGGUGCACUGUAUCCACAGUAGCGGUAGCUGCACCUACCCCAUCCCUUUCCAUUUUUACGCUUCUUGUCUACGUUGCCCCCUGUCGGUGACCCCUUGAGAGUAUAAAAGGAGGCCCAAGCGCAACGUAGAAGGGGUUCGGAAGUGGAGAGGUUAGGCCAGUUCGGCUCGUUCAACACCAGGAACACUCUCACGCUCAGUCUGGCAGCGUCCAUCGCUCCUAAGCAAGAAUCCAAUAUACACAAACAAGCAGCAGUAGGGUUUUACGCAUCCGUGCGGCCCGAAGCUGGGUAAAAUCGCCCGCGUGCACUGCCUCGAUCCGCUCUUUGUGCGUUCUCCGCCCCCCACCGAACCAAAAGGGGCCCUGUCCCCAUAGGUGUUGGCGGGAAUCAGCACCGCCCCUGACACCUCUGGCGCGCCAGGUAGGGGGCGUCGAGAUCGUGCAAACCCGAUCCGGCGUGCACGCAAGCUAAAUCUUCAUCGUCAUGGCUCCCAAGGAGCGGGCGAGCAAAAGAACGACGCCAGUGCGGCAACAGAAAAAGCUAAGUCAUGCAAAACUUUAGAUAUUUCCUUUUUAUAUCAGGUUAUCCACCUCGGAGAUCUUGUUCUUUGUACGAAAAACCUGUGCGCGGAGGAAUCAACUCGUAGCUAGUCGCGCCCUUACUUUGUUUCGAGUCUGCUCAACAACUUAAGUGAGCUGCUAGCGCCCUUACUUUGCUUCGAGUCCGCUCAGCAACUUAAGUGAGCUGCUAGCGCCCUUACUUUGUUUCGAGUCCGCUCAACAACUUAAGUGAGCUGCAACUAGUUGCGACAAGAUUACUUGUCGGUAGCGACCCCGCCAGCAGGCUGCUGAAGUUCCGCACUCGGCGCUUGCGGCAAGGGUUCCUGCACCGGCAAGUUUCCCUAGAAAGCAUAGGGUGGACGUACAAAGAGGGGUUGAACAGGAAGAUAGAAUGCGCUAUUUAUUUGAGAUUUCUGUAUAGACCUGUAUGCCGAGGAGCCUUCUCGGGGCUAGUUGCGCUCCAUGAUUGCCUCGAGUCCGCUCGGCAACUUGUGCGGUUGCGCUAGAACCAAGAAGGUAAACCUUUCCGGGAGGCGUUGUUCCCGAAUAGCCGCUAAGGGCCCGUUCCCUCAAGCGCUACUGGCUGGAUCGUACGCACCGGAAAGCAUUCCAGCAGGCAUAGGGAAUAUGCAGCAAAAGUCAAAAUUCGCAAGCAAGUUGAGUGCACUUCGGAUGCUAAUCACUUGCUAUGUUUGAACGCAGUUAUGGCCCGGGGGCUGGCAACGCCCUUAGGGCCAAUCUUUUCGGUGUCAAGAACAACGAAGUUCUUCGCCAUAAGCCUUUCCGGCAACGAUCUUGCCGGGAGCCGGUGUCAAGAACAAUGAAGUUCUUCGCCAAAAGCCUUCCUGGCAACCAGCUUGCCGGAAGCCGGCAUCGAGAACGUCAAAGUUCUCUGCUGAAGAUAAAAGCCUUCCUGGCAACCAGCUUGCCGGAAGCCGGCAUCGAGAACGUCAAAGUUCUCUGCUGAAGAUAAAAGCCUUCCUGGCAACCAGCUUGCCGGAAGCCGGCAUCGAGAACGUCAAAGUUCUCUGCCGAAGAUAAAAGCCUUCCUGGCAAUCAGCUUGCCGAAAGCCGGCAUCGAGAACGUCAAAGUUCUCUGCUGAAGAUAAAAGCCUUCCUUGCAAUCAGCUUGCCGGAAGCCGGCAUCGAGAACGCCAAAGUUCUCUGCUGAAGAUAAAAGCCUUCCUGGCAACCAGCUUGCCGGAAGCCGGCAUCGAGAACGACAAAGUUCUCUGCUGAAGAUAAAAGCCUUCCCGGCAAGCCAGUAUCGCUGGGGGCUGUGAGUGCCAAGAAUCAUCCACGGCAAACCAGAGUUGCCGAGGGCUGCACUAUCAGAUAAGUUUCUCAUCUCUCAUCAUGCAUCCUCUUAUGGACUGGGGAAUGCGAAACCACGUUUGUUCCUGGAAACUGCCGUGCUCCCUCGACUCUAGGCCCUGGGGCUCGUUCUCGGGGCCAAGUUUGGUCGUAGUCGCGGCAGCAAAGGGAUGAAACAAGGAGACCGCACCCACCUCAUUCCUGCCUCCGUUAAAAGCGUGAGAAAGGUUGAGCGACGUGGGAAGACAGCAGGGCCUGUUGCCGGGAGAUGAAAUGUCUGUCCGAGGGAUACCAAGGAUUUGCUCCUUGACGUGGGUUUAACUCGCGAGACAAAUAACCCGGCAAGCAUCCCCUUUUCAUUAAAAAACAUCCCACUCAGGUACAGUCCAUAGAGGGUGAAAAACAUGAAAGAGAGGAUUACAAGUUCUAGAUACAGCUAAGGCCCGAAGGCUUACAAAUUAAAAAGAUAAGAUGCCCGUGAUCCCUUUCCUGUCCCCCUUUUCAAGAGGCAGGUCAAGGAGGCGAAAAGGGCAAAAGGAGUGCCUAGGCGAGCUACCUCCAGUAAAUGCACCACGCCCUCACACCUACCUCCGUUUAAGGAGGAGGGCAUGAAUCGUCCCCAUCAUCGUGGCCUGACGCAUGCUCGGGGGGCUUAGCCCCACGCACGCAACCCACGAUCUCACCCACGACGCCGCGUUUGACGCGUGCCGUUCUGGGCGUGCGCGGUGGGAGCGGAGUUAGAUUCGGCGUGACCUACGCCGCGCAUGCCCGUGCACUAAUUUUGGGCCUGGCCCAACAGCGCUCGGCACCGUGUAUGGCCCAGGCCCGGGGGCUCCUGUCGGUGUACUAGAGUAGGGGUACCCUAUUACCCCGAACUCGUGCAUGGGCAGUUGCAACGCCCCACGGCAAGGCUUGCCGGGUGACCGCCAGGACCCUCCAUGGUUCCCUUGAAGACCAUUCAAGAACAAAGUAUUCAAAUCAAGGCCCCGGCAAGAGGAGCUUGCCGGGAAGGCCAACCAAGGCCCCGGCAAGAGGAGCUUGCCGGGAAGAGACGAGACCCCGGCAAGAGGAGCUUGCCGGGAAGGCCAUUCAAGGCGUAUCGAGAAAACUUGCCGCGACGCGCCCCGCGUCCCGGCAAGAACCAGCGAGCGACAAGCUUCCAGACGCGACAAGACGACGGCCGCGGCAAGGAGCUUGCCGCGGGAAACCCCCACUUCGCGCCCGCGCUCCAGCUCACCUGCUAACGUGUCGCUCUGGGACUCUCCCAGAGCGCACGUGGCGGGAGGCCGUGCAGCUAGGGGUACAUGGUGGCAAGCGCAGAUGAAGAGAAGCCCAUCGUGGCAAACGGUGGCACUCCUAACGGUCACCUUUUGCACUGUUUGGGAGACUCAGACAGGCAUUUAAUGCCCUUGUCCCCUGCCGUCAGAGUUAGGUAGGGCGCACUGUAUUCACAGUAGCGGUAGCUGCACCUACCCCAUCCUUUUCCAUUUUUACCCUUCUUGUCUAUGUUGCCCCCUGUCGGUGACCCCUUAAGAGUAUAAAAGGAGGCCCAAGCGCAACGUAGAAGGGGUUCGGAAGUUGAGAGGUUAGGCCAGUUCGGCUCGUUCAACACCAGGAACACUCUCACGCUCAGUCUGGCAGCGUCCAUCGCUCCUGAGCAAGAAUCCAAUAUACACAAACAAGCAGCAGUAGGGUUUUACGCAUCCGUGCGGCCCGAAGGUGGGUAAAAUCGCCCGCGUGCACUGCCUCGAUCCGCUCUUUGUGCGUUCUCCGCCCCCCACCGAACCGAAAGGGCCCCUGUCCCCUUAGGUGUUGGCGGGAAUCAGCACCGCCCCCGACAGAAUGGAUAGCACCAAUGGUAUAGCAAUUAUCAUCAUCACAAUGAGCAAUAGGAGAAACAUCAUUUGGGAGGGAUACCUUUCUACCUUUGCUUCUCCGUCUUUUCUUUUUCUUCUUCACAUCAUGUGUGGGUUUAAGCCUCUUUUUUGAGCUCCUUAUUAAUGAGAUUGGUUGAAUAGAAGGCUCCUCCUCAUUACCUGAUUCAUCAUAAGAAAUAAUAGGAGGAUAUUUGGAAGUAUCUUCCCUUUCGUUAGUAUUCUCUUCAUCUUCUAUUUGUUUUCUCGUAUUUAUGUAAUUGGCAAGAUAAGGAUUUUCAAUGCAAUUCACCGCACAAUACAUAAAAAUUUCUUCUAGAUCAAAAUCAAGAACCUUAUCCAGGACAAAUUCUAGAAGAUCCUUAGUUAUACAUUUCAUUUCUUCAUAACCCAAAAGCAAACUAAGUUCAUUAUGAUAUGCAAGGGAAAUCAAAUCAUCACAAUUCUUGGACACGAUUUGAUCACGAAACAAUUUGCAUUGGAGACUUAAAUGACCAUGUUCAUUGCAAAGUUCACAAGUACGGCUAAGAAAGAUUAAAUUUUCAACACAAACAUCUAGCCUUUCUUGCAACCACAUAGUUUCCUAAUACUUAUGCCUCUUGCAAAAUCUAUCUUCCCUAUUUGGUGUGUACUUGCAAACUCUAUGCACUCCAUGAAAAUUGACAUGCUUAUAAAAGACAUUUUCAUUAUGACUUGUGCAAUCAUCAUUAGUACUAUGGAUAUUCAAGGAGUUCAUACUAACAACAUGCAAUCAUGCUCAUCAUUAAAGAUUUGGUGCCAAACAUUUUAUAGACUUCUUCUUCUAGCACUUGAGCACAAUUUUCCUUUCCAUCAUUCUCACGAAAAAUAUUAAAAAGAUGAAGCGUAUGAGGCAAACUCAAUUCCAUUUUUUGUAAUUUUAUUUUCUAAACUAAACUAGUGAUAAAACAAGAAACUAAAAGAUUCGAUUGCAAGAUCUAAAGAUAUACCUUCAAGCACUCACCUCCCCAGCAACGGCGCCAGAAAAGAGCUUGAUCUCUACUACACAACCUUCUUCUUGUAGACGUUGUUGGGCCUCCAAGUGCAGAGGUUUGUAGGACAGUAGCAAAUUUCCCUCAAGUGGAUGACCUAAGGUUUAUCAAUCCGUGGGAGGCAUAGGAUAAAGAAGGUCUCUCUCAAACAACCCUGCAACCAAAUAACAAAGAGUCUCUUGUGUCCCCAACACACCCAAUACAAUGGUAAAUUGUAUAGGUGCACUAGUUCGGCGAAGAGAUGGUGAUACAAGUGCAAUAUGGAUAGUACAUAAUGGUUUUUGUAAUAUGAAAAUAUAAAAACAGCAAGGUAACUAAUGAUAAAAGUGAGCACAAACGGUAUUGCAAUGCUAGGAAACAAGGCCUAGGGUUCAUACUUUCACUAGUGCAAGUUCUCUCAACAAUAAUAACAUAAUUGGAUCAUAUAACUAUCCAUCAACAUGCAAGAAAGAGUCACUCCAAAGUCACUAAUAGCGGAGAACAAACGAAGAGAUUAUGGUAGGGUACAAAACCACCUCAAAGUUAUCCUUUCUGAUCGAUCUAUUCAAGAGUCCGUAGUAAAAUAACACGAAGCUAUUCUUUCCAUUCAAUUUGUCCUAGAGUCCGUACUAGAAUAACACCUUAAGACAAAAAUCAACCAAAACCCUAAUGUCACCUAGAUACUCCAAUGUCACCUCAAGUAUCCGUGGGUAUGAUUAUACAAUAUGCAUCACACAAUCUCAGAUUCAUCUAUUCAACCAACACAAAGAACUUCAAAGAGUGCCCCAAAGUUUCUACCGAAGAGUCAAGAUGAAAAUGUGUGAUAACCCCUAUGCAUAAGUUCACGAGGUCACGGAACUCGCAAGUUGAUCACCAAAACAUACAUCAAGUUGAUCACGUGAUAUCCCAUUGCCACGACAUAUAAGCACAUGCAAGACAUACAUCAAGUGUUCUCAAAUCCUUAAAGACUCACUCCGAUAAGAUAACUUCAAAGGGAAAACUCAAUCCAUUACAAGAGAGUAGAGGGGGAGAAACACCAUAAGAUGCAACUAUAAUAGCAAAGCUCGUGAUACAUCAAGAUCGUACCACCUCAAGAACACAGAGAGAGAGAGAGAGAGAGAGAUCAAACACAUAGCUACUGGUACAUACCCUCAUCCCCUCCCUCCUCGUCAUGGAGAGUGCCUGGAUAAUGAAUAUGGACACCAGUGAGGGAUCCCCCUCCGGCAAUGUGCAGGAAUGGGUCUAGAUUGGUUUUUGGUGGCUACAGAGGCUUGCGGCGGCGGAUCUCCUGAUCUAUUCUGUUCCUCGAUGUUUUUAGGGUAUAUGGACAUAUAUAGGUGAAAGAAGUCGGUCAGGUGAGCCACGAGGGGCCCACGAUGGUGGGAGCAUGCCCAGGGGGGUAGGGCGCGCCUCCCUACCUCGUGGCUUCCUCGAAGCUUCCCUUGGCGUCUACUCCAAGUCUCCUGGAGGGCUUCCGUUCCAAAAAUAACUCUCCCGAAGGUUUCAUUCCGUUUGGACUCCAUUUGAUAUUCCUUUUCUUCAAAACACUGAAAUAGGCAAGAAAACAACAAUUUGGGCUGGGCCUCCGGUUAAUAGGUUAGUCCCAAAAAUAAUAUAAAAGUCUUUAGUAACGCCCAUAAACAUCCAAAACAGAUAAUAUAAUAGCAUGAAUACUUCAUAAAUUAUAGAUGCAUUGGAGACGUAUCAAACAACAUGAGUGUUCUGUCAAUUUUUGGGAUUUUUUGGUGUUCGUUUGGACAUUUUUAUGCAUUAACUGAGUUUUCAAUGCAUUUAUGUGCAUAAGUCAAAUUUGAACUACAUGCACAUGCUCUAGUGCAUAUAAAUUGGUUGAGAAAUCAAAUAUGUGUCCUUGGGUGCGUGCUUAGGUCCCAUGCAAGAAAUGGGAAUGAAUUUCAAACACCAGAGCACCAUUGAUUGCUGACAAAACAUUGAGAUGCUUGGUUUUUAAAUUCUAGUAAAUCCAAAACUCGUCUGAAAUUCAUGAAACUUGGCAUGCUACCAUGGAAUGGCACCCGACAUGUUGUGGCAUUUUUCGUGUCCAUUUUGGGAGAAGGCGCUCUCGAAUAAUGACAGCCAACAAAGGCAUUUUGAAAAAAUAGCUGCAACUUUAAUAUCUCAAAUGUUUGUAUAAUUCAAACCGUAUGCGUUCUAUUAACCAUUCAUGUGAUGCCAUGUGUCUUGAUAUUAAUGGCCGUCGGAGGUGCCGUGCGGACAGCUGCUUGACCUUGACUGAACGGGAGGUGUGCGAGCGCAGUCCAGUGCGCAAGCUGGCCGAGAACUGUGCAAGCUGAACUCCUAUGCGUAGGCUCAUCGGGAAGCGUGCGAGCUGUACGCUGUGCAGGCUCACUGGGAAAGGGGGACCUUUGACUUCCAUGGCCACCCGCCUUCCUCUCCAUUAAUGGCGCUCGAGCCGCUGUUUAAUAUGGCUGGCCUUAUUGUUCACCUCCCAUUCCUGUCCCUCCUGUAGACCUCCACCAACGCCAUGGCGUAGAAUGAUCAUCUGUCACUAGUCUUCAAGUUUGGUGAAGUCGACUCCGAGCCGGAGGAGAUAGAAAAUAAGGAGGAAUGGGGCCUCAUGGACAUGGCCCGGAAUGAGCUGGCCACGGCGGUUGCUGCCCCCGCUCAUGUUCCAGCUCCGAUCCCCGUGCCCGUGCCAACGAUCAUCCCCGUAGCAUUGACGGGCUGGUCGCCGAGCACUAUCAUAGAGCUGGAAGCCGCGGGCAUCAACGAGGUCUCCGCAGAUCCGCUUGAGCUCGUGUACAUGCCAGUGCCCGUGCCCGUGUGCGCCCCUUCACCCACCGUGGCGCCGGCCCCUGUGCGUUUGGCUGCACACGCCGCGCCCAUGCCCCUGUCCGUGCAUGCCCUUCCACCCACCGCGGCUCCGGUCCCCGUGCAUUUGGCUGCACCCAUCGUGCCUGUGCGCGCGCCUCCCUCAGCGGCAUGGGACGCUGCCGUCGACCGCUACCUCUCAGCGGCACUAGUUGCCUUCCUCCCGCGCCCCGCCCGUCGAUCGCGCGAUGACAUGAUGUUUGAUUUACAAGUGAAGAACAUUUUGUGCUGCCUUGAAGACUUCAACAACGGCGUCCGGGAGGACGUCGACGACAACGACGGCGCAGCACGCUGCCUUCGCCACCGCCAAAAAUAGGUUUUUUGGGGUUUAAUAAUGUAUCUCGAAUUCUCGAUCAUAUGAAUAUAAAUUCACAGUGUGACUGAAUGAAAGAUAUGGUUUAAAUGAACUUGCAUUUUUCUCUCUUAAUGUACAGACUUUUUCUUUUGAAAAAAACGUCAAUGGUUUUUAAAUAUAAAACACUCAUCGCAAACGUUGUAGUUAGAACACCGUAUGCAAACUGACAGCUUCCCCAGGAAGCCAAGGGAAAAUGUGCCGAGCAGGAUUUCUGCAUCCCUUCAAUGUAAACGGUUGUUUUGCAUGACCGUGUGCAAGCACGUACAAACAAUUGGGUAAGAUUUGCAUAUAGGUGAUUUUGUGUAUGUUGCCAUUUGUCAAACUGGAAAGAUCGACAUUUGUUUAUCUAGUAACAUUGCCAUUUUUCAACAUUGUAACACUGCGAUUUGUCAAAAUAUGCAGCUACAAAUCACUAGCACUAUCUAACUUUUGCAACUAAAAUCACUAGCACUUUUCGUAUGGGCACCACUAGCAGAUGCAAAUGUACCAUUGAUUGCAUACAACAAGUCAUCAACCCACAAGGACAACGAGGAUAGACGUUGGAUUAUAGAUCAUUUCCAACAAAACAUUCUACUAAAGUUUUUCUCACACAUGAAAUAACAAAGCGAUGAAAUGAACUUCAGCUCAACCACUCGUCGGUGUUGGAAACACUUGCUUUGAACCAGAAGUGACUCUCUAGGAAGGGCCAGCUACUGUUAAUCUUGAGACCAACGCAUCAAUGAUCAUCGAGGCUGAAGCGGCCUAUGUCAGGACCCAUAUUGGGAUGGUAGGGAAGCAUAGAAAUGUCCGAGGUAUAGAUACAAUUGCUUCUCAUAAAUGGUAGUAACAUUGUGUCAAUAGCAGCUGGAUCGCCUUCCACCAUCAUUGGAUAAUUUUGUCCAAGGAAGAGCGAGUUCCCUCCAAGUCUUGGCGCUAGUACACUAGUAUCCAUCCUGAAUACCCUGCAAUGGAUGUUGGAAUAGGUUCGGAGAGUGCGACCAUGCGAGACAACACCUGCUUCCUUAGUAACAAUAGCAGUCCUGUAUAUAGACAAGAAGAGGAGAUCCAUCGGAAUAAGUUGCCAGGCGCCACUGAGUAUAUGGGUCCUGCUCGUCCUCAUCACUACAAAAAAAGACACAUCCGUGACAUUUUGGGCCGAACGAAUUUUUUUUCUGUAAUACAUAUGACACUUCUAUGACGAUAAUUUUGACAAAACCCGGUAUCAUCAUAGAUGUGGUGGGCUCCUACUUCUAUGAAAAAAAUCAUGACAGAAAAUGGGCUUUUCGUCCUGGGCGGGCCGGAGACACAGCUGCAUGACAUUCUUUGGGCCGUCCAUGAUGGAAAAAACCAUGGUAGAAGCGAGGGCGAGGAAAAUUUCGGGGAGUUCCCAUUAUGGUGGGAGGUCGGGGGCCGAGCGAUGCGCGUUUCUCUCGUACAUGUACGCGCGUGUGUGCGAGGCGUUGGCUCUAACUGAACCCGAGCGAGGCGUUGGGCUCUAACUGAACCCGAGCAAUUGCACUGCAGGCUACGCGUUACUGAACCCGAGCGAUCGAUCGAUGGCUGUUAACUCAACCCGAUCGAGCGAUUCCUUCGCUACUGCUGCUAAGUGAAGCCGAUCGAUGCUGCCUCUGGGAUGAACAGUGAGCGUUGCAGGGGGGAGGGGGUUGGAUGAACAAUGAGCGGUGGCAUUGUCUCUGGAUGAACAAGACCCCAUGGUGUGGAGGGCUGGAUGAACAGUAGACGGUGUAGGGGUGCUCGUGGAGGGGUGGUUGAACAGGACCCCGUGGUGUGGAGGGCUGGAUGAACAGUAGAGGGUGGAGGGGUGCCCGUGGAGGGGUGGUUGAAUAGUAGCCGGUUGAGUAGCGCGCGGUGGAGGCUGGAUGAACAGGAGCCCGUGGAGGCUGGAGGAGGUCGACGGUAGCCCGUGGAGGCUGGAGGAGGUCGACGGUGGAGCUGAACAAUAUCCCGUGGAGUCCCGUUUUGCGGUACGCCACACCCCUCCCGAUGAACAGGACCCCCGUUUCGACCGUAGGAGGUCCUUUUCGUCCAUUUUGCGGUACGCAGCACCCCUCCCGAUCAACAGGACCCCCGUUUUGAUCGUAGGAGGUCUAUUUCCUCCGUUUUGCGGUAUGCCACACCCCUCCCGAUCAACAGGACCCCCGUUUCGACCGUAGGAGGUCUAUUUCCUCCGUUCUCCGGUACGCCAGGCCUUGUUCCCAUCACAUGUUCCAUCCAAGCCCUCCCGAUGAACACGACCACGCAUUCCAUUCUGACCCAGCCGGUUGGCUCCCACCCGUUCCGUUGCCUCCCGAUAAACACGACGCAUUCUGUUGCCUCCCCAUGAACACGACGCAUUUCGUUGCCUCCCCAUGAACAUGAAGCAUUCCGUUGCCUCCCCAUGAACACGACGACGAUGAUAUUUCUCCAUUCCGACCCAGCCAUGUACAUGAGCCCUGGCCGUACGAAUGCGCGAGUAGGCGUUCGAGACCCCGCCCAUAUGUACACAUAUGUGGCCGUAUUUUCUUUCUUGCACCCUGGCCGAUGUACGGACGUGUACAUGCUACAUGCGCGCCUCUACUAUGACACGUGCGCGCCUCUACUGCGACCAGAAUGUACGUACACGUUCGCGACCAGAAUGACAAUGCUACGUACGCUUCAACCACGUGGGUCCCAACUGUCAGGCACUUCCUUGCGGGCGAAGAUGUAGCUGGUGGGUCCCAGCAGUCAGGGGGGCGAAUCGUUUUGUUUUUUUUGCCCGGACGCACUUCCUUGCGUGCGAAGGUGUAGCUGGUGGGUCCUAGCAGUCAGGGGGGAAACAUUUUUUCGUGAAAUACGGUGGCCCGUCCGGUGGGUCCCCGCUAUCAGGUGGAGGAAUAAUUAUUUUGCACGUAAUAAGGAGGCACUUACUUGCUGCAGGCAUGGACCCAGCUGUCAGCCUCUCCACGUAUAGUCCACGUCCGAUGGAAGUCGUUCCUUGACCACGUUGACCACGCCGCGCCGAGAGUACCAGGGCGGUGGAUGACGAUGAGACCUAGGAAGGGGACGACGCAGAGCCGAGGAAGACGCGACAGUGGAUGCCCACGCGUAGAGGAGUACGAGGGUUCACUGGUUUGCUGCGGUGUGAGGCUGCCGUCGCCGCAUAAUAAUAGGGGGUGUGUGUGAGUAGAGGGAUGGCCUGGCCAGCGGUGGGAGUAGUAGGGGGCGGUGAGGCCUCCGUCGCAUCGCAGCCGACCACGGGAGGCAGGAGCACGAGGCACGACCGGCGCUGGUUUGGGCGGCUAGAGUAAGAAGACCAGAGGUUGAAGAAGCACUACGGCCGUUGGAUGGACAGCGUACGGUCACUGGAGCUAGGAUCGUGCAUAUUGACUAAGUUGACAAAGCCCUCCGUCCCCGUCAACUUAGUAGGACCACAAGUCAGCCUGCCACUAUAGUGGGUCCCAGCUAGCAGGGGGAGUAUUCAUUUUUUUGUGCGUAAUAAGGAGGCACUUCCUUGCGUGCGAAGAUAUAGCUGGUGGGUCUGAGCUGUCAGCGGCAUUAACGUUUUUUCGUGAAAUACAGAGGCCCUUUCGGUGGGUCCCUGAUGUCAGGUGGAGGAAUCAUUAUUUUGCGUGUAAUAAGGAGGCAUUUCCUUGCGUGCGGUUGUGGACCCAGUUGUCGGCCUCUCCACAUACAGUCCACUUCAGAUGCAUGUCGGUCGUUGACCACGUUGACUAGGCCGCGCCGAGAGCACCAAGGCGGUGGACGGCGGCGAGGCCUAGGAAGGGAACGACACGGAGGUAGCGAAGACUCGGCAGUUGUUUCCCACGCGGAGGGGAGUACGACUGUACGAGGGUUUACUGGUUCGUCUGCCGUCGCUGGAGAAUAACAACAGGUUUGGGUGAGUAGAGGGAUGGCUAGGCCAGCGAUGGUAGUACGGUGGGGCGGUGAGGCAUGCACGUCAGUAGAGCCGGCCGCGGGGAGGAGGGAGCAGGCAGUCCCGCCGGCGCUUGUUUGAGCGGCUGGAGCAGGAAGAGAAGAGAUUAAAGAAGCACGACGGUCGUUGGAUGGACAUCGUAUGGUCAAUGGAGCUAGAAUUGUUCAUAUUGACUAAGUUGACAAAGCCCUCCGUCCCCGUCAACUUAGUAGACCCACAAGUCAGCCGCCCACCAUGGUGGGGCCCAGCUAGCAGGGGGAGUAUUCAUUUUUCUGUGCGUAAUAAGGAGGCACUUCCGGUGGGUCCGAGCUGACAGCGGGGGGAACAUUGUUUUCGCGAAAUACGAUGGUCGGUCCGGUGGGUCCCAACAGUCAGGGGCAAAUGUUUUUUUCACGAAAUACGGUGGCCCGUCCGGUGAGUCCCAGCAGUCAGGGGGGAAAUGUUUUUCCGUGAAAUACUGGUGGCCCGUCCGGUGGGUCCCUCCUGUCAGGUGGAGGAAUAAUUAUUUUGCGCGUAAUAAGGAGGCACUUCCUUGGGGCUGCCUGGACCCAGCUGUCAGCCUCUCCACGUACAGUACUCUUCCGAUGGAAGUCGGUCAUUGACCACAUUGACCACGCCGCGCCGAGAGCACCAUGGCGGUGGACGACGGUGAGGCCUAGGAAUGGGACGACGCGGAGCCGGGGAAGACGCGGCAGUGGAUGCCCACGGGAAGAGGAGUACGAGGGUUCACUGGUUCGACUGCGGUGUGAGGUUGCCGUCGCCGCAGAAUAAUAGGGGGAGUGGGUGAGUGGAGGGAUGGCCUGGCCAGCGGUGGGAGUAGUAUGGGGACGGUGAAGCCUCCGCGGCAGCACAGCCGGCCACGGGAGGCAGGAGCAUGCGGCACGACCAGCGCUGCUUUGGGUGGCUGGGGCAAGAAGACCAGAGGUUGAAGAAGCACUACGGCCGUUGGAUGGACAUCGUUGACCACGCCGCGCUGAGAGCGGCAGGGAAGGUCGACGACGGCAAGGCCUGCGAAGGGAAUGACACGGAGCCAGGGAAGAUACGGCAGUGGCUGCCCACUUGGUGGAGAGUACGAGGGUUGACUGGUUCGGCUGCCGUUGCCGGAAAAUAACAAGAGGUGUGGGUGAGUAGAGGGAUAGACAGGCCAGGGAUGCGAGUAUGAUGGGGCCAUGAGGCCUGCCCGGCAGCACUGCCGGCCAUGGGAGGUGGGAGUAGGCGGUUCCGACGGCGCUGGUUUGGGUGGCUGGGGGCAGGAAGAUCAGAGACUGAAGAAGCAUGAUUGCCAUUGGAUUGAAAUCUAAUGGUCUGACGCUGGUAGAGUCGAUUGUUGACUAAGUUUCUUUUUUGAGAAACCUUGUGUACGCAUGAACUUAGUAAGCCCACAAGUCAGCCUCCAAAUCUGUGGCAGACAACAUAAAGCCCAUUUGCUAUUUUUUAUAAUUUGUAGCCCAUUUGCUAAUUCUUAAGUAAUUUAUUACAGCCCAUUUUCUGCCCAGGACCACGGUCAAAAAGUUCAACCUUAUUUUGCAUAUUUCGGUGGAGUCCGAACUAUUGUAAUCCUGAAAUGAUAAACAUUUUUUAAGAACUUAUUAUUUGCCAAAAAAAUCAUUUUGUUUUUGUAAGCAAAUAAGAUGUGGGAAAUUGAGUUGGUUUGAGGGAAAACCAGUGGUAAAAAAAUCAGUGCUGGGUGGGAAUAAACAAAAAAAAAGGAUGUAAAUAUGAAAAGGGAAUUUUAUGUGUUUUCAAUAUAAUGAUACGUGUAUAUGAACUAGUAAAACUAUAGGUAGAGAUUAGAAAACGGAUGUAGGACAUGCCUUUCAAGAGGAAAAUAGAACUGGGCUGUGUGUUUGAUUCAGUAAAAAACUGCAUGCGGAUGUUGUAAGACAAAAUAUAACUAAUGCUGGCGGGCCAGAGGCUAGUAGAUACCUGCUGGAUCUUUGUGCCCCGUUGUCGUCAUGGGCUGGGCCUGUUAAAAACAAAACCAACCCUGGGUAGUCUACAGCCCAGUUGAAACUUGCUCGACCUGAAAAAACAAUAUACGUGCUCAAUAAACGAGAGAAUUCUGCAAGUACAGACUGAUAACUGGGAUGCAACAUGGAUAUUGUUUUUUAUCGUGAUAAUAAGUGCAUCCACUUGUUUCGAAAGAAUUGGAGAACUGGGAAUUCGAACGGCGGGUGGUUAUGCUGCCUGAGGGAGUCCUGGAUUAGGGGGUCUCCGGACAGCCGGACUAUAUCCUUUGGCCGGACUGUUGGACUAUGAAGAUACGAGAUUAAAGACUUCGUCCCGUGUCCGGAUGGGACUCUCCAUGGCGUGUAAGGCAAGCUAGGCAAUACGGAUAUGUAUAUCUCCUCCUUUGUAACCGACCUUGUGUAACCCUAUCCCCCUCCGGUGUCUAUAUAAACCAGAGGGUUUUAGUCCGUAGGACAACAUACAAUCAUACCAUAGGCUAGCUUCUAGGGUUUAGCCUCUCUGAUCUCGUGGUAGAUCAACUCUUGUACUACUCAUAUUAUCAAGAAUAAAUCAAGCAGGACGUAGGGUUUUACCUACAUCAAGAGGGACCAAACCUGGGUAAAACAUCGUGUCCCCUGCCUCCUAUUACCAUCCGCCUCAGACGCACAGUUCGGGACCCCCUACCCGAGAUCCUCCGGUUUUGACAUCGACAUUGGUGCUUUCAUUGAGAGUUCCUCUUUGUCGUCAUCAUUAGGCUUGAUGGCUCCUUCGAUCAUCGAUAGCGAUGCAGUCCAGGGUGAGACUUUUCUCCCCGGAUAGAUCUUUGUAUUCGACGGCUUCGCACUGCCGGCCAACUCGCUUGGCCAUCUGGAGUAGAUCGAGAGUUAUGCCCCUUGCCACCAGGUCAGGUUUGCAACCUUAAACUACACGGCCGACAUCCACGGAGACUUGAUCUUCGACGGAUUCAAGCCCCUGCCGAGUGCGCCGCACGGUCACCAUGAGCAUGAUUUAGCUCUACCAUCAGACAGUGUUCAUGAGAUCACACCGGCAACCGCUCCAACCCUCAGUUUGGAGUCAAUUGCGCCAUCCAUGGACGGGUGGAUAGACCCCACCACGGAGGUCGUAUUCUCAGUGGCGAUCGAGCCGAAUAUCGACCUUACCCUUCAUGGGAGCCGUGACGCUAAACUACAGGAUUCUUCCCCGGCCAGGGACUCCGAACCGCCUGCGCCCGUGCCUACCGAAUCCGACUGGGCGCCGAUCAUGGAGUUCACCUCCACGGAUAUCUUUCAGCACUCGCCCUUCGGCGACAUACUGAAAUCAUUAAGGUCUCUCUCCCUGUCAGGAGAGUCCGAGCCGAACUAUGUUCGGCAGGAUUGGGAUGCGGAUGACGAAGAAAUUCGCUGGCCACCCACCACCCACUUAGUAGCCACUGUCGAUGAUUUGACCGACAUGCUCGACUUCGACUCCGAAGACAUCGACGGUAUGGACGAUGAUGUAGGAGACAAACAGGAACCACUGCCCACAGGGCACUGGACACCCAGUUCAUCAUAUGAUGUAUACAUGGUGGACACACCCAUAGAAAACGACGACGAGGAAUGGAAGGACGCAGCAAAGGGUUGUUCCCUCGAGAAGCAGUCAAAGCGGCAGCGUAAGCACCGCUCCAAAUCUCGCAUCGGCAGAAACAGCGAUCAUAUAGACCCAGCGAUAGAGCAGGGUGAACCAUCGCCCGACCAGGGCAACACGGAGAAUCAAACCGAACAACACGACCCCGUCGAAGAUAACAGUCCGGACGACAUCACACCGGAUAGGCACCCGGAGCAAUAGAAUGCCCAUCAAAGGCUGGUUGCCCCUGCGAGGGGUCUGAAAAGGUAGAAGCAAAGGCUCAGGGCUGCACAAGACACACUCAAAAUCAGAUGGAGUGAAGUACUCAACACUGCAGCGAAGUACGACAGUAAUCGCCACACCAAGAGCUACUCGAAGCGAAAGUUGCUACCUGAAUUCGAUGAGGAGGCCUUAGAUCCCCCACAACCAGAAAUUAAAAUGGACAUCCGGUCGGAUAGACGACCUCGUGGCCAACAUAGAGCGGCAAACGACGCCGCACAUAAGCCAGUACGCGAUCCACGCGAGGGCUCGCAUCAAAAGGACGGCGCAACCAGAUCCAUAUACGGGAUAAGCAAGCGCGCUCCAGCAUGCAAUGCAACACAAAAAACAUCCGAACACCACGGUACACCCAAAUAUAGGGGUGCCACACACCCCCUAUGUUUCACCGAUGAGGUGCUGGACCAUGAAUUUGCAGAGGGAUUCAAACCCGUAAACAUAGAGGCGUACGACGGAGCAACUGACCCUGGGGUCUGGAUUGAGGACUACAUCCUCCAUAUCCAUAUGGCUCGGGGAGACGAUCUCCACGCCAUCAAGUACUUACCCCUCAAGCUCAAAGGGCCAGCUCGGCACUGGCUUAAAAGCCUCCCCGAAAACUCCAUUGGAAGCUGGGAAGAGCUCGAAGAUGCCUUUCGGGAAAAUUUUGAAGGGACCUAUGUCCAACCAUCGGAUGCAGACAAUUUAAGUCAUAUAACUCAACAGCCCGGAGAGUCAGCCCGAAAGCAUUGGAACAAGUUCCUCACUAAAAAGAACCAAAUAGUCGACUGUCCGGACGCCGAAGCCUUAGCAGCUUUCAAGCACAGUGUUCGAGACGAAUGGCUUGCAAGACACCUCGUCCAAGAAAAGCCGAGAACAAUGGCACCAUUAACAAGCCUCAUGACCCGCUUUUGCGAGGGUGAGGAUAGCUGGUUAGCCCGAUGCAGCACCAGCGACCCAAGUACAUCCGAAGUCAGGGACGGAAACAGGAAAUCACGACGCAGCAAAAACAAGCGCCGGAAUAAAGAAGACAGCCCGAAGAGCACGGCGGUAAACGCUGGAUUCAGAAGCUCUCGGCCAGGUCAGCAAAAGCUGCCCUCUAAAGGCAACAGAGACGAACUAUCCAUCCUAAACAAGAUUCUGGACCAAAUAUGUCAGAUCCAUAGCACCCCCGAUAAACCUGCAAAUCAUACCCAUAGAGAAUGUUGGGUCUUCAAGUAGUCCGGAAAGCUCAAUGAUGAACACAAGGGGCAGGAUACACCAAGCGAGGACGAGGACGAGCCUCGCAAGCAAAGCACUGCGGAACAGAAGAAAUUCCCAGCAGAAGUCAAAACAGUCAACGUGUUACAUGUGAUAAAAGGGAGAAACAAAGCGGCACCCCUAGAGAAACAUGCCCCAGGGCCUAUCACCGCAGAGUUCUGCCACUGGUCGUCCCAACCGAUCACAUUCGACCACCGGGAUUACUCGGCAAGUAUCCGGCGUGUAGGAUGGGCUGCCUUGUUAUUAGAUCCAAUAAUUGACGGAUACCACUUCACAUGAGUCAUGAUGGACGGCGGCAGCAGUUUAAACCUGAUAUAUCAGGACACAGUCAGCAAAAUGGGGAUAGACCCAACAAAAAUUAGCCACAGCAAUACUACCUUUAAAGGAGUAACGCCAGGCCCAGAGGCCCAUUGCACGGGCUCCCUGCUACUAGAGGUUAUAUUCGGCUUCCCCGAUCACUUCCGCAACGAAAAUUUAACCUUCCCCAUCGUUCCGUUCCAAAGUGGCUAUCAAGUACUACUCGGACGCGAAGCUUUCGCUCGCUUUAACGCAAUACCGCAUUACGCUUACCUCAUGCUUAAGAUGCCUGGUCCACGUGGCAUCAUUACAGUAAAUGGAAAUAUUGAGCGCUCCUUGCACGCGGAAGACCGUGCGGCUGCCUUGGCAGCCGCACACUAAACGGCCUCACCAACAAAGCAUCUGACAGGUUGUUAAGACCACGGACACGGUUGGACGAGUCCGGUACAGCUAUAUGUAAUUGAUACAGGUUUGAUGGCUAUACCCCUAUUACAGUACAAGGGGCUCAACGCGCGCACACAAGUGGCAAUCAGGCUCAACUUUACUCAUUUUGAACUAUAUAUUGUUUAUUUAGUAUAACUUACCUUUUGCACGUCAACUUUUCAAUUAAGUUUCUCUCUUUUUCACAUGACCUUCGUGCUACACCCGUCCAGAAUAUGGCACAACGGAGACACGGGCGCAGACGUGCAGCAGGGAUCCAUUCCAAGGAUUCUUUUUAGAUUAAGACCCUGCGGAAACCUUUUUUACUGUCUCUUGUUGAUACACAUCCCUCGGAUUCCCAGUACAAUUGAGAAGGAUGCUGACAUAUUGGCAUGUGGCCACAUCAGAAUAUUGCACGUACCUGGACACCAGGGGCUUAUUACAAAGGGCACUUUUUAGGCCCGGUUUACAACAUGAAGACCGAAUACCUUAGGGAGUGUUCGGCGUCGCGAGUUUGGCCUUAUAUGCAUCAGCUCCGAAUCAAGACUUUGGUCAAAUGUUGGGUUUGCCCGGCUCCUGUGUUUUGCUACCUUACGUUCCGCUCUAUCGGCUAAGGCGGCACCAGGAGAACUACUGCGAUUGUGCCCUGGUUCAUCCGGACGAGCACCUCAGUAGAGAAAGCCGACAACUGACUGCCAUGAUAUAGGGUGAGACUGGUGAACCACUCGAUGACCUAGCAGAAUCUUCGGGAUUCCUCCGCUUUAACGAAGGGCCGUUUCCCGGCCCUUCGUGUACGCACCCCGAAUUCAGAUGAGUGAGGAGCCACCAGGGGCUAUAUAGUAGCCCCACUGUCAAACUCCUCUAGCUAAGUAAAAGUGUCAAAGCAUUAUAGUCCGGUUGCCUAGUUCGCUGCGCUAUCACCUCCUUAAUGGACCAAGACGUUGGAUCAAGUGUGAACAUGCAUCUUCUGCGAACACCCCCGCAUUAUAUGCGUGGGGGCUGAAGCCGACGACUGCAAUCUUUCAGGUUAUAUACAUAUAUACAUAAACGGCCGCACAGGAGGCAUCAUAGCACUUUUGGGCAAAAGUAUAAAUGUGUGGUACUUUCAAAAAUGUACAUCAUUUCACAUACCUCAAAACCCGUCAGUAGACUCAUAAAGGCUUCAUGUAGCCCGCUUUCGGCGGACGAAAUCCUUUCAAUCGCCGUACCCAUCAAUGUGCGGUGCUCUUCUGAGAUAUCAGCUUUCUCCAGCAGAUCCCUCCGUACAUCCGAUCGCACACCAGACAGUGCCGGAAUCUUUUGAUUGCUCUCUUCGAGAGACGGAUAAUGAGGACUUCGGGUGGCCAUAGGAUUACCUUCUGGCCUUGCCGGAUCAGGAGAAGCCCUCCGCGACGACACCUCAGGGUCGCCCACUUCAUAAGGCGGUGUGGCAGGGGAAGGCAUUUCGCUCUCCAUCAUCUCCUGAAGAAGAUCCCCCAAAGAUGAGCUCAGCUGAGAAGGGCUAAGAUCCAAACUGCAAGAUGAAUGCUUCGAUUAUUUUCCUCAGAAAUAGAGCAAGAUAUUUUCAUUAUUGAAUAACCUUUUACUUAUAGCUCGGUAGAGGGUUGACCCCCACAUGGACAUUGUGCGGCAAGAGUACCCUCCGAGGCAGGUCCCUCUGGCAGAGAUUUCUUCUCCCAUUUGGAAACCUUAGUUUCCAGAUCUUCAAAGGUAGACCUCUUCCUUCCCCGGGGAGAGAGAAUGCCAGAUUCUUCCCCUUGGUUAUCCUCCCUCGCGGAGGCGCUCAUUCCCUCGGUUGGAAUAGGUAGCGAUGGAGGCCCGCUUUCGCCCUCUUUAUUCCCCCUUCAUCUUCCUUUGAGGGCACCAGGCAAGGUGCUGGCUCGAGCAUCUUUUCCAGCACCGGAUUGUCCAAGACUUCAGGAAGGGGGCCCAAACACCGGAUCAUCUUCGCCUUUGUUAUCCAGUCCUAGUCAAAGAGCGAUUCUUCAGAAUGAUGUCAUGAUAAAUAAAAGGGCAGUCUGUUCGGCCAUGGGAUUACUUACUUGGGCAGCGGUGCGGUUGCUGCUCAGGCCCACAUCCUCGGUAGUGUCCGGACACUCUAUUUGGGGUCCGAAGAACGAUUUGUACAUCUCCUUGUGCGUCAUGCCGAGGAAAUUCUGAAUAGUGCGCGGUCCUUCCGGGUUGAAUUCUCACAUGCGGAGGGGCCGGCGUUUGCAAGGCUGGACUCGACGGACCAGCAUAACUUGCAUUACCAUAACCAGACUGAAAUCUCCCUCAAAGAGAUCUCGGAUACGGCUCUGCAAUAUUGGCACGUCCUUGGCUGGACCCCAGCUCAGCCCCCUGCUGAUCCAUGACAUCAGUUGUGGUGGAGGGCCCGAGCAAAAGGUGGGGGUAGCUACCCACUUGGCACUUCGGGGAGCUAUGACAUAAAACCACUCCCAUUGCCACAAUCUGGACACCUCUAGAAAGGAACCCUUUGGCCAUGGAGCGUCAGCAAUUUUGCUUAUUAGAGCACCUUCGCACGCUGCGUACUGCCCCUCGACCAUCUUUGUCUUCACAUCAAGGUCUUGAGCCACAGGCCGAAGUGAGGGGUAAUGCGGAGGAAGGCCUCACACACGACAACAAAUGACGAGAUGUGAAGAAGGGAAUCCGAGGCCAGAUCGUGAAAAUCCAGCCCGUAAUAGAACAUAAGACCCCUCACAAAGGGAUCCAGAGCGAGGCCUAGUCCUCGAAGGAAGUGGGAGACGAACACAACGCUCUUGUUGGGUUCGGGAGUAGGGACGACCUGCCCUCGGAUAUUUGGCCUCCCUCAACUUCUUGAUAUCCACCUCCGUGACGGGGGAAGGCAUCCACCGACCUUGAAGGCUGGAUCCGGACAUGAUUGAAGGUCCGAAGCACCUGACCUGGGCUUUGGGUGUUAAAACUCAAGGCGGGGGAAGGAUUCGAUUAAGCACGGGAGGGAAAAAAGUAAAAGCCUUGUCCCUUUAUAAAGAGGGUGAAUAUCAAGCAUCCUCCUCGUGGACGUUUGGGACUUGCCUAAGAUCUAGGAGUCCUAGGCACAGUUGGGUUACCCACGUCCGUAUUAAUGAGAAUCCCGUAAUAAAGGGAACAUGAUCUCUGCUUUGACAAGACGUGUCAAGAAACCGCCUCGCGUUAUGUGCGGGGCUGGUUAAAGAAAAAUGGUUCGAAUAAUUACCAGGCUAUGGCGUGAUGUCAUGCUGCCAAAACAUGUCAGUAGAGUAGAUUUGUGGAAAUAUUAUUCUCUCUACGGUGGUAUGUGGAACUUAUUUUGCAGGGUUGGACACUAUCCUUGUAUUCGAACUCUUCCGUGGCGUAUUCGGAUGAGGAACCCGCCUUGCAAUGCCGAAGACAACACUGCGCGCCGGACUCAUCGUCAUUGAAGCCUCAUUCAGGGGCUACUGAGGGAGUCAUAGAUUAGGGGGUCUCCGGACAGCCGGACUAUAUCCUUUGGGCGGACUGUUGGACUAUGAAGAUACGAGAUUGAAGACUUUGUCCCAUGUCAAGAUGGGACUCUCCUUGGCGUGGAAGGCAAGCUAGGAAAUACAGAUAUGUAUAUCUCCUCCUUUGUAACCGACCUUGUGUAACCCUAGCCCCCUCCGGUGUCUAUACAAACUGGAGGGUUUUACUCCGUAGGACAACAUACAAUCAUACAAUAGGCUAGCUUCUAGGGUUUAGCCUCUCCAAUCUCGUGGUAGAUCAACUCUUGUACUACUCAUAUUAUCAAGAAUAAAUCAAGCAGGACGUAGGGUUUUACCUCCAUCAAGAGGGCCCGAACCUGGGUAAAACAUCAUGUCCCCUGCCUCCUGUUACCAUUCUCCUCAGACGCAUAGUUCGGGACCCCCUACCCGAGAUCCACCGGUUUUGACACAGACACUGCCCAUCAAAUAAAAAUCAGGUGCCUGAAAUUCGUUUCGAAACAAAUGAUUCAGCUUUAUAUCCACAUCGACCCUCCGCAUGAUGGUUGGAAGCAAAUGCAAGUUCAUACCAAAAGAUCGUUAAGAACAAUACCAACUUGCGGACGACAAGGUAGUACAACUACCAAUACCAAACCAACUUAUAAUCUAUUUACUCCUGGCCCUAGUGUUUAUCUGGUAGAAAAUCUUGCAGAGGACCAGCUCCUGCUCCUUCUCUUGCUCCAGGUCCCCGAGGUGGUACUGGUGCAUCACCCAGUUGGUCCUCUGCUGGUCGAAGUUCUUGUUGGUCUGCAGCGCCAUAACCUUUUUUGCUGCCCGUCUGCCGGUCGUUGACCAUCACCGACAAGGUAUUGCCUGUCUUGUGCCACAUCGCAUGCAUGCCGCACUCCGAUUGUAUCUUGCGACACGUGCCCCUUUUGAACGCCCUGGAAUUGCGCUGGAAUAAAUGCUUCCUUAGGUCACUCAGUGUGAUACCUUCAGUAUUGUGGAAUACAGGUUUUAGUGCACCUAGUUGGCAUUUUCAUAACAUCUUUGGCAUGUUGCAGUCACUUGUUUCACUUUUUAUUAACUGUCAAAUUGUAAUUGCUUCACCGGGUCUGCGUCUAAAAAUAAAAAUAGAGCUAUAAACAAAGGAAUAUGUUUGUGCAAGUAGACGGCCGAUCGUGUCUUACCUGGAAGUUUCUCAGGUUGGGUGUAGCAUAUGUCGAGCUCGCUCUGUCAGCACUCACUUUGGCCUCCGGGUGCUCGAUCAGCUCCUGAUCCGUGGGAUCGAACUUGAUGCCAGCCGGCAGCACCGACCAAUCCUUCUUCGACUUGCAUCGGUAAUUCCAGUUAUAUGGUACUCAAUGUAUGCUCAAUCGACUGUUUUAAGUGAAUGAUGAAAGAUUUCGAUAGAUAAGUGGUACUCCAAAUCUGAAGUCCAGAAUACCCGAACACGCCACUGGGAUUCUUGUGUCACCUCACGAACAGCAUGUUGUCACGUCAAUUAAAUGUGUGGACACGAUGAAUAAUUUGACCGACAUAUACUAGUACUGCUACUGUACUAAUUACUAGUCGUAUUUAGUGUCACAAUUUAUACAUAGGUUUAACUAACAAGUACGCACUUGAAGCCUAACUGAUAUAUAUAUAUAUAUAGGGUGGGCCUAUUCUAAUAACACCUCUUAAGACCUUAUUCUAAUAACACUUCCUCUUAUUCUGAUAACCCCUCUCUCCGCACCGCCCCGCGAACCGAACCACCACACUACCACUAACCAAACCGCGACAAAGCCCACCCCCAGCUCCUGCACGACACCCACCUCCCUCUUCCCCCGAUCAAAACCCCCACCUCCCUCCACCUUCUACCGGCGCCGCCGCCGCCAGAGCACAACCUCACCUUCUUCCACAUUUCCCUUGCCUCACCCCCACCUUCCUCCACCGCGCCCACCCCGGCGAGCCCCACCGCGCCACGGCUCCACCACCCCCAAUCUUCUACCCCUUCCAACCCCGCGCCGCCGGAUCCCCGUCCCACCGUGCCUCGCGCCUCCCCGACUGCCGCCUCACCGCCCCGACCCGCCGCUGGAUCGGGCUCGCACCGCCCCGCCGCCUCCCUCCUCCUGGUUCCCCUCGUCGGCGCGCAACGGUGGUCGCCGGAUCUAGGAACCUCCAUCUUCCACAGUGCUGCCCCGCAUCACCAACCCCCAAGUUGUCCGGCGCUAGAUCGGUGUUCGCAGCAUUCCAUCAUCCACCGUCGGCGCCGCCCCCCUGCAGCCUUCUCCCAUGGCGCCCACCCUCCCGACCGGCCAGUGCUAUGUUGGAUGGCCGGUGACACCCUCCCUUCCCUCCUGACCGGCCGGCGCUGCACUGGAUUGAUGGAUCCCGCGUUCCUAUGGCCGACGGCGCCCUCCCUUCCCUCCCUCCCCUUGUCUCCCCUACCCAGCGACAAGCUUGAUGGCGGCCUCCCCAACUACCUCGUCACCGGCCAAGGCUCCCUCACUAGAUCCGGUGAGCCCGCCAUGGCCCUCUCCUCCCCAGCUCAUGUGCCGACGGUGACAUCCAGCGGGUCAGGGUCGACCUCAUCCUUCUGGUCCGUCCCCGGUGACCAUAACUAUACAGUCUACAAAAACUGCGGCAGUGCAGUUGACCUCAGCGCCCGAUGCAGCUCAUCAGUGGUGCAUGUGUAGUUUGUCAUCCCCCUUGAUGCAUGUUAUUUUUCAGUUUUUUAUGUGAUGUUGGUCCCCAAGUCUGUAGUGCAGUAUGGCUUGCAUGUAGUACAUAACACCUCUCCUCCUGGCUACAUCUACCUCGGUUUGGAGAUGCCUCACCUGGCGCCUCCACCUAGUGUUUGUUGAGUUUUGUUUCCACCUGAUGGCCACAAGUGCAGGUUCUCUCAGUUGCAGCUCAGUUGGGUCGUCGAUGAAGUAUGGAGGCACAUGAGAGGGCGACGGGUAAAAAAAUGAGAAGUUUAGAACCAUUAGCAACCAUAGAAAUCUUCAGUUUUGCAGUGAAGUGUGUAUUGUACAGUAUAAAAAAUGGGUGUAUUGUUUUGGUGCAAUUCAUUUUGAUUUACAUUUUGGAAAAAUGGAUAUACAUUAUGUGGUACAGUUAACUAGUGGGGUACUCAAGUUUCAUUUUUCUAGUUGAUGAGUGCAUUAUGCAGUGCAGUUAACAUCUCAAAAGAAGCUCACUUUGUUCUCUCUCAAAGUUUGCCAUAAAACUCCUUUGUG
Molecule: long non-coding RNA, 110578 nt
Filed under: Triticum aestivum (bread wheat)
Lineage: Eukaryota; Viridiplantae; Streptophyta; Magnoliopsida; Poales; Poaceae
Description: long non-coding RNA (TAES_LNC025902)
Source: RNAcentral